Molecule: long non-coding RNA, 123732 nt
Filed under: Panax ginseng (ginseng)
Lineage: Eukaryota; Viridiplantae; Streptophyta; Magnoliopsida; Apiales; Araliaceae
Description: long non-coding RNA (PGIN_LNC007104)
Source: RNAcentral
UGUUUUAUUUAUAAUAUGAUAAUAACAACCACCUAGUGGUAGCUGAUUUAUUUAUUACAUGCUAAUAACAACCAUGAGUUGAUAGUUGAUUUAUUUAUUAUAUGCUAAUAACAGCUAUCAGCUAGUGGUUGAUUUAUUUAUUAAUUGCAGUCUUGUUCAUUUACUUCAGUCUUUUUAUUUAAUUAUGUUAAAUCAUAUGUGAAUCCUAAUUUGUACUUGUACUCACAGAAAAUAAACCUAAGAAUUCAUCAAAGGAAAUAAAAGAUAAACGACAAUACAAAUAUUGCGUUUUGUUUUGUCUUAUUUUUUAAAAUUUUAUUUUCAAAUAUAUACGCAUGCAUGAUAAAGAUUCACAAUUAUAUAUAUAUAUAUAUAUAUAUAUAUAUAAUCCGUCGAGGUGUUUUAGUUGACUAGCUAGUAUAAACUACCAUCUACCAAAUCGUUAUUAGCUAACGAGCUAGUGUAAAUUUUCAUCUUGGAAGCUAGUAUAAACUAUCAUCUAUAAAAUUGUUAUUAGUAGAGGAACUACGAAUGUAAACUAUCGUCUAACAAACUGUAUUAGUUGAUGAGCUAGUGUAAAUUACUAUCAUUUACCAAAUAGUUAGAUAGACUGUUGGCUACAGUCAAAUGUGUUUUGGAUCAAUUCCUAUAUAUGUGUGUGUGUGAAAAAUUCAUGAAAAUCUAAAACUUAGUUGUUUUGGUACUAUUGAAUUGAUUUAUCUUUUCAUCUUUAUUUUUUUUUAAUUUACUACCCGACCCAAAUCUUUUCUCUUCUCGUAUCAAUAGUAAGUUUAAGAUUGGAUGAUAUUUUUGUCCCUUCAUUUUUUGUCAAUUGAGUCCUUAAAGUGGUCAAUUGAUGUCAAUUCUGUCUCUUUUCUCCAAAUUAACCCAAUUUCUUCUAAAUUGAAGUACAUGCUCGGCAUAUAUAUGCGAUUUAAGUUGGGGCAAAAAUGUCUCCUAACACAAUAAUAAUAAUAAUAAUAAUAAUAAUAAUAAUAAUAAUAAUUCAAAAUUAUCUAAUGAAAAGACAUAAUUUAAGCAGUACCAUCUUGUAAUUUAUGUAAUCACUUUAUUUAAUAUCACAAUAAACCAGCUAGUGAUAGUUGUUUUAUUUAUAAUAUGGUAAUAACAAGCACCUAGUGGUAGUUUGAUUUAUUUAUUACAUGCUAAUAACAACCAUGAGUUGAUAGUUGAUUUAUUUAUUAUAUGCUAAUAACAGCUAUCAGCUAGUGGUUGAUUUAUUUAUAUAUCGUGCUAAUAACAACCAUCAACUAGUAUAUAGUUUCUUGAUUUACUGUUGAUCGGAAGAUUACUGAUCGUUCAUUUAGGUGUUGGUGGGACUAAUGUUAACACCAUAGAUAACUAAACCUGUCUUCAUAGUCACGUUUUCAGUCCCGUCAAGAGCAAAUAUGAUAUCUCCAUAGUCAAACUUAUUGAAGAAUUCCCCAGCUUUGAGCGAAAAUGGUGUGUUUCUCGGAUAAUUCAUCAAUCCAUAUCCGUUCACUUGCGAGGAUCCAUUCGGAAGAGUAAGUGUAAGACUCACCGGACUUGCUAUGUUAAAGUUGUCUUUCAGCAGCACCACAAAAGAUACCUCAUAAGAUAAAUUUUCAAGCUUUUCUGUCAUAUAGUUUCCGUCAACAUGUAGGACUAAGCUACCAAUUAAUUCAGCACUGUCAGGACUGUACAAAAUGAUAGUAGAAUUAAAGUCAGAAACUUUUGAUAUAAGGAGCUUAAAUUCAUUAGGUGAUUUUAUUGAUUUAUUUAUUUUUUGCUGGAAUAUUUUUAAUGCGAGUCCUUCUAUCUAACUAGACUUCAAUAAAAUUUCUAUAGUCCUUCUAUCACUUUAAUUUAAUGACAAAGUUGCUUAUAUAUCCCUAUUUUUAACUGAAUAAAAUUCAGGUGUUUAAACACAAAUCUUGACCUUUGACGUCAAUUAAGUUAACUAAAUCUUAUUUCUACUUACGUAAACUUCCAGCCUGAAGGGUUGGCAUAAUUGAGUUUACUGGCAGGUACAUAAGCGCCAGAACUCUGAAUAAGACGAGAAAAAAAAAUUCAUAUCAUCCAUUACAAAAAAAUUUCACUUGCAAAAUUUACAAAUAUUAAGGAUUAUUUUUGUUCUAUAGCCAACUUUAGCUAUAUAUAUGAUGUUUGUUUACAAUUUCAGUAGACUUACCUUCUGGCCUAUUCCGCCGUUUUGGAGCAACUCCAUUUCCUUGGCUUGGGACAACAAUGCCUUGAGGUCAACCUCAUUAUGCCUCACUACUUGUGCCAUCUCCUCGAUCGAUCGAUAACUAUCCUUUAAUUCUGCUAUAUAUAUAUAUAUAUAUGUAUUUUCUGUUUCUAUUCUUGAUGUCUAUAUAUCUCUCUUCCAAAGGCUAGCUCUAUUUAUACUGGCACAAACAGAGGGUACUGCGAUUAUUAUAUCCCAUAAUAUCCUAUCUUCAAAUAUUCCUUCCCUUUUCAAAGUAGGGAUCCGAUCCUGAUAAGUUUAACAUCAUCAUCAUCAUCAUCAUCAUCAUCGCCAAGGAUAUAGAGCAGCAGAUUCUGUUUAAUAAUUUUGUUGGAAUAAUUCUUUUCCAUUUCCCAGUUCAAUAGUUCUUUCUUUAGCUUGUUGCGCAGGCAAAAUUCCAUGAAGGCGAAAGGCACGUAGGCAUACUAGUUGUGGGCAAGGAAAUUGUACCUUGCUAGGGUUAGGAUUUCGUGUUGGCUGAGGAGGAGAGAAAUUCACGAAGAGCACGGAAUUGAUUGGUUGAUUGAAGAGGGGAGAACGACAGGUGGGCGAUUACUCCAACGACGUGUGGCAGAACCCCUAGAAUCCAGGAACCGUGUUAGGGUAGUAGGGAUUCCAAGAGCCUUCUUGAGUCCUUCGUUCUUGAGAGAAUGUCUAAACCCCUUUUAGUGCUUUUAGGUGGAAUCUCCGAGCCUUUAAGUCACCAAAAAGGGUUCUUUGAUCUUCCGAGAGUCCAAGUCUUGAGUCUAAAGAGAAGUCUCUUUCCCAAUGGAAUGGAAGGGUAUUUAUAGGGUUUUCUGGAAAGUAGUCAUGUGCGAGGCACAUGCUUUCAGGGAAAUUCCAGAAAUGCCCUUUAGUCAUUAGAAUAAUGCCCAUGUUGCCCUGUCCUUCUAGCCACCAAUCCAAUCCCUCAAUUAAUUCCCACAUCGAGCCGCCUCCACGAGUCUUCUGCCUCGGGACACGUGGAGGCUUCUCCCGGGUCUAGCACAUUUAUUUAUGACUUUUUCAUCUUCAUUCCAUUCGGUUAUGCGAACACUAAUUUGCACAUUUAAUGAGGCCGUGGAACCCUAAUUGCGCAUUUAAUUCAAUUAGGUCAUGUGAACUCUAAUUUUACACUUUGGCCCACAUUUGCCCCCUGCGCGAGAGUCGCAUUUUCAAAUAGACGAUCGUGCAAGAAAACUGCAAGCCUUUGAAUGAUUUUGCGGGACUUCACUUUACAUGUCUUGAAGACAAUAGUCCUAGAAGAGGGAACUCCUAGGGAGCCAAACCCUUAGAGUUAAACCCUAGGAAGGCAAGACCUAGCGAGGCUCUUCCUUGGACAUAUUGAAAAAUCUUCUGAAAUCUUUCUGUAUUUUGCCCAAUAUUUAUUUCCAAUUCCGCAAGCAGAUCAACUGUCCGAGCAGCCUCAAUACGAACAGAAACAGAUUCCGAUAACUUGGAAUGGAAAAUAGAAUUAAGACCAGGCAAAACAUUGAAUAGAGCGAUGUAGAGAUCUAAAAUUUCAAACAACUUGAGAAACGAUGGACGGGUACUACUAACGCCUUCUGCAAAGUUAAUCAAGUGCAAGGCGGAUUCUUUAACUAUACCCAUAAAACACACAUCAAAUGUGGAGUUACCAAGUCCACUAAAGAUUUGUUCACAGAGUUUCUUCUCCUUUAUGAAGAGAUCUUCAAAACAAACACGAGAUGCUCGUAUCCACAAUUUGAUCUUUGGUGCCAACAUAUCCCACUCCAAACUCCGGAACUCACCGAUGCUAUAUUUACCGACGCCGAGGUGUCGAAAUUCUGCAUCCACAAUCAACUUCCUUGAAGUCCUGUAGAAUUCAACGCAGUCGCCAACAUUACCGGCUGAGUUCAAUCGUUCAAUGAUACUCCUAAAACCAUAAACUUCGUCAAUAUGUCCAUCAUCCUGUAAUUCAUAGCUAAAAGUAUCGGUUAUUGUACUUGAAAAAAUGGUAGAACUCCUAUCGGCCAAGAAAGCAUUGUGGACUCUGUUGGUUUGUCGGGUCAAUAUGACCCGAAACUCUAACGGAAGGGUUUCCAUGCCCGUUUAGAUCAUGUUUUGAUGCUUUCAGUUUGGGGAUCUGAGAUUAUUCUCGAUCGUCUGAAGCUCGUCAAAAGUACUGAUCAAUCUCAUGGCGGUCUCCGUCGAAGUCGAAGAUGAUGAAUUUAAUAAUUCCGCCCGAAUAUUUUGUGUUCUACCAAUUCCAUUCAGACAAUACAAAAGAGAUAUAUAUAUCUGCCUAAAAAUUGAAAACCGAAAAUCAUCUCUGAACAGCAGGCUUUGAAAAUUACUCCUACUAGUAGUUUAUAAAUAUAAAUACUUUGAAGAUUGUAAGAAGUUCAUAGCCAUCCACUAGUAAAAGUACUUACCAUUACUAAUUGAUGUCACGUUACCGCAAUUAGGACGGAGAGAGAAAGUCGGACCAACUCUUUUUUUUUUUCAAAUCAAACAUUAAUUUUUUAUUUCCAAAAUCAAAUCUUAAUUUUUAUUUUCAAAAUAAAAUCAAAUCUUAAUUUUUUAUUUCCAAAAUAAAAUCAAAUCUUAAUUUUUUAUUUCCAAAAUAAAAUCAAAUCUUUCUUAAUUUGAAAAGAGAUUUUUUUUUUUUGAAAAUGAAAUAAAAUAAAAUCUCUCUUUUUUUUUUUUGGCAAAUCAAAUCAAAUCAUUUUUUUUUAUCAUUCACGCAAAAGAUUUAAGUGCAUGAAUAAAAUAAAAUAAAAAUGCAUGAAUUUAAGAGUCAUAUAAUCUCACAGAUCUAAUGAAGGGGAAUUGCCACAUGCCUACGACAUUCUCUAUGAAAAAAAUGAUGAAUUAAGGCAAAACGAGAUCCAAUCAUGUAUUAUUUUUUUUUUGAAAAUAAAAUAAAUCUUAUUUUAUUAUCUUUCAAAAAAAUAAAAUAAAAUCUUAUUUUAUUAUUAUUAUUUUUUAAAAUAAAUAAAUAAAUAAAUAAAACAUUUACUUAUCUUAUUUUUAAGAAGUAAGGAGUCGAUGAGAAUGUCUUGUAUCCAUAUUGAAGCCUUUGAUAAUUCUUUGAGCAAAGAUGAUUAUAGCUUUUUGAUGAUUCUGACAUCUUUUAUAUGAGACAAGUCUUCACAUGCUUCCGAUUUUUAUUUGCCAUAAAGAAAGAAUCCAUUAAAGCUUCACAUGCCAGUUGCCACUCCUCUGUUAGCCAACAAAAAAAAAAAACAUUGUUUUGCUGCUUUAUUUGGGUGUUAUAGCCACAGGCAAGCCUCUUUCUAUCCACGCCGAACCCUACUGAUUCAAUUUUUUAUUAUUUUUUUUUUAUUAAAAAAAAUCAAGAACUUUUGGAACACUUAUAUUUAGAAGAAGCUUGUACGUAUGGGAAUUGAUGAUCCAAAAACCCACAACCCAAUUCUUAAUCUCAGUUUCUUUCUUGCUAAUCUUUCUCAGUUGAUGAACCCUUUGGAUAAUAUUAACGAUCCUCUUAGGAGGUUGCAAUAUUCAGAUCCCACUCAACUACUAGCCAAAAUCCAAAUUUUACAUAACCUAUUGCAGGCCAUAAAUGUGAGUCCUUCUUUCCCAAAUAUUAAAGUAGUAAACGUGAAUAAUCUCUUGGGAUCAUAUAAUUAUCUUAGCCAAUUUGAUGGAGUGAUCACGAGUGAAGCUAUCAACCCCAUGAUUAAUCCUAUCCCCAACAACCGGCCUUUAAUAUAUAUACUCCAAUCCCAAACUCAUUUGGAUUCUUUAGCCCACAAAUAUUUAACAAUGUUAAUAGCUUAAGUGGUGUUGCAUGCAAUAUUACUCAUCAAACUGAAAAUCAGCUUCCGGAAAGUUCCAAUACCAAGGAAAUGGACAGUAUGAAGCCUACAAACAUCCCCUCCGGUUCAACCAACUCUGACAAUAUCUUUGAGGUUUUGGAGAAAUUUGUUGAUUGUGAUCAAGCCAAUAGUACUUCCUUCUUGCUUCUUUUUUUUUUUUAUUCAGGUAACUCUAGUCUUUCUUUUGUCUUCCGAGCCCCAUUACCUUGAUCAUAUCUUGGUUUUUUCCCUCGGAUCAUAAAGAAAGAUUGGUAUUUUUUUUUUCUUGCAGGCCCUCCCUGUUGAACAUUCUGCAGACUUGGGAACAACCAAGGAGGCCCCGUUUCUCAAUAAUUGGGGAAGGGAUCCCCUCUUUUGGUCUUUCCGACGUCUUUUGAGAGCGAGUCUAGACUUAUAAUCGUACAACACUUCCUCCGCCAGAGAAGAAAGGCGUGUUUCUUUAUGUCGCGGCUUGCGGAGGUUUGGGUGACUUCCUCCCUUCCGAUCGCAUUCUCCGCAUGUGCAUAGAGAAACAAGAAUAGCCUUUCAGUCCCUUUCGCUUCCUGUCUGACUCAUCUGACCGCCUUCAAGGAUGGCAACAUUGGACCGACUUCCCGUUGUGUGCUCUUCUUCAUACACAUUCAUUACUACUUGGGGGGGAAUUCACCCCUAUUCUAGAGGAUGUCUCUGCCCUCCACCAGUAGGUCGUACUUCGGUUUGCCCCCUGCACGUGAGUCACACCUUUGGUGGGACAACCGUGCAUAAUUUCUCCAGCAUUGAAAUCUUGCUACAAAUUUCUUAAUGAUUCGCGGAGCACGAUGGUGCAAGCCUUGAACAUAAAAUCCCUAGGAGGGGAGACCUGUAGGGGGCGAGCCCUAGAGAAGCUCUCCCUGGCUAUCUUGGAAAAAAUCUUCUAUCUUAUCCUUCCGAAUAUUACUUUCUUUUGGAAGUUCUCUCAUUUUCAAAAUUAAGAAGUCAACGAGAAGGCACCGAGUGAACAUACUUCAAAUUGGGGUGAACAAGCGAUGAAGGAGAUCUUUCCUCUAGGUACCCGAAUCCUGAGCGGCUUCAUUCUGGAACAUUGAUUAACGAGCUAGGAGAAGUAAAAGGUAAGAGGGGAGAGCCUCUGUAGGUGUUUGAACCCCAGGGGCCGAACCCUAGAAGACUGCCUAUUCCUUCACUCUUUUUUUCCUUCUUCCUUUCACUUGAAUCUUGGUCGUGUCCUAGCUUGGUUCCCCAAUAUAGUUGAUCGGAUACAUCUUCAUAGGACCCUUCUCCAGAUUUUCUUGCUCGAUUGUCUUCUGAGACUUAUUCUCGAAAUGCACAUUCUCUCUCUAUUAUCUGUGAGCAGAAGACUUAGAGGUGUUUUAGUUGUGAAGUUGAUGACUUCUCGAUCCUUCUUGGGCCUUGACAUGUCUCCCUUCCGUGCUAAGCUGGAUCUCUUCACUUUCAGUUAUCAUGUCAUUGCACUUUGUUCGGAGGUCACUUCACGUCCUCAUGAGAAUGACUUUCUUUAUGUAAGGGCCUCAGGAGCUUCAGGACGUCAUGGAUAGAUUGAAGGCCAAGCUUCGGGAAAUUGAUUCAUCUGCCCAAGACCUUAAGGAACUGUUAGCCUGAAGUUCGAAAGGCUCGAGAUACUGCCAUUGUCGACUUGGAGGCUUUAGCUAUGCCCCCAGUUCAGUUUGAUGUAUCAUGACCUUUGGAUCAUGACUUCAUGUAGCUUUUAUUUCUUCCAUCACUUUUGAAGAUAAAGUGUAUUAUCGAGGAUUUCAGGGUCAAGUGUCUCAAUCACUUUUGAAGUUGAAAGUAUAACUCUUUUUUUUUUCUGGAUCGAGGGCUGAUUAAUCAGGUGCCUCAUUACUUUUGAAGUUGAAAGUAUAACUUUUUUGGGUCGAGGGCUGAUUAAUCAGGUGCCUCAUUACUUUUGAAGUAGAAAGUAUAACUUUUUCGAGUCGAGGGCUGAUUAAUCAGGUGCCUCAUUACUUUUGAAGUUGAAAGUAUUUUUUUUUUGGGUCGAGGGCUGAUUAAUCAGGUGCCUCAUUACUUUUGAAGUAGAAAGUAUAACUUUUUCGGGUCGAGGGCUGAUUAAUCAGGUGCCUCAUUACUUUUGAAGUUGAAAGUAUAACUUUUUUGGGUCGAGGGCUAAUUAAUCAGGUGCCUCAUUACUUUUGAAGUAGAAAGUAUAACUUUUUCGGGUCGAGGGCUGAUUAAUCAGGUGCCUCAUUACUUUUGAAGUUGAAACUAUAACUUUUAAGAAAUUUGCUCUGAUCAAAAUUUGAUGUAUUUAUUUAACGAUCAAGAUAUAAUACAUUUUUUUUUCAUUUUCUAGUCUGCUAGGGCAGUAGCUUAUUCAGCAUUAUGCUUCUUAUUAUAGUUCGAUUUCACCUGCCGCUAAUUUUUCAUGAUAAAUUCUCCUCAAAUUACGACAAUUCAUGAUGGAAUGUCCUGGGUAUUGAUGAUACACGCAAAAGUCUGAUCUCUUCUUCAUCUCCUCGGUCACAACAAAUCUGGGUUUUGGAGGCUUCACCAUUCCAUUUUCUACCCAUUUCUCAUACAAAUCUUUAAAUAUCUCCUCACCACAAGUGAUAGCUUCGGGCUCUAGCGAAUUUAUAUUCUUUUUGAUUCUUUCCCUCUUGCCCCCCUGUGGCUCUGACUGAGAGUCUGUCAAAGCCGUAGUAGCUGUCCUCUUACUCUUCCAGGUAGCAAUCGGAUGGUUCACAGAUACUGCCAUAAUUUCUCCAUGGUCCUGUGCAAAGGUGGAAAGUGUCGCAAAGGAAUCACAAGACUUAGUGAUCAAGUGGGGCUUGAAGGCGUCGAGGGCGCCGUUGUUGCAAAUACUCACUAAAUUCUUCUCUUCGAUUGGCUCCACACACUUCCGCGCCUGGGCCCGAAAGGUGGAAAGUGUCGCAAAGGAAUCACAAGACUUAGUGAUCAAGUGGGGCUUGAAGGCGUCGAGGGCGCCGUUAUUGCAAAUACUCACUAAAUUCUUCUCUUCGAUUGGCUCCACACACUUCCGCGCCUGGGCCCGAAAUCUGUCAACAUAAUCAGAUAACUCCUCAUUCGAAUUUUGUUGAAUUCUCAUAAGCUCUAUAAUUGACACUUCCUUCUGAACAUAAAAGAAUUUUUUGAAAAACUGGUGUUUCAUAUCAUCCCAAUCUCGAAUCGAACCCUUCUCCAAAUUGUAGUACCAGCUGAAGGCACCGUUAGUGAGCGUCUUGUUAAACUCCCUCAAUAGAAUAUUGUGGUUGCUCACUUCAUCUAUUCCCAACCACGAGGACAUCGACUCCACAAAUCUUGCAAUAUGCUCUCUCGCAUUCCCUUUCUCUCCACUAUACUUAGGGAACUGAAGUGGAUGUUCAAUGUACCCAGCAGGGUAUGGCUGUCUUCUCACAUGCGCCGGGUAUGGUGGGGUGAAAUCCAGUUCCGCAGGCCUGACUGUCUGUCUACGCAUCUGAUUGAUUACAUCCAUCAUGUCUUCCCUUGUCGCAUAUUGACUGGUUUCUGGAGCCUUUUGGGACGUCAUCGCAUACUGGUUUAUCUGAGGUGUAUGUGGAACACAUGUUGAUGCACACUUGCCUCAUGUAAGAUUGGUUGUACUUGCUGGAUUAUUGGUUGUAUAUGGCUUGGGAUGGUUGGUAUCUGCACUUGUGAAAAUGCUGGGAGUGUAAUCGGGAUGAUGUUUAGCUGAGGCUGGCUAGCUUCCAAUCUAAGUGGUGGUACAUCACCACUGUUCUGGGGCUCCAAGUUGAUGACUGGAAUCGGCUGACUCUCCAUUGCUGGAGGUAUAAUCUGAUUCUCUUUGUUGUUGUUGUUGUUGUCCUCCACUUCUCCUGCUCGUCCCCCUUGCGAACUUCCUGGGAACAUGGUCUUGAAAGUGGGGAUUUGCAUCAACUGCUGGCAAAAAUUCUCCAUUUCUUCUUGCUUUCUCUGCAUCUCUAGCAUCAUGGCCAUCAUCAUCCCUUGCCCUUCUCGUGCUUCUUUCAAUGCUUUAAGCAUCUCCAGUUGCACAGCAUUCGUCUGGUCUCCCCCUGCAUCUUCGCCUUGCCUUCUUGCAUUGGUUUGUUGUUGAUUGGCCAUAUGUGGUGAUGUCGAACUCCCUUCCAAAGCGUCUUCAAUAAUUGGUUGGUCAAAAUCCAGGUUUGCGCCUUGGAAAACUUGAGUUACUUGUCUUGGAACUGGAUCCGGUGACGUAAUGCUAUUUGUUGGUGAAGCAGCUCUUCCUGUAAUUCUCCCACUUCGAGUCGUGGGCAUACCCUUCACGAAUUAUACACCUCCCCAGCAGAGUCGCCAAAGAAAUGUGGGCAAGGAAAUUGUACCUUAGUAGGGUUAGGGUUUCGUGUUGGCUGAGGAGGAGAGAAAUCCACGAAGAGCACGGAAUUGAUUGGUUGAUUGAAGAGGGGAGAACGACAGGUGGGCGAUUACUCCAACGACGUGUGGCAGAACCCCUAGAAUACAGGAACCGUGUUAGGGUAGUAGGGUUUCCAAGAUCCUUCUUGAGUCCUUUGUUCUUGAGAGAAUGUCUAAACCCCUUUUAGUGCUUUUAGGUGGAAUCUCCGAGCCUUUAAGUCACCAAAAAGGGUCCUUUGAUCUUCCGAGAGUCCAAGUCUUGAGUCUAAAGAGAAGUCCCUUUCCCAAUGGAAUGGAAGGGGUAUUUAUAGGGUUUUCUGGAAAGUAGUCAUGUGCGAGGCACAUGCUUUCAGGGAAAUUCCAGAAAUGCCCUUUAGUCAUUAGAAUAAUGCCCAUGUUGCCCUGUCCUUCUAGCCACCAAUCCAAUCCCUCAAUCAAUUCCCACAUCGAGCCGCCUCCACGAGUCUUCUGCCUCGGGACACGUGGAGGCUUCUCCCAGGUCUAGCACAUUUAUUUAUGACUUUUUUGUCUUCAUUCCAUUCGGUUAUGCGAACCCUAAUUUGCACAUUUAAUGAGGUCGUGGAACCCUAAUUGCGCAUUUAAUUCAAUUAGGUCAUGUGAACUCUAAUUUUACACUUGGGCCCACACUAGUAAAUGAUGAUUUUCUUCUAACCAGAAGUAUGAGCAGGUUAAAAGUAGAAGAAUAAGCAUCUCGCAGGCCAAAAAUCAAUAAAAAAACGAAAAGAAGAAAAAGAAAAGAAGAAGACAGCAAUAGCAAGACCAUAUUUUUCUUCUUCUUUCUUUUUAUCUUUUCUUUCUUUCUUUUUUGUUUCUUUUUAGACGGAGGGUUUUAUUUCAUCUUUGAAAAUAAACCUAAGAAUUUAUCAAAGGAAAUAAAGGAUAAACGACAAUACAAAUAUAUAUUUUUAUUUUAUUUUCAAAUAUAUACGCAUGCAUGAUAAAGAUUCACAAUUAUACACACAUAUAUAAUAGGCUACAACCAACAAUCUACUAAACAAUUUGUAAACCAUCGAGGUGUUUUAGUGACAACCUACCGUCUACCAAAUCGUUAUUAGUUAACGAGUUAGUGUAAAUUUUCAUUUUGGAAGCUAGUAUAAACUAUCAUCUCUCAAAUUGUUAUUAGUAGAGGAGCUACGAAUGUAAACUAUCGUCUAACAAACUAUAUUAGCUGAUGAACUAGUGUAAACUAUCAUUUACUAGAUGUAUGAGCAUGUUAAGAGUAGAAGAAUAAGCAUCUCGCAGGUAAAAAAAUAGGAAAAGAAGAAGACAACAAUAACAAGGCCACAUUUUUCUUUUUCUUCCUUUUUAUCUUUUUUUUUCUUUUUUGUUUGUUUUUAGACGGAGGACUUCAUUUCAUCUUUGAAAAUGUGGGUAAAGAAAUUGUACCUUAGGUUUUCAUGUUGGCUGAGGAGGAGAGAAAUCCACGAAGAGUACGGGAUUGAUUGAUGAAUUAAAGAGGGCAGAAGAACAUGUGAUCAAUUACUCUAAUGACAUGUGACAAAACUUUUAGGAUCCGAGAACCUUCUUAGGGUGCCAAAGAUCCAGGGAGUCUUCUAGGGUGUGCUUCGGGUUGAGAGAGAAUCUCCAAGUCUUCAAUCUUUCGAAAAGCCCUCUUCUUCAUAGAAUAGAAGGAGUAUUUAUAGAGUUUCCUGGAAAGUGGUCACAUGACAGACAUAUGACCUCGAGCAAAUUCCAAAAAUACCCUUAGUCACCAGAGUAAUGCCCAGAUCGUCCUGUCUUUCUAGCCACCAAUCCAAUUCCUCAAUCAAUUCUCAAAAUGAGUUGCCUCCAUAAGCCUUUUACCAUGGAGGCUCUUCCUUGAUCUCAUGAUACAAAGCUCUUAUUGCUCAAACCAUGCUUACUUGCUCUUCCUUCUUUAUUUAAGAAUCUCGUCGCCAGAAAUCAUCGGAAGAACUCUGCGCAAGACCCGGGAAGCCGCGUGUUACAAACCAGUCCCACAUCGAAAGAUAUGGAAAAAAAUUAGUCUAUAUAUAAGGAAUUAUGUUACUACCAAUAAUAUACUUUUAAGUCAUGACCUUUUGGGUGAGCCUGUGGUGGGAUAAGAUGACCCAAUAAUAUACUAUUGGGUCAGUGGUUUAAGGCCUUGGGAUUCGGACUUGGGAUUUGACCCAAGAUUUGUUUUGGGCAAUUUUACUCAGGUUGUUACAUAUGGUAUUAGAGCCGACUCUCGAAAGCUCGGGUCGGAUCAUCCGAUCGGGUUGCCGGAAGUGGGGACACGAAACCAGCCGAUAUUAUCCCACAAUGGCUAAAGAGGCAAAGAUCUGUGGAACGUAUAUGUGAUCGAUUUUGAUGGAGAUGUCAAAAAUUUAAGUGGGGUAGUUUAUAACACCUCAGUCCCACAUUGAAAGAUAUGGGAAAUACUAUUGUGCAAUGAUUUAAGCUAUCCAGCUAUAUUGUUAUAGUUUGGAUAUAUUCCAGUAUGAGAAUUAACAAACCCUGAAAUGGGAUAUUUUUAUUGCACUCUGGGAGUGGUGACGUUGAACAUGGAAGUUGUUCUGGAUAAGAUAGUAUUGAUUAAUAAAGGGCAUAUAUAAAGGGCUGAUCAUCCAUCGUGCUCAUAAGAUAAGAUGGUUCACAAAUAAAUUUUUAAGAAAACCUUUUCAAGAAAAGAAAAAGCUUGUUCACGGUCUUAUGACCUCUCAGAUGUUCAAUAUUGAUAUGAUAUUCCAGGAAUAUGAAUGAUUCAAGAUUUAAUUGCUUUACAGUUUUGUUUCACUGUUAAAGCAUGUCUCAAAGAAAACAUUUAAUUAUUGUUAAGAUAUUAAAGAAUGCUAUUACUUAUUGAGCAAUUGAAUGCUCAUUCUUGUUUUGUUAUAAAUGUUUUCAGCUAAUCAGGCUCCAACGGAGGGGUCUAAUAGAGACAAAGGAAAAGGAAAAGCUACUGAGUAGUAGGUAUAUGUUGUAAUAAAUAGUUUAUAUGUUUGUAGAUAUUUAACUAUCAUGUAAUAAGCACUUAAUGGUUACGUACCUGGUAUUAGAAGAACUCUGAUAUAAUAAAUCUAUCAAGUUUGAUAUUAUAUUAUGUUGAAUGCUUGAUAUCUUGAAGCACUGAAUAAGGGUUUAAAAUACCCGAAUUUGGGGGCGUCACACGCCCGAUUCGCCUCCUUUGCGUAUGUUUAACAUGCUCAUACAACUUGUCUAAUACUCCAUUGAUUAAUUCUAAGUAUCAUUAUAUUUCAUAACUUUCAUGUUUAAUAACUUAGAAUAACAUAUUUUAUCGUCAAAAGCAUCCACGUAGUACGAGCAUGCCCGACGCCCUCCGAUCGCCUCCGAUCGAAUGCACAAUAGUCCUAAAAAUAGCCAUUUUAGCCCCUUCUCCCGACCUCAAAUCUCAAAACUUAUAAAAUAAAAGUUUUAGGUCAACUUCUAAUAUUUUCGAAUCAUCUUGAAUCACCUCAAUCAGAGUUCGUAUAAAAAGGUUAUGCAUGUUUUACUAAAGAACGUCAAAGCUGACUUUCUGCACUUUUGGUUCAGCGCCCAUCCUAGGCCUAUUUCCAACGCCCCGGGGCUGGACGGCAGUACGUUCUCAGCCAAAAACUUCAAUUUUCAAAAAUCUUCAGUUUUGAAUGAUUUCAACAUGUCUACUUUGAAAUAUCAUAAAUUUCUCCUCCGAUAUCGAAAUGAGCUCGUUCUUAAUGGGUUGAAAAGCUUGCAACACCCUCUACAAAUUUCUCAGGACAAAAUAAUUUUCUGGAUUCUCUAACAAUCCUUUAAACUUUCUCAAAAGUCCAUCGAGACUAAGAUUUUUAUCAUUCAACAUACUUUACCAAAAUUUUCUGCCAUGACUUCGUUUUAACAUAUUUUUACUCCGUUCCAAUUAGAAUAUCUUCAUAAAUUCCUUAUCUAUAAAUCCUUAUUCCCGAAUUUUAUUUAUUACAACCCUAUCAACAAUAUUAAAAUCCAAUUUAAGUACUCUAAAUAAAUAAUGUCUAUCCUUUAAGCUUUGGCCUACGAUUCCAUUCUUGUUACCACUUCUUAUGCAAUUUAACAAGUUAUUUAUCAUGAUCAAAGCACACAUAACUUUAUUUACUCAAGGUCCUUCAUACUCUUUCAUUAAACAACCAUCGCCAACAACUAAUGAUUCAAGAAAGACUUCACAGAAAUGAAAAGAUGGAUGGUUCUUACCUUCUUAGUUAUUCUUCUUCUUCCUAGCUUAUGCUUUGUUAGCAUGAUAUACAUUGUUGGGCCCUCCAUCUACCAACUUAAGCUUUUAAGAUAAGUUGGUUACUUAACAUGGUAUCAAAGCUUUGGGUGUGCAAGGUCUUGGGUUCGAAUUUUUCCAGCUGCACAAUUAUCUUUCUAUUAAUUUAACAGUGCAAAUGCACUUUAAUUUCUCCCUUCUCUAUAAAAAAAAGUUGCGUUUGAGAGGGAGUGUUAGCAUGAUAUACAUUGUUGGGCCCACCAUGCAUCUAACAGCUUAAGCUUUUAGAUGAGUUGGUUACUUUGCUCUUCUUUCUCUUCUUAUUGGUAUUCGGCCUCUCUAUUUCUCUCUCUCUCUCACUCUCUUGUUUUCUUUCUCUUCUCUCUAGUUUGCCCUCUCUUCCUUUUUUUUUCUUGCAAAUGAAAUGAAUUGGCUAAGUGAAAAAUCCUCUAGAUCAAUUGAAUUCUCCACUAACUAACUCAACCAUACUUCUAAGGUUAGGUUAACUCGUGUAGGGUUAGGGAAUGAUAGGAUGACACUUGUAAGCUUAAUGUUUAAGGAUGACAAGAAGAUAUAAGCUAGCAUUAAAUUAAAUUUUCACCUUGCUAGAUGAGUCACACAUACUCUCCCUUUUGCUUCUUUAAUUGGUUGGAUCACCCCUCCCUUUCUUAGCUCAUAUUUUAAUUAUCCCAUGUGGGAUAAACAUCAAUCCUCUCCCUUAUCUUACUUUUUCACCCAACUUAUCUUUUAUGAGAUAACUACUAAGUCUCAUUCCUUAUCUUUUCUUCGAUAAGCCUUGUCAUUAAUCCUUAUCUCUUCCUUGUUUUCCUUCAACCCAAACUUACCAUAAAUAGAAAGUUUCCAUCUCACCUUCUCUCUUCUCCUUGUCCAUAUUCAAAUCCCCACAUGUUUAAUUCUAGCAAAUGACACUUGCCCUCUUAUAACUUUGGCUCCUAGUUUGGCUCACUUUUUGGCUCAAAGACCAAGCCAUGGCUCCUAUCCUUUGACUCUAAGCUUAAGCCACUCAAACCUUAGGCUCAACCCUUAGCUAAGCCCCUUUAAAUUCCUAACCAAGUCAUUUAAACCUUAGGUUUGGUUAGACUAGAAUUAAUUUAAUUUCUCUUUUUCUUUUAAAUUAGUUAGAUUUCCUAAUUUUUUAGUUACAUUUUUCGUAAUAUGCUUGGUUAGCUGACAAUCCGACUUUUGAUUUUCAAAAAUCCAAUUUCGCCACCAUUCCUUCUUUCCCGAAUAAACGCUAUGUAGUUCUUCGAAAUUUUAAAAAAAACGAAGUUGGGUUUUUAGCGUGAAUAGUUUUUUUUCAUACGACUUUUUCUAGAAAAAUAUUUUAUUAGAGAUUUCAUCUCGCCUUCUCAAAUAAACACUAUGAUGUAAUUCAAAAUUCUCGAAAAAGUAUGUUUAUUAGCGUUUUUCUGUGAUUUUAAAAAUAGUAACUUUUUCGUCUUUUUCUCGAAAAAAUUAUAUUCUCCCAAAACUCCCAACACUUAUACAUAAUCACGUAACACGUAAACUAGGUCAUUAAUCGACCUAAAUCAUGUAACACAUAAUAAUAUCUAUAAAAUUUUAUUUUAUUAGAUAUUCACAAAUAAAACCUAUUUUCAAGCCUAUCUGAAUUCUCGGGUCGUCACAUAGUAUUUAUAGAGUUUCAUGGAAAGUGUUCACAUGCCAGGAACAUGACCUCAUGGAAAUUCAAGAAAUACCCUUAGUCACCAGAGUUAUGCCUAGAUCAUCUUGUCCUUCUAACCACCAUGCAAUCCAAUCCCUCAAUCAAUUUCAAAAAUGAGUUGCCUCCAUAAGCCUUCUGCCUUGGGACCCAUGGAGGCUCCUCCUCGAUCUCAUGCUUCAAAGCAAUUGUUGCUCAAACCAUACUUUCUUACUAUUCCUUCUUUAUUUGAGAAUCUCGUCGAUGGAAAUCCUCGGAAGAACUCUGCGCAAGAACCAGGAGGCCGCGCCUUAGGGGGGCAAUCCUUAGGGGGCGGAACCCUAGGGAGCUGAACCCUAGGGGGGCCUCCUUCAGUUCUUUUCGUUCGUUUCAACCUUUCUUGGUCAGUUUUCAUCAUUUUCUCAUGAUUCUUGGUCCUGUAAGAAGCCUUUCUUGUCAUAGAGAUUAUAAGGCUAAUCAUUAUUUGGAGUUUCACAAGAUUUUAGUUUAUUUUUGUAGUCCAGGCUUAUUUCUUUGUCAUUGCAUCGAUGAAACCCCUUCUAGCAUGCCAAUCGAGAAAAUGAGGUAGCAUAUGCCCUAGGGUGCCGAACCCUAAGAGGUAAUUUAGAUUUCUUUUGUCCAUCUUUUGUCUGUUUUCCUUUUUUCAUUACGAUAGUUCCAACCAAAUCCAGUCGGAGAAGAAAUUGGUUUUAUCUUUUCUUUAAGGAGAAGUCAUCUUGGAGUGGUUGAACCAUAGGGUGGCCGAACCCUAAGGGGCCAAAAUCCUAGGAUUUUUCCCUUUUUGCUGAUUUAAUGCUUCGUUCAUUAAUUGAAGUCUUGUUCAUUUACUUUCGUCUUUUCAUUUAAUUCAAUUAAAUCAUAUGUAAACCCUAAUUUGUACUUGGGCUCACAGAAAAUAAACCUAAGAAUUCAUCAAAGGAAAUAAAAGAUAAAUGACAAUACAAAUAUUGCGUUUUGUUUUGUCUUAUUUUUUUAAUUUUAUUUUCAAAUAUAUACGCAUGCAUGAUAAAGAUUCACAAUUAUGUAUAUAUAUAUAUACAUAUAGAUACAUAAUAUGGUAAAUAAUAGGUGGUAGUUGUUUUAUUUAUAAUAUGGUAAAUAAUAGGUGGUAGUUGAUUUAUUUAUUACAUGCUAAUAACAGCCAUGAGUUGAUAGUUGAUUUAUUUAUUAUAUGCUAAUAACAGCUAUCAGUUAUUGGUUGAUUUAUUUAUAUAUCGUGCUAAUAACAACCAUCAACUUGUAUAUAGUUUCUUGAUUUACUGCUGAUCGGAAGAUUACUGAUCGUUCAUUUAGGCGUUGGUGGGACUAAUGUUAACACCAUAGAUAACUAAACCCGUCUUCAUAGUCACGCUUUCAGUCCCGUCAAGAGCAAAUUUGAUAUCUCCAUAGUCAAACUUAUUGAAGAAUUCCCCAGCUUUGAGCGAAAAUGGUGUGUUUCUCGGAUAAUUCAUCAAUCCAUAUCCGUUCACUUGCGAGGAUCCAUUCGGAAGAGUAAGUGUAAGACUCACCGGACUUGCUAUGUUAAAGUUGUCUUUCAGCAGCACCACAAAAGAUACCUCAUAAGAUAAAUUUUCAAGCUUUUCUGUCAUAUAGUUUCCGUCAACAUGUAGGACUAAGCUACCAAUUAAUUCAGCACUGUCAGGACUGUAAAAAAUGAUAGUAGAAUUAAAGUCAGAAACUUUUGAUAUAAGGAGCUUAAAUUCAUUAAUAUAGUACAAUUAAUGCGAGUCCUUCUAUCUAACUAGACUUCAAUAAAAUUUCUUUAGUCCUUCUAUCACUUUAAUUUAAUGACAAAGUUGCUUAUAUCCCUAUUUUUAACUGAAUAAAAUUCAGGUGUUUAAGCACAAAUCUUGACCUUUGACGUCAAUUAAGUUAACUAAAUCUUAUUUCUACUUACGUAAACUUCCAGCCCGAAGGGUUGAAAUAAUUGAGUUUCUCAGCAGGUAUAUAAGCGCCAGAACUUUGAAUAAGACAAGAAAAAAAAAUUCAUAUCAUCCAUUACAAAAAAAUCUCACUUGCAAAAUUUACAAAUAUUAAGGAUUAUUUUUGUUCUAUAACCAACUUUAGCUAUAUAUAUGAUGUUUGUUUACAAUUUCAGUAGACUUACCUUCUGCCCUAUUCCGUUGUUUUGGAGCAACUCCAUUUCCUUGGCUUGGGACAACAAUGCCUUGAGGUCAACCUCAUUAUGCCUCACUACUUGUGCCAUCUCCUCGAUCGAUCGAUAACUAUCCUUUAAUUCUGCUAUAUAUAUAUAUAUAUAUAUAUUUUCUGUUUCUAUUCUUGAUGUCUAUAUAUCUCUCUUCCAAAGGCUAGCUCUAUUUAUACUGGCACAAACAGAGGGUACUGCGAUUAUUAUAUUCCAUAAUAUCCUAUCUUCAAAUAUUCCUUCCCUUUUCACAGUAGGGAUCCGAUCCCGAUAAGUUUAACAUCAGCAUCAUCAUCAUCACCAAGGAUAUAGAGCAGCCGAUUCUGUUUGAUAAUUUUGUUGGAAUAAUUCUUUUCCAUUUCUCAGUUCAAUAAUUCUUUCUUUAGCUUGUUGCGCAGGCAAAAUUCCAUGAAGGCGAAAGGUACGUAGGCAUCCUAGUAAAUGAUGAUUUUCUUCUAACCAGAAGUAUGAGCAGGUUAAAAGUAGAAGAAUAAGCAUCUCGCAGGCCAAAAAUAAAAAAAAAAUCGAAAAGAAGAAAAAGAAAAGAAGCCACCAAUAGCAAGACCACAUUUUUCUUUUUCUUUCCUUUUUAUCUAUUCUUUCUUUGAUUCUUUUUUAUAAUUUUUUUUAGAUGGAGUCUUUGAAAAUAAGCAUAAGAAUUCAUUAAAGGAAAUAAAAGUGUUGAAAGUUGUCUUGCAUUAGUCUUCUCCAAAUUCUGUUCCCCUUAGACUUUAGAAUUUAGCCUUUCCCAAAAUUCUGUUCCCCUCAGAUUUCGGAAUUUUGCUUUCCUCAUUUCUUGUUCUCCUCUCCAGAUUUCUCCUAUAAAAGGGAGCUUUGGUGUAAGACCCCAACUUUUAUGAAUAAAGACGAAUUUUUCUAUAAAUAUAAUUUUUGAUUAUUAAGAUGUGAAUUUGAAAAAAUAUUAUAGUUGUGAGUAAUAUUUAAAAAUUUUACAAAGUAAACAAGGUGUUAUAAAAUAUUCGGUUGGUCGAGGAAUAUUCGUUUUAACAGGGAAUAUUCAUACGACGACACAAUCAUUGGUGGACCCCACAACGAAAGUAUUGUCGGAGUUAGAAAACGACAGAAAUAUCUUAUUAUGAAAAUAAUGGCGAAAAUUUUACCGUUAACUGUUGAAAUACCCGUUAGUAAAAGUACAGUAAUACGUAUGGUUGCAUAGUAGUACACGGUAUUAAUUAUUGAUGCUUACGUGAGAAGUCACUCAGUUAUACUCAAUUAUUGUUACAGUAAUUGUUGUAUCAUAUCUCUUAUAUUAUUGAUUCAAUUAUUGUCAGUAUCAUCUGCAUAAUAUUUUAUAUUAUUAAAUCAAUAAUUGAGACGAUAAAGUUAUUCAUAUUAUUAUUUACAAUAUUGACGAUGUCUAGAAGUUCUGUCAAGGAGAGGUUAGGUCAUUUAAUUGCGCGCCAAUAGGGAGAAAUCCUUAUCGGAAAGCCCCUCUUUCCUGAAAACGAUCUGGUUGUUAAUAUUGCGAGUUAUAAUAAUGAUGAAUAAAUUGAAGGAAUUUUAUGAAAUAUUUGUUGUAAGUUUUGCUUAUUAUAUGGACCCCCAUUUAACCAUUUUUCAAAAUAAUCGGUAAAAAAUUAUUCAGUAUUUUUUUUAAUAAAAAAGGUGGGGCCACAUGUGGGGCCCACUGAAAGAAAAAUGGGGGGGGGGAGAUGUUUAUGUUUGUCAUGGGUGAAGGUUUGAUUAUAUAUAUAUAUAUAUAUAUAUAUAUAUAUAUAUAUUAUAAUAAGUCUUUUUUUUAUGAAAAAUAGAAUAUAUUAAAUUUUAUUUGCAUAGUAUUUUACUAUGCAGUGCACAGUAAAGUUUUGUGAAUUAGAAAUUCGGCGCCCGUGAAAUUUUCGAUUGUUUUGUCCGUGAGAAUUUCAAACAGUACCCCUUCCAUCAUCCUAUAAAUAUGACGCUUAUUUUGAAUUGAAAAUCACACAAGAAUCAGAGAAUUUUUUUCUAUAAUAUUGAGUAUAUUUCUUUCGAGUUUUAGAAAGUUUUGAGUGUAGAAAACAGUGAAAGUUUUUUUCAAGAAUAUCCCCGCUAUACCAGUCGAAAUACUCUUCUUAGGAUGUUUUUUUGUUCAAUAUUCGUAUGAAAUAAUAUUUUCUUCCAUACUCUGUAGUAUGUAAAUAAUAUUAUUUCGUUUUAGAUUUCGAAUUCUAUAUCCAUUUUGUUAAAGUUUUGGCUCCUAUACUCCAUGAAAUUAGUAGAAUAUCCUUAAAAUUUGCGUUUCAUCCAGUAUCUUUUCAUGGAAAUAUUAUUCUGAGCAUUCUUGAUAAGUUUUAAUUUUUUCAUGCCAGAGUACUAUAUACGGGGUACUAUUCUCAAAUUACUAUUCACGGGGUACUAUUCACUCGGUUACUAUUCAUCCGAGGCACUAUUCAUGACAAAAAUUAAUUUUUUUUCGGUCCAAAUCAUUUUUGUUACAAUAUUAUUCGUGAAUUUUACUCCAUAAUGCAGUAUCAUAUUGACAAUUUGGACAUUAUUAAAUUAUGGAUAAAUUAAAUUAUAAAUCUUUAAAAAUUUAUCUUUUGCUUUCAUUUAAUUGAAUUCUUAUAUCAUUGUCAUCAUCCUGAUGCUUAUAUUAUAAUGAAAGUCAUUUGUGGCCCGUAGUGCAUAGAUGGACUUGGUAUGAUUAUGACCAGGGAUUAUUUGGUAUAAUCAUGACUGUAAUAUUACAAAUGAUGUGGUAAAAGUCCUCAUUGGCCCGUAGUGCAUUGAUGAACAGUUGUUUUCAUGAUCAUGACCAUUGAUGAAAACACGAAUAUCUUUGGCCCGUAGUGCAUGAAUAAUUUGUGGUUGUGAUACUAAAGAAUAUCCUUGGCCCGUAGUGUAUGGAUAAUUCAGUGAUGUGUAUUAUUUAUUAAGCUGAGUCUCAGCGAUACAAUUGAUGAUAAACCUUUUAAAUAAUAGAAGAUAGUAGAUUUUAUGCUCUACUUAACUCUUCUAAUAGAUUGCUUGUUCCUCUGCAAUUAAACUUGAUGUUUAUUAUAUUUUAUCAGUUUAACAUUGUUGAAGGCUAAUGAUAAUUUAUUCUGUGUUAUCUUAGUCAUAAUAUUUCUUACUGGCUAGUUGAGCUCACCCUUUACUUUCAUUGUUCUCUUCAGGAAAUGAGAAUAUAGCUGGGAUCGACUAGUCGGGGAACGGAGUGACGGUCCAAAUGAUAACAUUAGUAGUCCUCACUAUUCUGUGAAAUAGUGUGAUAAUAAAUGUAAUGAGGACUUAUUUUGAGUUUGAAUACUGUCUAGAAGACAAUAUUUGUAUUAAAACUCACAACUCAUGUUAUAUAUUUAAGUUUAUAUUUGUAUUCUGUACCAUGUAUUUAACGAUUCAAAAUGGGUGAUGUAUACCUAUUCUGGGGGCGUCACAGUUGGUAUCAAAGCUUGGGGAUAUGAUCCCUGGCUGAGAUGAGAGACUAGAACUAGGAGGGGAGAGUCAGGUAAUUCCUUUGCUAGUAUGACCUACCUAAGUUUAUUUGUUAUUUAAUUAGUCGGUCAGAAUAUAGGGAUAAUAUGUUGCAUGUCAAUUAACCCUUGUUUUGUGGCAGUAUUUGAAAAUGACAUCCGAGAAUGUUGAGAAUAGCAAUGGAGUACAUGAGACCGUUGAAUCACCAACGAUCAAUAACCAGGAUAAUGUGCAUCAGGAAGGCAAUAAUCCUCAUGCAAACAAUAACUCCAACAAAAUAAUGAACGACAAAAUGUUUAUGAGCUUUCUUCAAUUCAUGCAACAUCAGGCAAGAGAGACUCCUGUUCAAAAUGUAGGUGGAAAUACCGGCAACUCUCGAACGGUCACCGCUAAGCAAUUCAAGGAGCUGGGACCACCGAAGUUUUUGGGAAAGCCAAAACCACUUAAGGCGGAGACAUGGUUAAAGCAGAUCACUAAGAUAUUUGAUGUCUUUGGAUGCUCCGAGGAGCAAAAGGUUCCCUUUGCCACCUUCAUGUUGCGAGGAGAGGCAGAUCAUUGGUGGAAAUCUGUAAAAUGUACCCAGCUUGCCACAUUAAAGAUGUCUUGGGAGAAGUUUCAAGAACUGUUCAACGACAAGUACUUUUUCGAAAGUAUUCGUUAGAUGAAGGAGGUGGAGUUCAUCAGGUUGGAAUAAAACAAUAUGACCAAGACGCAGUACGAGGCUAAGUUUGCGGAGUUAUCCCGGUUUGCAUCUCAUUUGGUUGUUAAUGAGGAGAGAAUGACGCGGAUAUUUUUAAGAGGUUUGAAACCUGAGAUAUGUCAAUAUCUCAUUCUCACAAACUUUGCUUGUAUUCAGAUGUUGUGAAUAUUGUAAUAACUCGAUAUUUUCUAUAUAAUUAAAUCAGAAAUUUUACGUAUGAAUUUUUUUAUUUAAUUAUUAAAGUUGGAAAUAUGUGCCAGGUAAUGUGUAUAUGUAUAUAUGUGAUAAAUAAAAUAUAUUUAUUACAUGAAUAAUUACCAAUAGUUUUAUUUUAGAAUUAUUGCUCAUUAUAAAUUAUAUUAUAAUAAUAAUUAGUUUUAUACUAAAAAUGUUUUCAUUAAUUCUAUUCUAUGAAAAUAUGUUUAUAUAUUAUUUAAAAAUUAUAUGAAAUGAUUAUAUAAUUAUUAUAAUGAUUAUUCUAUUUUAUUAUAUGAAUUUAGUUCAGAUUAUUUAAGUUAAUUAUUUUAACUUAAUUAUUAUUGUUAUGUAUGCAAGAUAAAUCAGAUAUGGAAUCCAAACCCUAAUUUUGGAUUUUGAACAAGGAAUGAGAAUAUUAAUAUAAUAUUAAUUAUAUUUUUAUUUUUCAGUGCUAUAAAUAUAUAUGUUAUGUUUGUAAGGUUAAUCUGGGGAGCAAUUUUCUUAUGACCUGAUAAAACCCUAAUUUGAAAGUCAAUUACGACUGUAAAAUUUGUUAAGUCAUUGUGAUAUGUGGUCUAUGAUUUGUAUUAUAAGUAUUAAUGUUAAUUCUAUAAAACCCUAAUUAGUAAUUUAAAACUCUAUUUUUCUUAAAUUAGGAACCCUAAACAGUACUUAGCUAUCCGCUAAGUGAAAACCCUAAUUUAAAACUCAGCUAUGAGUCGAGACUGUUAUGUAACUGUAUUAUUAUGUUUAAGGUUAAGUAUUAUAGAAUUUUAUAUUAAUUAAAGAAACCCUAAUUAACAUUUAGAAAUUCUAAUUUCUAGAAACCCUAAUUUCUAAAUUAGUAACCCUAAUUUGCUAAAACAAAACUCUAAUUGUUAAUUUGGCACGCUUAAUGAUAAUUAGUAAAAUUUAAACCUAAUUUUCAAGUCUAUGUAAUGAGGAAACCAAAUUAAUUAUGAAACCUUAAUUUGUAUUUUUAGAAACUAAAAAUUUCAAUUUUUUUAAAAUUAGAAAUCCUAUAACACUUUGUGCUAACCCUAAGGGUCAAACCCUAAGGGUUUGAUAAGUUACUAGUUUGCCCUUAAAUUGAUUAGCCAAAUGACAAAAAUACCCCUCUUGCAUUAUUGGACAUAACUUGUAAGACUAGCCAAUUUUGAGUUGCUCAACAACUCUUACCAGCCCCAUGUGACUAAAAUGCCAGCAAUCAAGCUCUAGAUAUCAGCCAACUUGAUUUCAUGUUUUAUAUAUAUAGACAUCAAGAGAGAGAAAUUUCAUUUAUUAGCCACAUUUGUACACAAACUCCUUACCAACUCUCUCUCCCAAAACCCAUGAAAUGUUGUAGUAGAUCAGUCCCGUAUUGAAGCCCCACUAACACACUUAAGCAAAUCAGCAGCCAGAAUCAAGAAUUGAUGCUUAAAGGUAUAAAAUCCUAAGUCAAAUUUUGAUCUUGUAUGCUAUAUUGGAUUUGUGGUUUUAAUGUUUAAUCAUGUUGAAUAAGGUGUUAAUAGGUGAUCUGGGUUGGCACAUGUUAGAUCCAUAACAUCAAAGUGCUCGAAAUCUAAGUUUUUCAAAAUAUGGAAAUUUUUGUUUUUGUUGUCUGACAGCGAAUGUCAGGCCUUGUAGAUCUGUGCUUAUUUAUUAUUUUGAUGAUUUAAAUGUUUGAAGUGGUAGUCUGGUAUGAGGUCUUUCAUAUGAAAAUGGAAUCACUGUUAUUGGAUGUCUAGAUCGAAAAUUAUUGAUGGUCAAAGGUCGUUGACUGACCAUGACCGAGUAUGAAUCUGGGCAACCUUGAAAGCUUUUUCAGCGUCUGAAAAUGUUUUGGAAGGCUUAGAUCUGUCAGUGUGUAAAUGAUUUGAUGAUGUUAUAAUAUCCAGUUUAUAGCUUGUCAUAUGUAAUUUAUAUUUGUGGCUUUAUAUCCUUUAAACAAACAAUUGAUCGAACUUAGUGGAUGGUCAAACCUGGCCCCUCGGUCACGAUUUCAUUUCUGGGAAUUUCCAGAAAAUCGAAAGAACAGCCCUCUGACAGGGUUUGACCGAGUAAUAUCUUGUAGAUCUGUUGAUGUUAAACUGAUUUGUUGUUAUAUUAUUGUUCCUGGACAUAAGGACUACAUCUUUGAGGCAUUAGAUCACUUGAAUCAUGAACGGAACCUAGAUUAAAUCGAGGAUGAAAGUGACUGGUCGACCACCUGGGUUUCUGGAAAACCCAGGAAUGCUCUGACAACAUAUUUGCAAGCCUAGAUCUCCUUGUGUGUUUGUUGUAUGACCUAGAUAUUGAUUGCUAGUUAUAGUGUUGUAUAAUGACUUCAAUAUUGAUGCUUAAGUUUGCCCAAAAACGAAUUAGACAGAGAAUUAUUAGUGGUCAAAGUUGACCCCUCAAACACGAAGCUGUCAGUGUUCUUGAGCUCAAGAACACCAACAGCGACGCUUAGUGUCACUAAAGGCCAAUAGCGAUGGUUUCUAAUAUUUUUAAUUUCUGAUUUUCUAGAAAAUACUUAAAAAUAGAAAAUAAAUUAUAAAAAUUACAAAAAUGGUUUUAAAAAUUAUUUUAAAUUAUGAAAAUUAACUUUUAAUUAUUUGGGAUAUUUUUUAUUAAUAUUUAUAAUUAUUUGAAUAUUAUUAAUAUUUAAUUUAUUUAAUUAGUGUAUUAAAUAAAUUAGAGAAAAAUGAUUUUAAUGUUAUAAAAAUCAAUUUAAAUAAGAAUAAAGUGUUUAAAAAUAUUUUUGAGUUAUAUAUGUAACUUUUAAUAUUUUUGUGAUGAAUUUCAUUAAUUAAUUAAUAUUAAUGAUAAUUAAGUUAUUUAAUAAAUGUAUUAAAUAAAUUAUGAAAAAUAGAAAUUAUGAUUUAAAAAUCAUAUAAAAGUGAUUUAAAGAUUAUAAAAAAAUAUUUUAAGUUAUAAAAUAUAACUUUUGAUAUUUUGUCAUGAAAAAUAUUAAUAAUUUUAUAUUAAUAAUAUUAGAUUUAUUUAAUGAUUAUAUUAAAUAAUUUAGUUUAAAAUGAUUUUAUUAUUAUAAAAUUAUUUUAAAUGAAAAUAAAGUGUUUAAAGAUAUUUUAAGUUAUAAAAUAUAACUUUUAAUAUUUAAAGGAUAAUUUCAUUAAUAAUUUAAUAUUAAUGAUAUUAAUUUAAGAUUUAUUGAUAUUAAAUUUAUUCAAUAAUUAUAUUAAAUAAAUAGUUUUAAAAUGGUUUUAUUAGUUUAAAAAUUAUUUAAAAAGGAUAUAAAUGAAUUAAAAAUAUUUUAAGUUAGAAUUAAUAACGUUUAAUAUUUGGAUAAAUAGUAGAUUAAUAUUUUAAUAUUAAUGGUAAUUAUUUAAAAAUGAUUUUAAAUGUUUAAAAAAUUAUUUAAGGGUAAUAUUAGCACUUUAAAAAUAUUUUGAGUUAUUAUUAAUAACUUUAAUAUUUUGGCAAUGGUUUCAUUAAUAGUUUAAUAUUAAUUAAAUAUUAAUGAUAAUAUGAUUAUUUACUAUUUAAAUCAUUUAAUUAUGAUUCUAGUGUUUGAAAAUUCAUAAUAAAUUAUAAUAAAUGUUUAAAAAUUAUUAUAAGUCAUUUAAAAAUAAUAUGACUGAUAUUUGUAGAUAUUGAGAUACAGGAUAGAGUCUUAGACUCGAUAUUUACCUGAUAAAGCCGUCGGUAGACCGACAUGUUUCAAAAAUUGAUCUAGACUUAGAUAUUUUGACUGUAUUAAUAUUUGUUUGUGAUUCAAUGACUGUUGAAUAUGUGUGACAAUGUGAUUAGGUUAUAUGCUGACUGCAAUAAGCAGUGCUAUGUUAUUCUAAUCGAACGAAUGAUCUUAUUAAUGAUAGAUUUUGGUAUUAAAGAUAAAACUAAGUUGCGUAUUGUAAGCAGCAGACCAGGCAAGUAUCAUAUAUUUGCAUUUUGUUUAUGUGACGCCCCCAAAUCCGGGUUAUCUUUAACUCGGGUUUGGUGCUUACGAUUCUAGAAUACCCAUUCAUACUAAAAAUAAAACUGUCUUAUAUUACAUAAACAUUGAACUUAAAUCCCAGGUUCUAGAGACCUUUACAUACAAGCCAAAUAUUAUUACAUCAUAGUGCUACAGUAUUUAUUACAUGCACUACUUAGGUUCAUUUAAGCACAUGCGCUUAAUAAUUGACUACUCAACAACCUUGCCCUUUCCUUUGUCUUUUCCAGAUGGACCGGCAACCUCAAUUUUAACUGAAAACAUUAUAUUUAACGCAAGGGUGGGCAACAAGUUUGCCCAGCAAGGAAAUAAGCAGCUAAAUAUAAGAGAACAAAAAUAUUACAGUAAUGGGGAUAUCAUACAGAAGGUAUAGAACAAAGUAAUUCUUAAGAGUGUUGAGUCAAAAGUCAGGAUUUAUCAUGCUGUAAGGUCAAAUGACCAGUGAACACUAUACUAGAAUUUACAGUAAUAAUACUGCAAUCUAUGAAUACAAACAGUUAUAAAGCUGUUUUAUAUCCUAGACUCGUACUUCAGGGGAUCAGCCUAAGUACCCUAUAUUGUGCACAACAUAACAGUCUAAUAAAACUUUACAUGUCCUUCAGAAUCAUAUAUACGGUACAAUACGCCCCUAAAAAAGGGUUGUUCGUUCACAGCAUUAUAUAAGAAUCCAUACCACAAUAACAAAAUGGUUUGGAAAGAAUUAACUGAUAAAUUCAUAAACAAUAUCAAUAUAUCUCAACCUUUGUCCAAGCGAAGUAAUGGUAUUGACAUACUUUCAAUAUAACUUUUAUUCAAGAUAGAAAAGUUGAUAUACUAUUCUUUUGAAGCUGAUUGGAAUAAAAAGGCUAUUUAACCUUAUAUUAUUCAUAAAUAAGGACAAACAGUUCAGAAAUUAAAGAACCUGUCCACUGCAGAAUAUUUGCUCAAUAAAGAGUAAGGAUUAGAAACUUGCCUUGUUUGUAGUCUAUCGUUUAGGAUUUCAGCUUAAUUGAAGUAUUUCUCAAAGUCCUACACAGUUAUUUGUAUUAACAAGCAUGUUAAUCACAUAGCUAUGUUAUAUAGUUUGUAAGCUCACAUAUCACAUAAUUUCAGUGAUUAUGGUUGUAGUUAAAUUAUUAUUUUUGAUACAUUUUUCAAAUAUCUCAUCCAUGCUUUCAAGAGACAUUUUUCACUUUGAUGGGUUUCAACAAGCUUUCAACAAGUAAUAGAAAUCAUAUUACAGUCAUCAUUUGCAUUAACCAAGUAUGUUAGCCACAUAGCUAAGUCAUAUAUCAUGUAGUUUUAAUGGUCAUGGUUAGAUUUCCUAUAUUUGAUACAUUUUUCAAAUACCUCAUCCAUGCUUUCAAGAGACAUUUUUCACUUUAUUAGUGUUCAAUAUGCAAUACUUUACAACUACCAUCUCCAUUUCCUUAGUAACAUAGUAUAUAAUCAUUUUAUGUUUCCUUUACUUAAUUUCUAGCAUAUAAGGUGUUUUCAUAGCUUAUUGUCGGUUUUGAAGGUAUUUCUUAUAUGUAUGGUUAACCUAUAGUCUUCCUCAUAGUUUAUAGAUUCAUUUUGACACACCAGUGUAUCAAUUAUCACUGUUUUCACCUAUGAUGCUAAAACAGCCCUUUGAGGCUUUAAUUUUUUUAAACAUGACUUAAUGAUCCCAAUUUAGGUUUACUGUUUAUAUUAGAUUUCAUUUAGAAUUUUUCUCCUACACUUGCUUGCAUCAUAACUCUACUCAUUUAGAGAAACAUAAUCUAUCCUUUAUAGAUAAUCUGGUUACUAAAACUAAAUUUGGAUUCAAACAUGAAUUUUACAAAACAGUCAUUAUUGUAGCUGCUAUACCACAACUGUUGUUUCCCAUUCUACUUGUUGUGGCUAUUGGUAUCAGCUAUAUGCUGCCACUAUUAGGCAGUAAGUCACAUCACUCAUGCCCAAAAAUGCUUCUAAAUUAACCUUUUCAGCUGGCUUUGCAGGCUUUGCAGCCCUUAAUUGAGCCUUACAGCUCAAUAAUCUCUGUAACACAUUUCAGUUAUUAGUCUUAUCUUAUAACUUGCUAUUCCAUUAACAUUUUCUAUGUAUGAAUGCACUGCCAACUGCUACUGCUGGUGUUGCUGUUGCUGCCAAUGGGCAGCGACUAUUAUUUUCUUACCAUAAGCUGUUUGGUCUGUUUCAAGUGCUGCAGUCACAUGUCAUCAUGCUCCAUCAACUAGAGUAAACAAAAAUGCAUGAACUUAACUUACUAACUGCAGCCCAAGAAAAACAAACUCAGCUGUCAAAAUGACAGUGCAGUCAUCUACUUGAAGUUGCCAAGGACAACAGCUAUCCGAAGCUUUUUGCUACUGUCAUUAGCAGCCUCCCUUGCUCCUUAACCCAUUCCCAACAAUCCUCUAACCUCAGUUUUGCUAUAUUUCUAGGAAUAGGCCUCAUGGCUAUAAUCUUUUAGAGUUAUAAGGUUAUCCCAGUUGGCCUAUUAAGCUUUGGCUCCUUGGUUUAGUGACUGUUUCAACAGAGUAGGCAAAGGAGUUUGUCAAGCUAGAAUUACUUAGCCUAAAAACUGAACUAUGCUAAAAAUUUCUAUGCCAAAACAUUACAGUCAUCACAUAUGUUGGGUAAAUCAGGUAAAUAGUGUACUAGUUCUACUAUUCAGUUUCUUUUUACUAAAACAGUCCUCUUAGGUCUUUUAUCAAACAGUUGGUGGGCAUGGUUAUAAGCUACUAGUUCCAUAGCCAUUUGUUUAUAUUCCAACUCAUAUUUUCCCCUUAUUACUCCACAGCCCACUUAUCUCCUUGUGCUUAAAUUAUAACAAUAUCAUAAUGGCAUAACAAUCAAUGAAAUGUUACAACAGUUUAUAUAUAGCAGCUUAACACCCACAUAGCAGUCCUCAAAUCCAUACUAGGCCUUUUAGGCUAAAUGAUCAAAACAGUCCUUAAGUUUUUAACACAAGGAUUAAUAUAACAUGUACAUACUAUGUUUUAUGGUUUAAAGACCCCAAUACCAACCAUCCUGUCUUGACACUAUAACAGCUUUAGACUAGCAAUUUGGUCAUGGUUUAUCACACCAAACCAAUAGCAAGCACUGAUAUGUAUGCCUUUCUAACACUAAAACAUUUUACCUACCAUAUUUUCAUGGUUUAAAGCAUCUAGAGGCAAGGUCCUUAAGUUUAAAAUCAAAACAGCCUCUCAUAGGCUUUUAAAGUAAUAUAAGAUAGCAUGCUUGGGCAACAUGAAAACAAGGACUGCCUACUAUGAAUAUAUUAGAAGUAAGGCAUGAUCAUCAUAAUAAACUUCUAAUAACAGUCCACAUAAUGCAAUAACAGUUCAUAUAAGGCAAUAAUAAUUUAUAUAGCAACUAAAGUCCUUCUAACAGUCAUUUAUGCUUAUUCUAGUCACCACAACAAGUAUACUGUCUUAGUCCAUUCUGUAUACUAGUUCUGGGCAUGGUAAUAUAUUUUACAAUCAUAAAUAACCAACCAUCUUGGACUCCUUUCCAGCCACACUGUUUUGCCAUUAUAGCAGUUUUAGACUAGCACCUUAGGCACAGUUCAUCACAGCAAAACAGUAGCAACAUAGCAUAGCGUAUCAGUCCAGUUAUUACAAUAACAGUUGGUAUAUCACAAGGAUGAUGCUACAGCUAUUCAAGUCUCUUUUAGGCCAUUUUGGCAAGGUUUUAGUAAUAAGUUAUCAAAGCGGUCAUUAGUGUGCAAUACAAAGAUUAUUACCUCAUGUACAUGCUAUAGAAUAUAUGUUCAUGUUUUAAGAGCCUAUAUACAAGGUUUCUUGCUGUUAGUUCAUAACAAUCCCUUAUAGGCUUCAAUUUAAUACACGGAAGCAUGAUCUGAAAAAUUUAGUUAUCAAAAUAACAUGUUUAAACAUAAACAUAUACUCGAGGUAUUCUUUUUCUUUCUAUAUAAUCAAGUAGACAUGCUAUUAGGCUCUAUUUACAGCUAGCAUACCUUGAUACCAUAACAGUCCAAUUAGAGCAAUAUUUUAGGCAUGGUCUAUUACAACAAAAUGGUAGCAAGCACUGACAUGUUUUCCUUUCUAACACAGGCACCUUUUAUUUAUCAUAUAUUCAUGAUUUAAAACAUCUAAAGGCAAAAUCUCUUUGCUUUAAGCCAACACAGCCCUCUUUAGGACCCACUUUCCAAAAAUAACCAUGGUUUACCCUUAUGUUUACAAGGAUAACAUGGAUGUGCAACAUAGAAGUUUAGACUAUCUUCUUUAUAUGGUAUUUAAGAUGCAAAAAUAUAUUUGGAUGUCAUAGAAUGCCUUACCCCAUAUAUAUCAGUCCUUAUUAAGCCUCAAAUCUAGCAUACCAGUUUCUCAGAAUAGUGGCCAAGUCUUGGUUAAUUGCUUAGAUUACAUAUAUGCUAGUAUACAAUAGUUAUACCCAAUACAUCAUGCCACAUAUAACAUAUAAGCAGUCCUUUAUUAAUAAUCAUAGCAUAACAGUCCAUUUAACAUCAUAGCAAUUCAUAUGGUAACACAGAUCAUGCUAACCGAAAUCAUAAUAUCAUUAACUUUUUAGCAGCUCCUUAGCUUGACAAAUUAUCAAACACCUAGAGUGCAGUCUAUAUACUUGCACUUAAUACAUAAUUUCUAGCCCUCUGCCCCCAGCCGUAUGGCUUAAACAAUAUCAAGCAUAAGACCACACUUAUCAGUACCAAACCCAGCAGUUCAAAUAACAUGAAAGCAGUCAGUUAUCAUAACAGCCAUACACGUUUUUGGUCAUUGACAAUUCAUUUUACUAAUUAAUUUAAUAGCCAUCCUAAUCAUUUAUCAAUUCAGUUGUUACCCGGAAUGAAUGGAAAGAUUAGAAAGGCCAGAAUUGGCUUACCUUGCUGAUUCGAAGGUAUCAAGUGGUUGAGCUGCUUAAUUCCUUUUCCCCUCUAGCCGAACUCUUCACUCUUACUCUAUAUGACCGUUGCUGCUAAUUCUUUUGGACUCAGUUAAGUGAUGAGGCUAAUUGAUUUUGGGUAAUAACCUGGCCUUUUUAUGGCUGAGCUUAGCUUCCUUACAGUUGAUCGCAUCACCUUCUACUUGCCCCCUAACAUAUAAUCUAUUACCUCUAGCAGUUAGACUGCUCUGCAGCCACCCUACAAGACCCUAGUCUCUCUGCCAUGCCUUAUCUGUUGCUAACCUGUCUACUAACUAAUAACUGACUAACUUAUAGACUAACUACUGCUAACAACAGAACAGCCUCAGCUCCUAAGUUUACCCCUGUGGGCUGUUGGAAAAAAUCCUAAGGCAAGGCUGGGCAGUGGUUUCAUUUUGGGCCUAGUCCCUUUAACCCAAAGUUUUACUUGUUAAUUUGCUAUACUCCAAUGGGUUUACAGGAUUGGGUUUUGGACAUCCAUUUCACUCUUUAACACUUGGAGCUGCCGAAUUGGGCUAGCAAAUAGACUACAUGCAACGAUCAUGGCAAAAUUAUUAAGGCCCAAUAUUUUAAUAUGGACUCUUGUUACAUUAAAACACAUGGACUAUUAUUUUCUCUAGCAACAAUAGUUAUAACAUAUAUCAUUAAAAUGACUAUUCUAUGUAAUCUUAAAUAAUUCAUGAUGGCACAUAAUUUCUUUGCCCUUUAUAACUCAAGAUGCUAAACGAACUAUUAAAUAAAUAAUAUUUUUAUCACAAUGAGAAUUAACAUAUCAUAAAAAAAAAUUUAUACUCAAAAAUUGACAUUACAAUAAUUAAAUAUUACAUAGGAUGAACUACAGGCCAAUGAGGACUUUUACCACAUCAUUCGUCACAUUACGGUCAUUAUUAUACCGAAUCAUCCCUGGUCAUAAUCAUACCAAGUCCAUCUAUGCACGUAAGCCAAAGAUGACUUUCAUCACAAUAUAAGCAUGAGGAUGAUGACAAUAAUAUAAGCAUUAAUCAAACGAAAAUAAUGAUAAAUUUUAAAGACUUUAAAUUUAUCCAAAUGUUUAUCAAUCACUUAAUAAACUCAUAAUCUAAUAUUAUUAAUAUUAUAACAAUAUUUUAAUCACUUCUUGAACUUAUAAACAAUUUAUUCUAAUUGUUUACACUUUCCCAAAUAAUACAUUUUAAUCAUUCAAAAAUACCAUACUCAUAAGAUUUCAUCACCAAUGAUCAAAUCCCUUAUCAAAAAUCUGCAUAUACCUUAUAUAGGAUUUCCAAGCCAUAAAAUCCAUUUUACCAAUUUUUCAACUUCACAUAACAUAUUUAAUUCAUAUGUUCGUAACUAAACUAUUUUCAUGAAAAAUACCAAAUCAGUCCAAAAAAUUAUUCUUUUUUGGGAUUUAGCAGAAUAUAGUCCCAUAUUGAACAUAUAUUUUUCUCAUAAUUUUUAAAAUUCAUUUACUAUUUUUCAUAUGGCCAAAACUGCCGAAUAUUUAGACAUUUAUCAUAAAUUGUACUUUUGUCCAAAAAUUCCGAAAUUUACAAGGUAUACUCCUAUUAUAUAUGUGUACUCCCAAUAAAAAUUUAACCAAUUUUGGAGUUAACCACAAGGAGUUAUAAGGGUUUACUUUUAAAAUAGUUUUUUCCCAUAAAAUUCAUAACUCCUAAUCUAUACAUCCAAAAAUUGCCAUUUUUGGACACAAUCUAGAAAUCUCAACAAACUAUCAUUUCAAAUGUUUCCAAAAUUUUUGAGGGUCAGAAAAAUUACGAAACUGCAAAUAGAUUUUCACCCGUCAUUCGGUAAUCCAGGUAGACAGAUCAUUUCCACAAUUUAAUAAGGAAUGAAUACAAAGGAUCAUUCACCAUGCAUGCGGUAAUCCACAUAGACAGGUUAUUCCAACAGAAUAAUAAAAAAUAGAAUAACAACAGAAUUCACCAGGCAUACGGUAAUCCGCGUAUACAGGUUAUUCCAAUAGAAUAAUAAAUAAUGGAACCAGGUCAUGCGUAAUCCGCAUAGACAGGAUAUUCCAACAGAAUAAUAAAGAAUGGAAUAACAACAGAAAUUCACCAAGCAUACGGUAAUCCGCGUAUACAGGUAAUUCUAACAGAAUAAUAAAGAAUGGAAUAACAAUAGAAUUCACCAGGCAUACGAUAAUCCGCGUAUACAGGUUAUUCCAACAGAAUAAUAAAGAAUGGAAUAAUAGAAAAUUUUCACCACGUAUGCGGUACUUCGCAUAGACAGGUUACUCCAAUAUAAUAAUAAAGAAUGAAAUAACAAAAGAAUUUCACCAUGUAUGCGAUACUUCGCAUAAACAGGUUAUUCCAACAUAAUAAUAAAGAAUGGAAUAACAACAGCUCUCUUCAUGAAUACGAAAGAAAUAAUAAUACCCCUUACCUUAGAAGAAACUGGAUACUGGAAUAGUGAGGUAGCAGGCUUCUCUUCUUCUUUCUCUCUAUAAUUUCUCUCUAUAAUAAUUGCUCUAUAGCUUUAGUGAAUUGGUGAGAAAUGAAGGAAGAAUGAGCUUCUGUUUAUAGGAAAACAUAGUUUCAAUAAUUGCACAUUUUGGGGCUCGAAAUAUUACAUUAUAAUACCUUCCUCUUUUUCUUUAUUUUUAAUUUAGCCCUGCAAGUAUUAUCAAACUUGCACCACCUCCUCUAAUAGUAAAUCAUGUGAAUUAAUAGUAAAUCAUGUGAAUCAAUAGUUCUAGACAUGUGAAAAUACGAAUUACAGUAUAGUACCUCCAUCUAUACCUCUAUUUUUAACUUAGUCAUGCAAGUAUUAUCAAUCUUGCACCAACUCCCCUAAUAGUACCAUAAUGUGAAUCAAUAGUACACACAUGUGAACAAAUAGUUAUAAUCAUAUGAAUUAAUAGCAAUUAAAAGCUCAUUUAUCCGGAUAAUUACCCGAUUGGUCAAUAUAACCUCCAGACAUCAAUUAUCAUCGAAAUAAAUGUCGAUUCCCACUAACACUAAUAAUUCCAACACAAUGGAACUAUCAAUUUCAUCUUUAAUCAACACAAAUUUAUUCAUCAUUAAUAUUAUAACUCAUAAUAUUUAACAACAAGAUCGUUCCCAGGAAAGAGGGGGCCUUCCGGUAAGGAUUUCUCCUCACUGGUGCGCAAUUACCUAACCUCUCCUUGACAGAACUUCUAGACAUUGUCAAUAUUGCAAUUUAAUAAUAUUAAUAAGUUUACCAUCUUAAUUAUUUAUUUAAUAAUAUAACAUAUUAUGCAGAUGAUACUGUGACAAUAAUUGAAUCAAUAAUAUGAGAGAUAUGAUGUAAUAAUUACUGUAGCAAUAAUUGAGUAUAACUGAGUGACUUCUUACGUAAGCAUUAAUAAUCAAUACCGUGUGCUACUCAAUUCGUCAGCUACCACGUUCGCUCUUUCAUGAUGAUAUUGAAUGGUACGAUCGUAAUCUUCUACAGCUCAAGCCAACGUCUUUGGCACAUUAUACGAUUAUUUUAGGUAAAGAAAUAUUUGAGGGUUUUAGAAAUGAGUUUUGUACUUGGGUCAAUACAAAAUAUGAUUUCACGCUCUGGGGUAGGCAAGGAAGUUCUUCGAGAAUACGUCAGAAUAUUUAUUAACAAUAGAAAUAUCAUUUAAAAACUGUGACUCUCAUCCAAGACUUGGACAACACAUGAAAUGAAGGUUUCUACUAACGAAGUUUCAACCAAUAAGUCAAAGUCUAACUUCUCUGGGGUCAAAUUUAAAUGUUGAGCGCAAGCAAGAGAGAUAAAAGAAUGGGUAGAACCGGUAUCUAAUAAGGUAUAGACUUCGCAAAAAUUUAUAAUUAACUAACCCGUGCUAACUUCGUUCGGGUUACUCGCUUUUUGAGAAGUCAUGAAAAACGCUCUUCCUGAAACCACCGACUUUGUUUUGUCCAUAUCCGCCUUUGGUGCCACCGUCCCAGCUGGACUUGACUUUGGUGCACGACAAAAUCGGGCUAAGUGUCCUUUUCCAUAAUUAUAACAUGUUUUGGACUGCAUCACGCAGUUUGGACUGAUAUGUCCCUCCCCUCCGCAUUUGAAGCAUACAAUUGGUGGUCGUUCUCCUUCCUUGAAAACGGGUGUUGGUGCUGCUGUCUUUGCAUCUUUGUUGAACCUUCUCUUCUUGAAAUUUCCACUCCUAUUAUCUUGGUCAUGAUUACCACCGAAGUGGUUACCAUUCUUGGUGUAAGACCCCAACUUUUAUGAAUAAAAAAUGAAUUUUCUAUAAAUAUCAUUUUUGAAUAUUAUGGAGUAAAUUUGAUAUAAUGUUAUAGUUGUGGGUAAUAUUUAUAAAUUUUGAAAAGUACGCAAGUUGUUAUAUAAUAUUCGUUUGGUCGGAAAAUAUUCUUUUUGUCGGGAAUAUCCGUACGACGACACAAUCAUUGGUGGACCCCCACAACGGAAGUAUUGUCGUAGUAAGAAAACGACAGAAUUAUCUUUUUAUAAAAAUAACGGCUAAAGUUUUACCGUUAAAACUGUUGAACUACUCGGUAGUAAAAGUACAGUAAUACGUGUGGUUGCAUAGUAGCACACGAUAUUGAUUAUUAAUACUUACGUGAGAAGUCACUCAGUUAUACUCAAUUAUUGCUAUAGUAAUUGUUGCAUCAUAUCUCUCAUAUUAUUGAUUCAUUUAUUGUCACAGUAUUAUCUGCAUAAUAUGUUAUAUUAUUAAAUCAAUAAUUGAGACGACAAAGUUAUUAAUAUUAUUAAAUUGCAAUAUUGACAAUGUCUAGAAGUUCUGUCAAGGAGAGGUUAGGUAAUUGCGCGCCAAUGAGGAGAAAUCCUUACCGGAAGGCCCCCUCUUUCCUGGGAACGAUCUUGUUGUUAAAUAUUAUGAGUUAUAAUAUUAAUGAUGAAUAAGUUUUGUUGAUUAAAGAUGAAAUUGAUAGUUCCAUUGUGUUGGGAUUAUUAGCGUUAGUGGAAAUCGACAUUUAUUUUGAUGAUAGUUGAUGUCUGGGGGUUAUAUUGAUAAAUCGGGUAAUUUAUCGGAUAAAUGAGCAAUUAAUUGCUACUAAUUCACAUGUUUAUAUAACUAUUUGUUCACAUGUGUGUACUAUUGAUUCACAUUCUGGUACUAUUAGGGGAGUUGGUGCAAGAUUGAUAAUACUUGCAUGACUAAGUUAAAAAUUGAGGUAUAGAUGGAUGUACUAUACUGUAAUUCGUAUUUUCACAUAUCUAGAACUAUUGAGUCACAUGAUUUACUAUUAAUUCACAUGAUUUACUAUUAGGGGAGUUGGUGCAAGAUUGAUAAUACUUGCAGGACUAAAUUAAAGAUAAAGAAAAAGAGGAAGGUAUUAUACUGUAAUAUUUUGAGCCCCAAAACGUGCAAUUAUCAAAACUAUAUUUUCCUAUAAAUAGAAGCUCAUUCCUUCAUUAUUUUUCACUAAUUCACUAAAGCUAUAGAGCAUUUAUUAUAGAGAGAAAUUAUAGAGAGAAAGAAGAAGAAAAGUCUACACUUCACUACUCCAGUAUCCAAUCUUCUUUGAGGUAAGGGGUAUUAUUCUUUCGUAUUCAUGAAGAGAGUUAUUUUUUUUCAAUACUCGUUAUUCCAUUCCUUAUUAUUAUGUUGGAAUAACAUGUCUAUGCGAAGUACCGCAUACAUGGUGAAAUUCUUCUAUUAUUCCAUUCUUUAAUAUUCUGUUGAAAUAUCUUGUUUGUGCGUUUUACGCAAGACCUGGUUCCAUUAUAUAUUAUUCUGUCAGAAUAUCUUGUCUGUGCUUUACGCAUGACCUGGUUCCAUUAUUUAUUAUUCAGUUUGAAUAACAUGUAUACGCGGAUUACCGUAUACCUGGUGAAUUUUGUUGUUAUUACAUUCUUUAUUAUACUCAGUUGGUUAAAGUUUUGGCUUUUAUACUCUAUGAAAUUAGUGGAAUAUCCUUGAUAUUUGCGCUUCAUCCAAUAUCUUUUCAUGGAAAUAUUCUUCUGAGCAUUCUUGAAUUUUACAUCACAAAGCAGUAUCAUGUUGACAUUUUGGACGUUAUUGGUUCCUGGAUAAAUUAAUUCUUGAACUUGUUUUAUUGAAUUCUUAUAUCAUUAUCAUCAUCCUCAUGUUUAUAUUCUGUUGAGAGUCAUCUGUGGCCUGUAGUGCAUAGAUGGACUUGGUAUGAUUAUGACCAGGGAUUAUUCGGUAUAAUCAUGACUGUAAUAUUACAAAUAAUAUGGUAAAAGUCCUCAUUGGCCGUAGUGCAUUGUUGGACAAUUGUUGGUAUGAUCAUGACCAUUGAUGAAUACACGAAUAUCCUUGGUCGUAGUGCAGGGAUGAUGUUGAUUAUUUAUUAACCUGAGUCUCAGCGAUGAAAAUGAUGAAAAACCUUUUUAAAUCAUAGAAGAUAAUAGAUUUUAUGCUCUAUUUGACUCUUUUAAUGGAUUGCUUAUUUUCGCUGCAGUUUUUGAUCUAAAACUUGUUGUUUAUUAUAUUCUAUCAGUUGUUAUACUGUUGAAGGCUAAGGAUAAUUUAUUCUGCAUUAACUUAGUCAUAAUAUUUCUUACUGGGCUUGUUGAGCUCACCCUUUUCUUUCAUGGUUCUCUUCAGGAAAUGAGAACGUAGCUGAGACUAGUCAGGGAACAGAGUGACGGCCCAGAUGUUUGCAUUAAUUGUCCUCACUAUUCUGUGAAAUAGUGUGAUAAUAAAUGUAAUGAGGACUCCAUUGAGUGUGGAUAUUGUCUAGAUGACAAUAUUCUUCUUAAAACUCUUAGAUUAUGUUUUGUCGUAUUUUACACGACUGUUGUAUAAUUAAGUUGUAUUUGAAUUUUGUACCAUAUAUCCGGCGACUCAAGAUGGGUGAUGUAUACCUAUUUUGAGGGCAUCAUAGUUGGUAUCAAAGCUUAGGGAUAUGAUCCCUGGUUGAGAUGUGAGAUAAGAACUAGGAGGGGAGAGACGGGGAAUUCCUUUGUUAGUAUAACCUACCUAAGUUUAUUUGGUAUUUAAUUGGUCGGUCACAAUAUAUGGAUAAUAUGUGACAUGUCAAUUAACCCUUGUUUUGUGACAGUAUUUGAAAAUGGCAUCCGAAAAUGUUGAGAAUAGCAAUGGAGCACAGGAGACCGUUGAGUCACCAUAGAUUAAUACCCAGGAUAAUGUGUAACAGGAAGAAAAUAAUCCUCAGGUAAACAAUAACACCGAUGAAAUGGGGAACGAUGGGAUGUUCAGAGGCUUUAUGCAAUUCAUGCAACAUCAGGCGAGGGCGGCUCCUGUCCAAAAUGCAGGUGGAAACACUGACAACUCUCGGACGGUCACCGCUAAGCAGUUCAAGGAGCUGGGACCACCGGAGUUUUUUGGAGAGCCAAAACCACUUAAGACAGAGACGUGGAUAAAGAAGAUCAACAGGAUAUUUGAUGUCUUGGGAUGCUCCGAGGAACAAAAGGUUCCUUUUGUCACCUUCAUGUUGCGAGCAGAGGCAGAUUACUGGUGGGAAUCCGUAAAGCGUACUCAACUUGCCGCACUGAAAAUGUCUUGGGAGAAGUUCCAAGAACUGUUCAACGAAAAGUACUUUCCCGAAAGUAUUCGUCAAAUGAAAGAGGUAGAGUUCAUCAAGCUUGAGCAAAAAAAUAUGACUGUGGCGCAGUACAAAGCUAAGUUUGUCGAGUUAUCUCGGUUUGCGUCCCACUUGAUUGAUAAUAAGGAGAGAAUGACGCGGAUGUUUUCAAAGAGGUUUGAAACCCGAGAUACGUCAAUACCUAAUUUCUCACAAACCGUGUUUGUAUUCAGAUGUUGUGAAUAGGGCUCAGUUAUUGGAGCGCGAUAAUGAAUCAACCCAACCAAGAGAGAGCAGCCGACAAGUCGAUAAUACCAGUGGUAGCAGUCAUCGAAGCGGUGACAACAAGCGUGGAGGGAAUCAACAUGCCAAAAAUGGUAAUCACUUCGGUGGUAAUCAUGGCCAUGACAAUAAGAGUGGACAUUUCAAGAAGACGAGAUUCAACAAUGAUGGAAAGACGUCAGCACCAGCACCUGUUGUUAAGGAAGGAGAACAAUCGCCGGUCGUAUAUUAUAAAUGCGGAGGGGAGGGACAUAUCAGUCCAAACUGCGUGAUGCAGUCCAAAGCAUGUUACAAUUGUGGAAGAGAAGGUCACCUAGGCUGAUUUUUUCGUGCACCAAAGUCAAGUCCAGCUGGGAUGGAGGCAUCAAAGGCCGUCCCAGACAAGACAAAACCGGUAGUUCAACGGAGAGCGUUUGUCGUAACCUCCCAAAAAGUGAGGAAUCCGAAUGAGGUGAUCACGGGUAAGCUAAUCAUAAACUCUAGCAAAGUCUAUACCUUAUUUGAUACCGGCUCUACCCAUUCUUUUAUUUCUCCUAUUUGCGCUCAACGUUUAAAUUUGACUCCGAAGAAGUUAGACUUUGACUUAUCGGUUAAAACUCCAUUGGGAGAAACCUUCAUUACAUCCACUAUUUAUAAGUCUUGUUUGAUUCAAAUCGGUAACCGUACAUUACCUGUCGAUCUUUUUUCUUUGAAAAUACUUGCAUUUGAUGUGAUUUUAGAGAUUAAUUGGUUAACUACUCAUCAUGCUAAAAUCGAUUGUUUUCGUAAGGUUGUUAGCUUUCAUAUUCCUAACCAACCUAUUAUGCGAAUUCAAGCAACCAAACAACUAAAAUCAAUCACUAUCAUAUCAAGCCAUAAAGCUAUUCAUUUAUUAAAAAAUGGAUGUCAAGCUUUCUUAGCCCAUGUCACGGAUUUAAAUAAAAAUACGUCAGAUUUGAAUGAUAUUUCUAUUGUUCAUAAAUUUCCUGACGUAUUCCUUGAAGAAAUUCCUGGCCUACCCCUAGAGUGUGAAAUUGAAUUUUGUAUCGACCUUGAAUGUGGUACAAAACCCAUUUCCAAAGCCCCAUAUCGAAUGGCUCCUAUUGAACUUCAGGAGUUAAAAACCUAACUACAGGAAUUAUUAGACAUCAGUUUCAUUCGUCCUAGUACAUCUCCUUGGGGUGCUCCUGUUCUAUUCGUGAAGAAGAAAGAUGGAAGUAUGCAACUUUGUAUUGAUUAUCGGGAGUUGAAUCAUGUCACCAUCAAAAAUAGGUACCCGUUGCCUCGCAUUAAUGACCUGUUUGACCAGUUGCAAGGAGCUAAAUUCUUUUCAAAGAUUGAUCUUCGUUCCGGAUAUCAUCAGUUGAAGAUUAAAACUGAUGACAUUCCAAAGACUGAUUUCAGAACUCGGUAAGGGCAUUAUGAAUUUCUAGUCAUGUCUUUUGGAUUGACUAAUGCUCCUGCUGCCUUCAUGGACAUGAUGAACCGAGUAUUCAAGGAAUAUUUGGAUCACUUUGUGGUCGUCUUUAUUGAUGACAUCCUCAUAUACUCCAAAAGCCGUGAAGACCAUGAUCAACACUUGAGGCUGAUACUUCAAAAACUUCGUGAGAACAAGCUUUAUGCCUAGUUAAAGAAAUGUGAGUUCUGGCUUGAGGAAGUUGCAUUCCUUGGGCACGUGAUAUCAAAUCAUGGAAUAUCUGUUGAACCAGCAAAGAUUGAAGGAAUCCAAAGCUAGGAGCAACCAAAGUCAGUGACUGAAAUACGUAGCUUUCUUGGCUUAGUUGGUUAUUAUCGGAGAUUCGUGGAAGGAUUUUCUCGAAUCGCUACUCCAUUAACUCAGCUGACUCGAAAAGAUACAAAGUUCAGUUGGAGCGAGAAAUGUGAGAAGAGUUUUCAAGAACUCAAGAGAAGACUCAUUUCAGCACAUGUUCUGACAAUACCAUCUGGCUCGGAGGGAUUUGUCAUCUACAGUGAUGCUUCAGGCAAAGGGGUUAGGAUGUGUUCUCAUGCAACAUGGAAAAGUCAUAGCCUAUGCCUCACGACAACUCAAAGAAUAUGAGAGGAAUUAUCCUACUCAUGAUCUAAAGUUGGCAGCAGUCGUUUUUGCGCUUAAGAUUUGGAGGCAUUACCUGUAUGGAGAGAAGGUGGAGAUCUAUACGGAUCAUAAAAGCCUCAAAUAUUUCUUCACUCAAAAGGAACUCAACAUGCGGCAAUGACGAUGGCUUGAGCUGUUAAAAGAUUAUGAUCAUACCAUCCAAUACCAUCCUGGAAAAGCGAACGUAGUAGCUGACGCAUUGAGUAGAAGAUCAUAUGCGGGUACGAGUGCAAUAUUGUCAACGCUAAGACCCAUUUUGUAUGACUAACGAAGGAUGGAGAUAGAGUUAAAAACUCCAGGGACCCAUGUGAUAAUGACGGAUAUACGAGUAGAACCGACUUUAAUCAAUAAAGUUAAAGCUGCUCAAGCUACAGACCUGGAGCUGAUGCAUAUGAGGAAGAAAGUGCAAGAAGGUGCUAUUCCAGAAGCAAGAAUCGAUGAAGAAAGAAUACUUCGAGUCAACUCCAGACUUUGUGUUCCUAACGAUUUUGACUUGAAGUAUAAAAUCAUGAUGGAGGCAAACAACACACCGUUUGCAAUCCAUCACGGGAGUACCAAAAUGUAUCGUGAUCUUCGACAUACAUUUUGGUGGAGCAAUAUGAAGAGAGAGAUAGCGGGGUUUAUCUCAAGGUGUCUAACUUUUCAACGAGUCAAGGCGGAGCAUCAAGUGCCAAAAGGUCCAUUGCAACCACUUGAAAUUCCAGAAUGGAAGUGGGAGCACAUUACCAUGGAUUUCGUUACUGGUCUUCCCAAGGUUUCCCAAGGCGUAGAUGCGAUUUCGGUCAUUGUUGAUAGAUUGACCAAGUCUACUCAUUUCUUACCGAUACGAGAAACUUAUACACUUGAACGUCUUGCUAGUAUGUACAUAAAUGAGAUUGUAAGAUUGCAUGGCAUGCCAGUAUCCAUAGUUUCUGAUCGAGACCCAAGAUUCACUUCAAGAUUUUGGGUUAGUGUGACGCCCCCAAAAUAGGUCCACACGAACCAUUCUGAGUCGCCAGAUAUCACACUAUAAAAAUCAAAUACAAACUUUAUUUAUACAACUGUUGAACUGUCGUGCAGAGUACGACAACAGUUAACUGUGAGUUUUAAUACAAAUAUUGUCAUCGUAGACAGUAUCCAAACUCAAAUUGUUACAAUGCCAUAUAAAAUACAGCAGCAAAUAUUUUAAGACCCCAAAGAAGAACGAGAAGAUUACUAUCAUAUUCAUUCUAAUGAGGUGCACUUUUGACGCUUUCAAAGUCGGGUUCUCAUCACCCUUAUUGUUGUUCACCAACAUCAAUUAUUAAGUGACGUAUAAAAUACAACACACACAUCUUAGGUCUUUAAUACAAUUAUCGGUUGCAUAUCAUGCCGUUUUAUAAUGUAUUGAGAAAUUUCGACAGUCUCGGACCAUCACACUAUUUUCCUGUUAUCCCCGCUCGACCCAGCUACACUCUUAUUACCUAAAAGGAAUUGUGAAGCAAAAGGGUGAGCACAAUUAGCCCAGUAAGGAAUAUCAUGGCUAAGAUAAUUAAUUUAUCAACAGCCUUUAUCAGAAUAAAUCAGAGAUUUAGAACAUAUGGUAGAUAAUAAAACGUUUCAACCAUAGUUGCAGCGGAACGAGUAAUCCAUUAGAUGAGUCAAGUAGAACAUAAUGUCUACUAUCUCCUCUAGAUUAAAAGUCCAUCGUUGAUAUUUUAUUCCUGUAAUACUCAUCAACAGUUCUUUGUUAUACUUAAGACAAAUAAAACUUUCAACACUUGUCUUCACCUGAACCACCAAAGAUGUUAGUUAAAUUCACAAUUCAUAUUUAUAAUAAUGUGAAUUAACAGUUCCUUCUUUCCACCAAGACUUAAUAGAAUGUUUACUCAAUAUCUUUACCCCAAAGGCUGAAGGUAUUCAAAUGUAAUAACAAUGAUCAUACCAAUCAGUUGUCUAUCUUUGCAUUACGGGCCAAAGAUAUUCAACUAUAGAACCAAUGGUCAUGAUCAUACCAAUCACAUCAUUGAAUUAUCCAUGCACUACGGCCAAGGAUAUUCGUUAGUAUCACUAGUGGUCAUGAUCAUGUCAUACACCUGUCCAUCUUCACACUACGGGUCAAAGCUAUCAAAUAACAGAUCAUCUUUGCACUACAGGCCAAAAAUAUUCAACAACAUAUCGUCUUUGCACUACAGGUCAAAGACAUACUACUGUAAAACCAAUAACCAACAAUAUAAUAAAGAAUGGAAUAAUAAAAGAAUUUCACCAUGCGUGCGUAAUCCGCACAGAAAGGUUAUUCCAACAUAAUAAUAAAGAAUGGAACCAGGUCAUGCGUAAAUGCACAGACAGGAUAUUCCAACAGAAUAAUAAAGAAUUGAAUAACAACAGACUUCACCAAGUAUACGGUAAUCCGCGUAUACAGGUUAUUCCAACAGAAUAAUAAAGAAUUGAAUAACAACAGACUUCACCAGGUAUACGGUAAUCCACGUAUACAGGUUAUUCCAACAGAAUAAUAAAGAAUUGAAUAACAACAGACUUCACCAGGUAUAUGGUAAUCCGCGUAUACAGGUUAUUCCAACAGAAUAAUCAAGAAUGGAAUAACAACAGACAUCACCAGGUAUACGGUAAUUCGCGUAUACAGGUUAUUCCAACAGAAUAAUAAAUGGAACCAGGUCAGGAGAAAUUCGCACCGACAGGAUAUUCCGACAGAAUAAUAAAGAAUAAAAUAAUAGAAGAAUUUCACCAUGUAUGCGGUACUUCGCAUAAACAGGUUAUUCCAACAUAAUAAUAAAUAAUGUAAUACAUAAGGAUUUCACCAAGUAAAGGGUAUGACGCUUAUACAGUUUAUGUAUAGGGUAUGCCUCAUAUACAGGUUAUUCCAACAGAAUAAUAAAGAAUGGAAUAACAGAAGUUCUCUUCAUGAAUAAGAAAGAAUAACACCCCUUACUAUAAUAAUAUUAUCCCUUACCGUAAAAAAACUGAAAAUAGAGGUAGUGAAGUAGCAGAAUAGUCUUCUUCUUUCUUUCUAUAAUUUCUCUCUCUAGAGUUUCAGUGAAUUCGUAAGAAAAUAAUGAAGGAAUGAGCUUCUAUUUAUAGAAGAAUGGAUUGCAUAGUAACUAACUCAUGAACGGUCCAAAUUGAUUUACUUUAAUCUGACGGUCCAUAUUUAAAGCAAAAUCUUUUAAAUAAAAUAUAAUAUAUUCUAUUUAUAAUCUAAUAAAAUAAAUAACUUUAUGUAAAUACUAUGCAGGCACUAUGCAAAUACUAUGCAUAAUAAAAUAUAAUAUAAUCUAAUUAUUGUCUAAUAAAACGAAUAACUUUAGAAAAGUAUUAUGUUUUAUAUAAAAAGAUUUUACUAUUAGUCUAAUAAAAUGAAUAACUUUAUAAAAGUAUUCUGUUUUAUAUAAAAAGUUUUUCUGUUUUAUUACGUUAAUAAUACGAAUAAAACAAAACUUCAUCAUCGCUUACUUUGAAAAUUUUUCAAAUGUCACCCUUAACUUUAAACUUUUAUCAAUUUAAUCAUUUACCAAAAUAGAAAAAUUGAAUACUUUUAUUUCAUAAAAUUCGGGGUCUCACAGUUAGUUUGCAAAAAGCUAUGGGCACGGAUUUACGAUUUAGUUCGGCAUAUCAUCCUCAAACGGAUGGGCAGUCGGAAAGGACUAUUCAAACUCUUGAGGAUUUAUUAAGAUUAUGUGUCCUUGACUUCAAGGGAAGUUGGGACAAGUUCUUACCAUUGGUGGAGUUUUCCUACAACAAUAGUUAUCAAGCAAGUAUUGGCAUGACUCCAUUUGAAGCGUUGUAUGGAAGAAAGUGUCGUUCUCCAGUAUGCUGGGAUGAGGUGGGUGAAGCAACGUUGUUGGGACUGGAGUUGGUACGUAUGACUACGAAAAAGAUUCAAACGAUCCGACAACGUAUAAAAACCUCACAAGAUNNNNNNNNNNNNNNNNNNNNNNNNNNNNNNNNNNNNNNNNNNNNNNNNNNNNNNNNNNNNNNNNNNNNNNNNNNNNNNNNNNNNNNNNNNNNNNNNNNNNUAUAUAUAUAUAUAUAUAUAUAUAUAUAUAUAUAUAUAUAUAUAUAUAUAUAUUGUCCAAAAUUAAUUUUUAGUUUUUGAGAUGGCAUGUAACCAUCACAUAUAUAUUUCUCCUUAAUGUGAUUGCAUUUAAGCCAUAACAAAGAAAAAAGUUUAAAAUAAUCUUUGGUGACAGCCAAGACCAUCACGAAAAGAAAACCACAUGUGAUGGACCUUUAUGAUUACAUUUAAAGUAAUCUCAACAAAUGGUAUUAUAUGAUGGACUUUUUCAACAAUCACAAAAUAAUAAUAUACAUGACGGCUCCUAGUAGUGGUUAUUUUUUCCAUCACCAUAAACUAUUUGUGACGGACAAGACAAUCACUAAAAAACAAGCAUAUAUGAACAACAAAUAUAUUAGGCGAGGAAUUUACUAGCAAUCACAAAAUAGUAGUAUAUAUGGUAGAUGUUACUCAAUGUCUAAUUGUGCCAUUAUUAUUAAAUAUUUAAGACAAUCAUUACAAUCACUAAAUUUUUCGCGUAAAUUGUACAUCUCUUUUUUAAGUCCCCAUUAAUCUUUAUUUUGCUUUGUUCUCUUUGUAAACUCAUUGUUUUUAUUGUGAAUUCAAAGGAUUUAGAGUUUAUCUCGUUUUUAUAUAACUAACUAUUUACGUUUGUUCUCUUUGUCUCGGUUGGUAUAUAUCUACUUCUUUCUAUGCAAGAAGUCUAGAGUCCAAAUCUCCACCCAAAAAAGAAACAGUGCAAAUGAUGGAGCAAAAUUCUUGCUGUUGGGGAAGAGCAGAUGGACUAAUUGAUGUAACCUUCAAAUUGGUGGGAAGAAAUCUGAAAUGGAAGGAGCAGUAAGCAGGAUUUUUUUUUUUACUAAAUUUAAAUUGUAUUAAAGGAGAAAGAAUGUACAAAAAUCAUGGGAAAACCCAAUCAGAAUAUAGUAUAUACAUCACCUCAAUCAGAAUAUAACAUAGACAUCAUAGGACAUGCCAUAUGAUGUCAUGACUAAAAAAGAAAAUAAGGCCAGAUGCCCAAACAAAAGAGAAACAAUCUCAACAUUCAUGAGAAUACAAUGCAUAGAAAUCAGACACAAAACCAAGAAAAACCUCAUCCAAAGUAGCAGCAGCCCACAAUAGCAGCAAAAGAAAAAUCAGUCCAAAGACCAAAAGGCAUCAUCCAUAACAGAACCGAAAGAGCCUACUGCAGACUAGCAGCACAAUAGAGCACAAGGCCCAACAAGAGAAGCCAACAACAGUUUAGCAAAGCAAAACAGCAGACAGGACAUGGAAAGCAAGAGCAACAAACCCCAAGAGCCCAAUGGCAGCCAUAGAAGUGCAGCAGCUGCAGCCGACAUCAAAUAAAACAGCAGUAAACGAUAGCAGCCAUAAGUACAGCACCACCCCCCAAAUCUGCAGCAUCAAGACAUAGAAAUAGUCACAAUACUGCAGACCAAAACACGCAAACAAUGCAGCAUAAGCAACAAACAGAGCAGCAAAUAGGUCUAUUUUCCUGCUUGUUUUCAAGGUUGUGUAGUAUUUAUUGUCAUUUUAGUAUUUUACAUAUAUGUCCAUUAUGGGUAAAAUAAGUUGUUUGGCAUGGGCAAUGAUGCCAGUGAAGGUUUUCUUUCUUCAGUGCUUGAUGGAAGCUCUCGAGCUGUAGUCACUACAAAGAUGAGGAGAUGCUGAAACCAUUUUCGAGCACAGUGAGAUAUAAUAGUUACAUAUAUGAAUAUGCCAUCUCAGAUGAUCAUGUUGGUGUAACACAGAAGCAUGUCUUCCAUGUGCUGGUACCAUUUCUCCUUCCUUUUCUGACAGUAGGCCUAUGAUUUCUUCUGGGAGUGCUGAGAAAGAGACUGCUAGACUAGAAUAUUGUAUACGGCACUAGAAAUAGGGCAGUCUUUCUGUAAACUGCAGAGCUAUGGUUCCUUGGAAUGAUCAUUGCUUUACAACGCAUUGAGUUUUUUUUUUCUACAUUUCUUUUUCCUGGAAAAGCCUAUUUGAGGGAGGAAAUAGGAGAAGUAGAAAUUUGUUGUGGGUAGAGAUGUUUUGGAUUUGUCCUUGGUUUCAGUAAUUAAACAUCUGCCAUUUUUAUUUGCGAUUAUAUCCGGAGGAAGCUUUUAUAUACUAGAUUCAUAAAUCAAGAAGUUCAAUAUAGGGAGCACCAGCUGCAACAGCAGCAGAGCAUGAGCAGCAACAUUAAUGUAGGUGGAAGCAUUGAAAGGACGUUCUAUUUGUUCAUGCCAUUUAAUCAUGGCAAUCAUUCUAUUUAUUCAUGGUAAUCAUUUUAUUUGUAUAUGCUUGUUCUUAUAUAGCUUAUAUUGACAGAAAAUUUAAAUGGAAGCUAUGAGAACCACAUUUUAUCAAGUCUUUCAGGUGGGUUAGCCUCUGCAUAGCUCUUACUAUUUCUUGCAGCUCGAGGAGCUAAAGCUUCCUAAAGUAUAGAAAUCACAAAACCAAGCAAAUAAGUUUAAAAAAAAAAAAGAACUAAAGAUAGAGUCGCAUGUCUUUCAAAUAUGUUUCAAAAAAAAAACACAUUCUCUAAAACACUGGUAACAGAGCUUCUCUAAAACUGAAUUUCAUGUCCAAGUUCAUGUUAUCAACUUAUAGUCUUAUAUGUAAUCAACAUAACUCAAACGACUUCCUCUUUUUCUAAUAAUUAAUAACAGGGAAAAAAUUUAAAAAUAUGGGUGAAUUGGAGAAAUAUAUCUUACAAUAACAAAGAAAAAGGGAAUCCUAGUCCAGAAACUUGUGCGCGCUCUCACGAAAGAUGUCUCAUGAGUAAGCCUGAAUCUUGACGGAUCUGCAUGUUCAUUGUAGGAGAAAUUUAACAUAAAGAGAUAGCCUCAUGUACACAAAUAUUAAAAUGAAUACUAAAUUCAAACUACAGAAUGAUAAAUAGUCAUUUCUUGAUCGUGCAGCGACAUAACAAUGGAAAACUCGGUCCUGAGAGGCAGUUUCCUGCUCCCAGACCUUCCAGCCACGAAUCUGUACAAGUUAAAAACUUAUUAGCAUUAUAUGUAGAAUCAAUCAGGUGAUAAUAUGAAGAGUGAUAGUGUUUUAUAGAAAAUGAAAAUAUUCGAAAAUUGUUUCGAACAUAUAUUAAAAUAAAUUAUUGUCCUUUUAUUUUAUUAAAUAAAAUAUUAAAAAAAUCAUUGUCUUCUUUAAUGCAGUUUAUAAAGAAACACGGGAAAAUGAAUAUAGGCCAAGUUAGUGAUAAAAGAAAGUGAAUGACAGACUUGGCAGGAACUCUAUUACUGUAGAAAAAUAAAGCAACAAUUGAAAGGAUUCUUAUUUCGAUAAUGAAAGGAAAUAAUAAUCGACUGAUAAUUAUCUGGAACAUGCCAACUACUAUAUAUAUAGGAAAACAUAACUAAAAAACUCAGCUACGUAGGCCUAAAUAUCAUCAUCUUCUUCUUCUUCUUCGAAAUAUUCAUCAUCAUUAAAAUAUUCAUUAUCAUCUUCAUCUUCAUCACUACAUUCUCUAUCUUCAUUUUCUGCUUCCGCUAAUGAUGGAUCCACUUCCGCCCACAUUAGGAUUACUCGUCAAUGGUUGAUCAAAUUUGAUAGAUUCGCCUUCUGAAACAAGAAGUUCUGGCCCUGGAGGGAUAAUAUCAACCACUUGACGUCCAUCCGAUGCAUCCGUUAUGGUUAUUUCGUAACCCCCCUUUUCUUUUCGUAUUAUUUUGCCUACUAUACCUGCUGCUGUAGCAUUAUAAACCGUAUUGUUACUCUUGCUCCCGUCGGGAUAAAUCUGACCCCUUCCCCUGUUUCCGCCUACGUAUAUAGGAUAUUUUAAGAAGUGAACAUCUUUCUUAGUAGCGGGGUCCGGGGAAAGAAUAGGAAAGGUGAUUUCACUAUAUUUUUGACCAGGAACAGGGCCUAUCACAAGAAUAUUUUUUUUAGUGGGGCGAUAGCUCUGAAAAGAAAGAUUGCCUAUCCUUUCUUUCAUCUCGGGAGAAAUCCGAUCAACAGGAGCUAAUUCAAAACCCUCCGGUAAAAUAAGAACAGCCCCUACAUUCAAAGCCCCCUUUUUACCAUUAGCAAGAACUUGUUUUAGUUGCAUAUCAUAAGGGAUUCGAACAACUGCUUCAAAUACAGUAUCAGGAAGUACGGCUUGUGGAACUUCAAUAUCCACGGGCUUAUUAGCUAAAUGGCAAUUGGCACAUACAAUACGCCCAGUCGCUUCUCGUGGAUUUUCAUAACCCUGCUGUGCAAAAAUGGGAUAUGCACUUGAAAUGGAUGUCCGAGUUAUGAUAUAUAUCAUGAGCGAUGCGGAAAUGGAUCGAGUAAUCUGUUCCUUUAUCCAAGAAAAAGUCUUUCUAGUUUGCAUGGUCCAACCAUUGAUCCCGAAAAUUUCUACAAUAAAUUGGGUAGGUCGCUAAUAUAGUUCCCUAUCCGCGAUUCUGCUAUUUACUGGAAUAAUAUAUNNNNNNNNNNNNNNNNNNNNNNNNNNNNNNNNNNNNNNNNNNNNNNNNNNNNNNNNNNNNNNNNNNNNNNNNNNNNNNNNNNNNNNNNNNNNNNNNNNNNGAGAAUCAUCAAGCAAUAUCAAAUUCUGAGUUUGCUCCUCAAUAUUAUAUAAGUCAAAAUCAUGAAACUCUUCCUCUUGAUAUGUCUCUUCAUUACUAUUUUCGGCAACAUCAUAUGUGUUUCUUGCUUUUGUUGUGAUUACAGUAGACCAACCUUUAGCUUUAGUCGACACUGGAUUAGCAUAGAACACUUGUACAACUUGUGAUGCAAUAACAAAUGGCUCAUACGGCUUGUGCCUUGAAUUUGUAUCAAUUGUAGUUAUCCCGUACUUGUUAAUAACUACCCUUUUUUCAGAAUCAUACCAUUCACAUUGGAACAAAAAUACUGAAUUCUCUUCUCCAUAGUAUUCUAGUUCAACUACUUUAAUUAAUUGUCCAUAAUAGUCUCGUUCUUGGCCUUCAAAAGUACAUCCCUAGACUAAAACACCACUAUUUUGAGUUACCUUUCUUGACUCCAAUUCUUUUGUAUGGAACCUAAAGCCAUUGACAAUGAAUCCAUCAUAACAUGUUACCUCUCUAGACGGACCCAUAGCGAGCGCUUUUAGACGCGUAUCAACGACAUCAUCAUUCUUGACUCUCUUUUCAAACCAUUUUAUAAAUGUCGAAUUAUGUUCCUUUUAUAGCACUUUAUCCGACAUGUUUGGACGUAAUUCUUUCAAUAAAUGCUUGUGCUCCCUAGAAGUAAUGAAAUAAAUUAGUAGAUAUAGAGUAAUGAUUUACAUAUCUAAAAGUAAUAAACUUUAUAAGAAUUAAAAUGUCAUACUCGAUGAAAUCAAAGACUUCCUCAUAAUUAGACAAGAUGUAUAAGGUUGCUGCCUCGAGUUCUUUAUCAGAUAGAUCUUCACGUUUUCGUUUUCCUCCAAUUGGACGACCAGGCCUAGGGUGGCUAAAUAUUGAUAACUUUCCAUUAGUUUCAGCUUGACCGCCAUCGUCAUUUCGAUCAGCUCGGUUGAACUUGGUUUGCACCCUAAGAUCAAAAUAUCGAGAAGAAAAGUAAACUAGUUCGUCUAUUAUGUAUGCCUCAGCUAUUGAACCCUCGGGGCAAGCCUUGUUACGCACCCUUUUCUUCAAAGAACACAUGCACCUAUAAUUAUAUUGAAGUUAGGUAAUCACUUUAACUAUAAAAAAGCCUUGGCAAGAAAAGAGAUAUAAUUUAUUAAAACAUCACCUCUCGAAAGGGUACAUCCAACGAUAUUGUACUGGCCCUCCGACCUUGGCUUUAUAUGCCAAAUGAACAAGUAGAUGCUCCAUUGAAUCAAAGAAAGAUGGUGGAAAAAUCAUCUCAAGAUUGCAUAAUAUUUCAGCAAUAAAUAGCUCAAGCUUCUCUAACUCAGCUAACUUAUACACCUUAGAGCAUAUGUCUCGAAAGAAUUUGCACAAAGCAUUUAUUGGUUCCCAUAUAGAGUUUGGUAAGAAAUCACGAAAGGCCAAUGGCAAGAAUCUCUGCAUGAGAACAUGGCAAUCAUGGCUCUUUAGCCCAAUUAUUUUGCAAUUGUCAAGGUUAAUACAAUGAGAGAUAUUUGAAGCAUAACCGUCUGGAACUUUCAACGAUUUAAGCCACUUGCAAACUUGCUUGACUUCUUCGCUUUUUAAAGAAUAUUUAGCUUUUGGCAAUUUAAAUUUCCCAUUACCACUCUCUUCAGGAUGUAAUUCAAAUCUUAUACCAAGCUCUUGCAAAUCUAAACGAGCUUUAAGGUGGUCUUUUGAUUUUCUAGUAAUGUUCAUCACAGUGUAAAAUAAAUUAUCAAAAAUAUUUUUCUCAAUAUGCAUCACGUCUAAGAAAUGUCUUAUUAGAAGCAAACUCCAAUAAGGCAAUUCAAAGAAGAUACUUUUCUUUGUCUAGUUAUGCUCGAUUCCAAACCCAGGAGUCUUAUCGGUACUAUUGUUUUUAUCCUUUCCAAAGAUGACCGAACUAAAUUGAGAUACAAAAUUUAACUCCUCAACACCUGUUAGUCGAGGCGGGGGAUUUCUCCGUUCGGUUUUAUUAUUGAACUUACUCUUCUCAGCUCGAUAUUUAUGAUUACGCUUCAACCAACGACGAUGGCAUCCAAAAUAACUCGGCUUCCUCCCAUGUUUAAGGUUAAAAGCUACACUUGGAUCCAUACAAGGACAUGACAAGGCCCCAUGUGUACUCCAACCCUUCAAUAUGCCUAGCGCAGGAAAGUCACUGAUUGUCCAUAUUACAGCUGCUUUCAUAUAAAAAUUUUGCUUUGAGAAAGCAUCAUAUGUAUCAACUCCAACAUCCCACAAAGUCUUUAGUUCUUCUAUAAGAGGUCGCAAAUACACAUCAAUCUCUCUUCCAGGUCCAUGUGGACCUGGAAUAAGCAGUGACAUAAACAUGUACUCCUCUUUCAUACACAUCCAAGGGGGGAGAUUGUAUGGAACAAGGAAAACUGGCCAUGUCGAAUGAGGUUUGCUAGAAUGCCCAAAAGGAUUAAAUCCAUCAGUAGCUAAGCCAAGUCUUAUACUACGAGCAUCUUCAGCAAAAGAUGGGUAAUUGAGGUCAAAAUAUUUCCAAGCCUCACUAUCAGCAGGGUGCCUUAGCUCACCUGGAAUAUCACAUCAUUUUUCUUUGUGCCACCUCAUAGGCUCGGCCGUUUUUGAUGACAAAUAAAGCCUUUGAAGCCUUGGUAUAAUUGGUAAAAAAACUUAAGACCUUCCUUGCUAUUGGUUUAUUCUUUUUCCCUUUAACACUGCCAUGGUUUUUAUACCUAGAUUCGUUACAAAUUGGGCAAGCAUCUAAAUCUGCAUAUUCUCCUCGAAACAAGAUACAAUCAUUAUUACAUGCAUGUAUUUUUUGUAGAGGUUGCCCAAGGUCCUUCAUUAAGGCCUUGCAGUGAUAAAAUGACUCGGGUAAUUUAUUCUUUUUAGGCAACAUUUCCUUGAAAGCUGAAAGAAAAGCAUCAAAUCCAGCAUUAGACAAACAAUACUUGGAUUUUAGGUGCAACAACAAAGUUACGGCUAAUAACUUGGUGUGAUUUUGACAACCAUCCCACAAGGGCUCGUCUGCAGCCUUUAGAAGGUCAUAGAACUUCUUUGAUUCGCUAUUAGGAUCCUCAUCAAAUUUAGGGCUAAUGCAGCUUGUAAUAUCCCUUAACAUGUCUUUAGGCCAAUUUGCAAUUCCCUCAUCAAUAUCGUCAUCUUAAUUCCCUACUUUCUUAAGUGACUCCCCAUGCUCCGUCCAUGUAGUGUAGUUUGGUACAAAUCCAUGCUUAUAAAGACACAUUUCUACAUCUUCACGUGAUUUAUAGUUUAUGAAAUCACACUUGGCACAAGGACACCGAAUCAUGCCAUCAUCUACGCACUCAGGAUUAGAAAAUGCAAAAUCAAGAAAUGUAUUGACCCCACUCAUAAAUUCAUGUAUAUGUUUAGACUUUUUCCCAACAUGCCUAUACAUCCAACUUCGAUCAUCCAUCUACCAUUUGUAAUUCAAAUAAUUGAAAAAUGUUCAUUUAUGGUGAUAAUUAACCCUUUUAUGAAAUAGAAAAGAAAAAAAAAACUGUACUGACUUUACAACUUAUUUUCUAGCACACUGUUCUUAACAUGGUCACAACUUAUAAUUAAAGAAAACAACAUAUACUACCUGAAUUCAAGAUAAUAUUGGUUAUGAGGUAGUAAAUCAAACAGAGAAAGCGUAAUCAGAGAAAGCAUAUUAGAUUUUCUAAUUAAUGUUCCUAAUUAGUUUUAUAUUAGAUUUUUUACAUGCUACACAGGAAUUGGGGCCAAAUUCGAACAGAGAAAGCAUAAUCAAAAUUCUAAAAUAAUUGGGGCCAAAUUGGAACAGAGAAAGUAAAGAGGGAGACAAUAAACACCCAAGGAAGAGAGGAUUUACCUUCAAAAUCACAAAGCUUAACUUGGAUCACAACUUUGGUACGUAGAAGAAAGGGAGAUGGUUUUAGUUACCGUCUAUGGAGAAGAUGGGAAGAGUUGUUUAGAGCCGCAGAGAGCACUGGGCAGAGGCCGUCGACUGAGAGGGAGUAGUCGACUGUCGACUUUGUCAAGAAAGAGGCAAGCAAGUAGCAACUGAAGCAAUCAAACAAAGAGUGAAGAAGGAGAACUGAAGAUAAGGGCUAGGGCAAAUGUCAAAUGUGAAAGUGAAAUCAGAAAUGGACCGCCGACUCGGUCACUUAGGAUUAUAGAUAGGAGUGAGAUAUAAUAAUAUUAUAAAAUUGUUUUUUUUAAGAAUUACGGUUCGGUUAUUCGGGUAUCCAAAUAACCAGUUUUUGAACACCGAAUCUGUAAUCGAAUACUAAAUAAUAAUUCGGAUAUAACUGAAAUUGUAAAAAAACCGAAAAACCGAAAUAAUUCGGUUAAAAAAUUUCGAUUCGGUUCGGUAAUUCGGUUUUAUUCGUUUUUUGCUCACUCCUAGUCACUGGACAUUUAAUUUUUGUUGGCUUGUUGUUGCUGACUUGCUGUAUUUUGGACAGUUAAUUAGGCUUGCAUUAUUAAGUCAUAAAUUUCAUGUUGGCUUGUUGUUGCUGCUGGACAAGUAAGUUAACAGUUGCUGCCUGCUGGGCAGUUAAUUUGCUAAAUAGUUAACAGGGAAUUUAUGUUGUAUGAUAUUUCGGUUAUUACCCGAAUAUCCGAAAUUACAAUUCGGUAUUCGGUAAUUCGGUUAUUUUCACAUUUCGAUUAGAAUUUUGGAUAGUGGAAUUGUCAUUAAUUCGGUUUUCGGUUAUAACCGAAUAGCUUAUUCGGUUCGGUUAUAACCGAAUGAUCACUCCUACUAAUAACUUGGUAUUUUGAAUCAAAUAUCGGCAUCGACACAUAAGGCUGUAAAAUGAGCAAACAGUUCGGGGUCGAUUCGUACUCGCUCGACUAAAAGUUCAAUUCGAGCUCGACUCUAAAUAUAAAUGAGUCAAAUAUGAGCAAAUUUUAAAGUUCUAUAAAUUACUCGAACCUCCUCAAAUUAUAAUUUUCUAUUGAUACUCGGAUCAUAUUCGUUCGAAAAGUUCAAACUGUUCAGGCUCGAUUCGGAAUCGUACUCGACUCGAUAGCUAAAUGAUCCUCAAUCAAACCUUAUAAUAUACUUGAUAAAAUUUGUGAACCAAAUCUGAUAGAAAUACAUUACGAAAAUUUAAAAAGAUUAUAAAAUGAGUUUUAGUUUUAGUUGGACCAGAUUAAGUAAUCUCAAGUACAUGAAAUUAAAAAUAAAAUAAAAUUAACAAAUUGAAAAAAACAACAACUAGUAGACUCGGGCGUAAAUUAACUUUUAAGGGUUUAAUACACUAUUUGUACGUUCCAAAUUUUAUAUUUGACUUUGUACCAUUGACAUUUAUUUUUUCGUGGGCAUAUAUUUUUAUUAUUAUUAGUUAUUGUCAAUUUUGGUGGAUAAAUUAUUUAAUGUUUGAAGACUAUUUGGGGGAUAUUAAAUAUAUCAUUACUCAUAAUGAUAUUAAAUAUAGUGGGUGCAGAUGAUAGUAAUGUUAUAAAAAAAUUUCAGGCUUCACAAAGAAGAAUAUAAGUUAUUGUAUUAAGCUUCAAUACUUUUUGUAAGAGUAAUAAUUGAUAUUAAAACAUCAUUUUUAUUAAUAAUAUUAUUUUAAAAUAAUAAAAGAGAGGAGACUUAAUUUGUAGCUUAAUCUAAAGAAAGUAUAUAAAUUUUUAAUAUUAUUUUAAUUUAUUUUACUUUUUUGAAUAACAAAUUUGUACUUAAUUACUAGUGGAUCAAUUAAUUCAUAUCUCACAAAUUUACUAAAAAUAAUAAUUAAAUGAUACUCUUUUUUUUGUAGAACAAAGGGUAUAUCAAAAGAUAAUUAAAUCAAAAGAAAUUUAAGCUAAUUAAAUUUAAUUAAAAGAUAAUUAAAAUUUAAACAAACAAAAAUAGACUAAUUUAGUGGCAUAUUCCACUCAUUUUGAAGAAAUGGCGGGAUCUCUGUUUCUAUCUUUAAUUUCAAGUACCAUUGUAUAAACUUCCCCAUCUUUUCCAUAGGCAGCAAACUGAAACCCUACAUCCAUCUUCUACCAAAAUUGUGAUCCCAGUUAAGGUUGUGAUUUCAAAGGUAAGUCCUCUCUUUGGGUGUUUAUUCUCUCCAUCUUUCCUUUCUCUGUUCUAAUUUGUCCCCAAUUCUUAUUUUAGAAUUGUGAUUAUGCUUUCUCUUUUCGAAUUUGGCCCCAAUUCCUGUUUUUAUAGAGAUGUUUUACGAACUGUUAUUGACAAUUUGAUUGUUCAUGUGUUUGUGGAGAUUUAAUAUAUAUAUAUAUAUAUAUAUAUAUAUAUAUGAUUUUGAUAGCGUAUUUACUAAUUUUAANNNNNNNNNNNNNNNNNNNNNNNNNNNNNNNNNNNNNNNNNNNNNNNNNNNNNNNNNNNNNNNNNNNNNNNNNNNNNNNNNNNNNNNNNNNNNNNNNNNNNNNNNNNNNNNNNNNNNNNNNNNNNNNNNNNNNNNNNNNNNNNNNNNNNNNNNNNNNNNNNNNNNNNNNNNNNNNNNNNNNNNNNNNNNNNNNNNNNNNNNNNNNNNNNNNNNNNNNNNNNNNNNNNNNNNNNNNNNNNNNNNNNNNNNNNNNNNNNNNNNNNNNNNNNNNNNNNNNNNNNNNNNNNNNNNNNNNNNNNNNNNNNNNNNNNNNNNNNNNNNNNNNNNNNNNNNNNNNNNNNNNNNNNNNNNNNNNNNNNNNNNNNNNNNNNNNNNNNNNNNNNNNNNNNNNNNNNNNNNNNNNNNNNNNNNNNNAUAUAUAUAUAUAUAUAUCCCUCGAUUUAUAUAUGUAUGUUAAUUAGGUACGUAUAUGUAUGCAUGAAUAUAUAUGAAACUUUGUUAGUUAAUUACUUUGGUUGAGAAUGGAUUGUAGUUUGUAAACAAAUCUAAUAUGAAACUGAUUAGGAAAAGACUUAAAUUGGAAUUCUUCUUUUGGUUGAAUGGAAGGGUUACUCAUUACUUCAUUAAUUUGACAUUAAUUUUGUAUUAUUUUGUUUAAUUAUGUUUUGGUUGGUUAUGUUUUUCAUUUAUUUUAUUCUAUUCCAAGUCAUUAAGAGCACAUGAUGUUUUAGGUAAAACACUGAUUCUACUGGACAGAUGAUUCAUGUACAAAACCAAAGUUAGUGCACACACCCUAUUAUUUAAUAUUCAAAACAUUGGGUUGCUGUUGGGGUGGGUCUGUAGGAGGGCAGGGGUGGAGUUGCAGGGGAGGCGAAUGGAAGAGGGCAAAAGUGCUGGAUGAAGGAGGGACGUUGGCAUGUUCUUGAAUGAUGGUAACCCAUUCUUUAUACAUUUUGAAUGAGAGUGGUUAAUUGCAAAAAAGCACUUGCAAUAGCUACAUUGAAAUUGGUUCCAUUUAUGAGGGACAAGAAAAGCAGCAGUGGGCAGUAAGGAACUGCUAUAACAGUUUUGGGUAUAUCAUUCUAGCUCUAGAAUCUAGUUUGAAGACUUAACCAUAGAGUUUUAGUUUUAGUUGGAGCUGUACAUUCUUUACCAUUAAUGAUUAGUGAUUCUAUUCAAAGUUACCAUGCUUUUUUAAGUUCUCACUUGGGUUUUUGUAAAUGGGUCAAGCUUUGCUUAUUGUGUGCAAGAAAAUCUGAUAUCGCUGUGAAAUCUAUAGUAAGAAAAUUAAAAAUGGUCACUUUGAUAUACUUGCACUUAAUUGAUGCCCACAAUUGUCGUCUUUAAUUGUACUAAUCCAUCAAAGGAGCAUGUCAAUAUUGUUCUAUUCAGCAGUACUAUGAUUUAAUUGAUGCCCUCAUAGUAUCCAUCAAAAGAACAUUUAAUCUUGAUGUAACCAGCAUGCCACGGAACCUGACAUGUGUAGCAAAAAAGCUUUUUACAGUUCAGACAUAUUAGAAAUGAUUGUUCCAUUGAAAUGAUUGUUUGGCAUAUUAGAGGAUCUAACAAGUGAUUACAGUCCAAAGUGGACGACAUUUAAUGCUGGCUACAUUGUCUUCAACUUUUACUUCGAUGUACUUGGUGAAGCAAUCCACACAAAAAGGAUGAAAACAUUCAUCAUUCUUCUUGAAAACAUUCAAUGCAUAUCUCACAAGUGAAAGUUGAACUCUCUUCUUCACCUGAUUUAUCCUCUUCUGUUUUCGCCAAACUCACCUCUUGUUUUUAGCUGUGUGUUCCCCAUUGUUUGUUCUGUUUCUGUUGCAAAAAAAUCAUCAGCUCAUGUGAGAAACAAUUAGAGAAAGUGGAAUUGUACAACAGAAACAUGCAUGAAGUUGUAUAUUAUUGCAAAAUAAAUGGCAACUCUUUCUACAAUUACAAAGAAAAUGCCAAACACAUUUUGAAUUUGCAGCUACAACUAUUACAUGUGUUAUACAAGAGAUGAGAAUACAUUUUGAACAUGCAUGUGUCAAUUUGUGAUCUACAACACAUUUUGAAAAUGCCUAACACAUUUUGAACAUGCAUGUGUUCUACAAUUACAUGAAUUAAUUUGCAUGUGUUGUACUUUGUGUUGUGCAUAUAGUAAUAGGUUCAAUUAAAUGUUGUGUCAAGUGAUAGUGCUAAUUUAUUUAUUUUUUGAUAAAAAAAUGUACAUGCUUGUGGUAUAAUUUCAAACUAGUUUUCCAAUGAGUCAUGAUUAAUUAUUGCUGAUUAAUAUGUUGGGUAUAUAAAUUGUUCUUUGUACGGUUGAAUGUUAUUGUCUUGACAGGUAAGAUGCUAAUUGAUUUUGGAGCUAGUAGAGUAGUGAAUAAUUUUGAAAUUGUAUUACAACAUCAUCUUGAAUAAUUUCUUUUAUUUAUCCUAUAUUUAAUUAUAAGUUUUUUUUCUUCUCCAGCUAUGGUGAGAACUAGAGGUGGGAGUAGUCUUUCCGGUAGGAGAUCAACUCUUCCUCAUAAUAGUGGCGAGACUGUUAACAUGAACAGAAUGAGAGAUGAGCCUAUUGUAUCUCAUGAUAGUGGUGAGAGUAUUGAUAGGGCUACACCGAAUACUACACAAGCCGAAAGGUUAUCUCGUAAGAAAAGGGGGCCAACUCUAGGGAUAAUAAAGCCUAAAACAGGCCAAACAAAGAUGCUUGUUAAUAUCAUUGGACAAAAGUAAGUUUUUACUAAUCUACUCGUGCUUGUCAAUAUGCAAGUUACAUACAAUCAAUUCUGGAUACGUUAAAGAUUCAUUUUCUGACACAUAAUAUAACGUCCGUUUUAACUAUAACAGGGUAAUCUAUGUAGCACAAUGUAAUCCAAAGAACAUAAAAGCAACUAAUCAUAUCAUGUUACUAUAAAAAGCAAUUAAUAGGGGUUCCAUUUAACAAGAUUUGAUUAAUCCUAUUGUGACAACUUUGUUUCUACUUUUCAUUAUUGUUGUACUAAUCAUAUCAUGCUAUGUUACCAUAUCUUGUAAUUAGCUUCCUUGAACCUGAAGCUCGAAGCAAGACUCACAUAUUAUUUCAAAAACGUUUUAAAGAAGCUCGAACCAAAUUCGAGCAAUGGCCAAAACAUGAAAUUGAACUUCUUUGGGGAGAAUAUUUGGUAUGUUUUAAUGAACACACAUUUUAAUUGUAGAAAAAAGUUUAUCAAAAAGUGUAUUAUUCAUUAUAUAUUAAUUAUUAUUUUUACUUGUGGAUGGUGUUAUAGAAAUAUUUUCGUUUCUCUUCAUCGAAGGAGGAGGGAAGGGGUCGAAUCAUAUGGGAGGAAAAUGCACGAAAAAGCUACCCAAACUAUUUAUGGAGAUGGAAAGAUGAUGCCAUUAAGAAGUUUGGCUCCAUUGAGGAAGCAAGGGAUAAAAAGCCUAAUUGGACAACUCUUGAUGUGUGGCAGGAGAUGUGUGAUUAUUGACUGAGUAAAGACUUUUUAGACUCUAGUGAGCUACAAAAAAAGAACAGAAACAUAACUACGUAUGUUCCUCACACAUCAGGCUCCAUAUCGUACGCCGUUAGGAGGGAACAAGAGGUAAAUUAUAAGUUGAUAAAAUCAAAUUAAUAAUAUGCGUAGUCGAUAAAUGCACAUGAUAAUGGUAAAAGAUUCAUAUCAUGAUGCUCUGUUUGGAGUUUUUAAGUGUUCAUGUGGUAUGUAUUGCUUAUUUUUAAUAUUAAUGUUUAUAAUUAAAAUAAUUAUUAUUUUGCUUGUUUUGUCUUAGAAACAAAGACUGCAUCGUCCGCCAACGCAAUAUGAGUUAUAUAAACAAACUCAUAUGAGGAAGGAGAAGGGUAGCGAGGAAAAAACGUGGGUUUGUGAUGAAGCAAAGAGGAAUUUGGUAUGAUUUUCUCUUGUAAAAUUAUAAACUUUGUUUACUCAUGCGAAAGUGAAGAUUGUUGUUCGUUCUUUUCAUAAUUAGUUAUGAGUAUUGUUAAUUAUAUAUACAUAUUUUAUGCAUUGUAUAGGAUGAUUAUGAGAGAAGACUCUUAGCCAAACAUGGUGAUACAGAUAAGCCCGUGAAUGAGUUAGAUGAUCCAAAUUUGGAGACAUGGCAGAAAACUGUUGGAGGCGUCAAAAAGGGUAGACUUGUUGGUCGACCAGGGGAAAAAUGGAGUUCUCGUCGUGGUUCGUAUUGUCCAUCUUUGGUUGCAGAUGAGAACUAUAUUAAAUUAAAGAAAAUGGAAAGCUACAUGACUUAUAUUCAUCAAUACACAAAAAAUAUGGCCGAAACACUUGCACUUGAUCCUCCUAUAGACUUUUGUGAUUUGUUUGCUUCAUCAAAUGCAUCAGCUGAUAUUCCAACGAAUAACUCAACCACGCAUGCUGAGAAUGACAACGGAGAUGAUGACGACUCUCAAGAAAACUUCAUGGAGAAUUCAGGAUGAUUUAGCUCUGCUUUACUUAUCAAUUUUAUUAGUUUAGGGUUCUUUGAUAGAUGUUGGGUUUGUUAAUUGUUUGAUGAACCUAUGACAUGUAGUUACCUAUUUAAGUAGUUGGUAAUGAAUUUAUUUUUAAUUAAAUGGAUCAGAUUUCUUCAUUUUAAUAAAUUUGUAUGAUUUUACGUUUCAAAUUUAUUGUAAUUUAUGUCAUUUAUAAAUUUGAAAUAUAAAAUUGGCAAUUAAAUAUAUUUUAAUAUAGGAAUUUGGUGAUGGCUUUACUAUCACCAAAACGUAUAAAAAGGUUACAAAAAUAGGAAUAAUUGUGAUUGCUUUAGCCAUCACAAGAGACUUAUGCCAUCACAAAAGAAUGUGAUUGUUUUGGCCAUCACAAAUAAUUGGUGAUUGUUUUGGCCAUCACAAAAAGAUGUGAUUGCUUUGGCCAUCACAAAUAAUUGGUGAUUGUUUUGACCAUCACACAAAGAUGUGAUUGCUUUAGCCAUCACAAAUAAUUGGUGAUUGUUUUUACCAUCACAAAAAGAUGUGAUUGCUUCGGCCAUCACAAAUAAUUGGUGAUUGUUUUGACCAUCACAAAAGAUGUGAUUGCUUUGACCAUCACAAAUAACUACUAUGCUAUCGAGAUUACUUUCGCCAUCACAAAUAACUUGUGUGAUUUCGUGAUGGUCAAACUAAUCACAAAAUACAUGUGCGCUAAUGUGACUGAUUUAGUCAUCACAAAAGGAUCGAAUGUUUUGGUGAUUGCCAAAACCAUCACGUAAAACCUUUCAUGAUGGACGUAUACAAAACGGCCAUCGUGAUGCUUAAAAUCAUCACGUAAACCUUUCGUGAUGGUUUUUUUAGUUUUUGUGAUGGAUUUUUGCCAUCACAAAUGACCAUUUUUUUAGUAGUGAUCGAAAGGACGUGGAAUUUAAUAUUGGAGAUCACGUGUUGUUACGUGUUGCUCCAUGGAAAGGAGUUACGAGAUUUGGAAAGAGAGAAGCUCAAUCCUCGAUUCAUUGACCCAUUUUUAAUCCUCGAGCGAGUAGGAACUAUGGCCUAUAGACUCGCCUUACCGCAAAGUAUGUCUCGUGUUCAUAACGUUUUUCACAUAUCUAUGUUACAUAAAUAUGUGAAAGACCCGAACCACAUUAUUGAAUUAGAACCAGACAAGAUAGAGGAAGAUUUAACAUAUGAAGAGUUACCUAUUAAAAUCUUGGAUAAGAAGGAUCAUAUUCUACGCUCCAAGGUUAUACCUCAAGUCAAAGUUUUAUAAGAGAAACCACGAUGUGGAGGAAAUGACCUGGGAGUUAGAAUCUGAGAUGAAGUCAAGAUAUCCUCGUCUCUUCGAUAUACCAGGUACGUACCCUAGUUUCGAGGAUGAAAUUUCAUAAGAAGGGGAGGUAGUAAGACCCCAACUUUUAUGAAUAAAGAAUAAUUUUCUCAAAAUAUAUUUUUGAAUAUUAUGGUGUGGAUUUGAUAUAAUGUUAUAGUUGUGGGUAUUAUUUACAAAUUUUGCAAAGUAAGCAAGUGGUUAUAUAAUAUUCGAUUGGUCGGGGAAUAUUCGUUUUAACAGGGAAUAUUCGUACGACGGUACAAUCAUUGGUGGACCCCACAAAGAAAGUAUUGUUGUAGUUAAAAAACGACAGAAUUAUCUUUUUAUAAAAAUAAUGGCGAAAGUGUUGCCGUUAAAACUGUUGAACUAACCGGUAAUAAAAGUACAGUAAUACGCGUGGUUGCAUAGUAGUACACAGUAUUGAUUAUUGAUGUUUACGUGAGAAGUCACUCAGUUAUACUCAAUUAUUACUAUAGUAAUUGUUGCAUCAUAUCUCUCAUAUUAUUGAUUCAAUUAUUGUCACAGUAUCAUCUGCAUAAUAUGUUAUAUUAUCAAAUCAAUAAUUGAGACGACAAAGUUAUUAAUAUUAUUAAAUUACAAUAUUGACAAUGUCUUGAAGUUCUGUCAAGGAGAGGUUAGAUAAUCUAAUUGCGCGCCAAUAGGGAGAAAUCCUCAUCGGAAAGCCCCCUCUUUCCUGGAAACUACCUGGUUGUUAAAUAUUAUGAGUUAUAAUAUUAAUGAUGAAUAAGUUUGUGUUGAUCAAAGAUGAAAUUAAUAGUUCCAUUGUAUGGAAAUUAUUAGUGUUAGUUGAAAAUCGACAUUUAUUUCGAUAAUAAUUGAUGUCUGGAGGUUUUAUUGACCAAUCGGGUAAUUAACCGGAUAAAUGAGCAAUUAAUUGCUAUUUAUUCACAUGCUUAUAACUAUGUGUUCACAUGUGUGUACUAUUGAUUCACAUGCAUGUACUGUUAGGGGAGUUGGUGCAAGAUUGAUAAUACUUGCAUGACUAAAUUAAAAAUUGAGGUAUAGAUGAAGGUACUAUACUAUACUUAAUUUUUUCACAUGUUUAGAACUAUUGAGUCACAAGAUUUACUAUUGAUUCACAUGAAUUACUAUUAGGGGAGGUGGUGCAAGUUUGAUAAUACUUGCAGGACUAAAUUAAAAAUAAAAAAAAAGAGGAAGGUAUUAUACUGUAAUAUUUUGAGCCCCAAAAUGUGCAAUUAUUGAAACUAUAUUUUCCUAUAAAUAGAAGCUCAUUCUUCCUUCAUUUCUUACCAAUUCACUAAAGCUAUAGAACAAUUAUUAUAGAGAGAAAUUAUAGAGAGAAAGAAGAAGAGAAGUAUGCUACCUCACUACUCCAGUAUCCAGUUUUCUUCUAAGGUAAGGGGUAUUAUUUCUUUCGUAUUCAUGAAGAGAGUUAUUUCUUUCAAUACUCGUAAGGGUUGUUAUUCCAUUCUUUAUUAUUCUGUUGGAAUAACCUGUAUAGGUGGAUUACCGAAUGCGGUGUGAAAUUCUUCUGUUAUUCCAUUCUUUAUUAUUAUGUUAGAAUAACCUGUCUGUGCAGAUUAUGCACGCCUGGUGAAUUCUUUUGUUAUUCCAUUCUUUAUUAUUUUGUCGGAAUAACCUGUCUGUGCGGACUACGCACGCCUGGUGAAUUCUUCUGUUAUUCCAUUUUUUAUUAUUCUGUUGGAAUAACCUGUCUGUGCGGUCUAUCGCAUGCCUAGUGAAUUCUUUUGUUAUUCCAUUCUUUAUUAUUUUGUUGGAAUAACCUGUCUGUGCGGUCUAUCGCAUGCAUGGUGAAUUCUUCUGUUAUUCCAUUCUUUAUUAUUCUGUUGGAAUAACCUGUCUAUGUGGAUUACCGCAUGCAUGGUGAAUGAUCCUUUGUAUUCAUUCCUUAUUAAAUUGUGGAAAUGAUAUGUCUACGUGGAUUACCGCAUGGCGGGCAAAAAUCCAUUUGCAAUUUUAUAUAUUCUAUUAUACUCAGUUGCUUAAAGUUUUGGCUUCUAUACUCCAUGAAAUUAGUAGAAUAUCCUGGAUAUUUGCGCUUCAUCCAAUAUCUUUUCAUGGACAUAUUCUUCUGAGCAUUCUUGAAUUUUACUCCACAAAGCAGUAUUAUGUUGACAAAUUGGAUGUUAUUAAUUUCUGGAUAAAUUAAAUUAUAAAUCUUUAAUAUUUAUCCUUGAACUUGUUUUAUUGAAUUAUUAUGUCAUUGUCAUCAUCCUCAUGCUUAUAUUGUGAUGAAAGUCAUCUUUGGCUUACGUGCAUAGAUGGAUUUGGUAUAAUUAUGACCAGGAAUUAUUCGGUAUAAUCAUGACUGUAAUGUGACGAAUGAUGUGGUGAAAGUCCUCAUUGGCCUGUAGUUCAUUGAUGGACAGUUGUUGGUAUGAUUAUGACCAGGGAUUAUUCGGUAUAAUUAUGACCAUUGAUGAUUACACGAGUAUCCUUGGCCAUAAUGCAUGGAUGAUUCGAUUUUAUUUAUUAAGCUGAGUCUCAGCGAUAAAGUUGAUGAAAAACUUUUUAAGUCAUAGAAGAUAGUAGAUUUUAUACUCUAUAAUUGACUCUUCUAAUGGAUUGCUUAUUCCGCUGUAGUUUUUUAUCUAAAACUUAUUGUCUAUUAUAUUCUUUCAGUUGUUAUACUGUUGAAGGCUAAGGAUAAUUUAUUUUGCAUUAUCUUAGUAAUAAUAUUUCUUACUGGGCUUGUUGAGCUCACCCUUUUCUUUCAUGGUUCUCUUCAAGAAAUGAGAACGUAGCUGGGACUAGUCGGGGAACAGAGUGACGGUCCAGAUGUUUGGAUUAGUAGUCCUCACUAUUCUGUGAAAUAGUGUGAUAAUAAAUGUAAUGAGGACUCCAUUGAGUGUGGAUAUUGUCUAGAUGACAAUAUUCUUAUUAAAACUCUUAGAUUAUGUUUUGUCGUAUUUUACACGACUGUUGUACAAUUAAGUUGUAUUUGAAUUUUGUACCAUGUAUCUGGCGACUCAAGAUGGCUGAUGUAUACCUAUUUUGGUGGCGUCACAUUAACCCUAUUGUUAUAUAUAUUAUAUCCGAUUAUUGUUUAUCAACAUAAUAUUAUACUAUAUAAUUCAGAUAUAUAUUCUGUUCAUUAAUUUCUAAAAAUGAUUAUACAAGUGUCUCCACCUGGAUAAUCAUUGUAUUUAAUCACAUGUUGAUAUAUAUAUAUAUAUAUAUAUAUAUAUAUAUAUAUAUAUAUAUAUACCUAUUGAACCCCAGUAUGUAUACAUUAAGUAAAAGUCGUCUAAGCUAUUCGACCAGCUAGACACAAAUUUAGUUAUAUCGUUUAAUAUGACAAAACUUUUUUGUAUCCAAUCAAAUUAUUUUGGUUCGGAUUCCAGACUAAGUAUGAACAUCCCGAACAUGAGAAAACUUUUAUGCGCCCAAGGCGGACAGAGUAAACGAUAAUAUCUUUCUUUCAUGCAGUAUUGAUCAAUACAGGGUCCAUGGGAUGUAUACCCUCGUGCCCGUAAGUUAUGACGGUUUGCAGAUGAAGUUCUGUUUAACCUUUUUGAAAAUAGAAAACAAUGUGUAUGUCACCCUAACCCUAUAUAUAGUCAAUACAUAGUUUCAAAAAUGUGAGAUAGAGUUGAUAUGUUAUUAUUAUCAGUUUAGUUUACUUCACAACUAUUGAAUCGUUGUAGAAGUAAUGUACAAAGAAAACAUUUAAUUCUUUCAGAUAAUUAUAUUUAUAAUUGUUAUUACUUGCUGGGCACUCAAAUGCUCAUCCUUGCUUAAUUUAAAUGUUUUCAGCUAAGCGUGAUCAACCUGAAGGUUUAGACAAUAAUAAGUGAAAAGGAAAGCAAACAGAAUAUGUUUAACGGUAUCUUUUGUAAUAGUUAAACUGUAUUAAGAUAAUGAUAUGUAUUAUCUAUCAUGUAAAGAAUUAUAGUAAAUGUUGCGUACUUGGGAUUAGACUAUGAUAUUUGUAAAUUAAGUUUGAUUUUUAUAUUAUUGUUAUUAUUAUUAUUAUUAUUAUUCUGCUCAUAAAAAUGGUAUCGUGAAGCACCGAGUUCGGGUUUCAAGUACCUAAAUUUGGGGGCGUCACAGUAUGGUAUUAGAGCUAUAGGUUAGAAACCUUAGGUGGGUUAAACCUUAGGCUAUAACCUUAGAACAGAGGGGAACGUUGAAAAUACAAAUAACUCAUAUAGAGUUUAUAAGGAGAUGAAUUUAAUAAAUUCAUCGUGAAACAAAAUAAAAGAUAACUAAUAAAACUAUUAUUUGCUAUGUGUUUAUACUUAGUGUUAAUCCGGAUAAUUUAUUUGUAUAGAUGUCAGAUAGAAAAAGAAUUAGAAUACCCUCAGAUCAUAAAGAAAGAGCAAAUCUCCAUGACCGAGCCAAUAUUAAAGCUAAUAGCUGAAAUAGAGGCACACAUUGAAAACUACCUCAAAGAGGAGGUUAUUUUGGAAAGUAUAAUACCAGAUCCAGAGACGAUAGUAUAACAGAUAGGUUGAGUGUAGUUAAAGAAUAUAUGGUGAAGCUUGAGUUCUUAAACUCAUUUAUUUGUGGUAAGUUCUUAAACUCAUAAUGUGUAGUAAGAAAAAGGGAAGUAUUUUAGAAUACCUCAUAUCAUUCUCGAAUUACUACUUCAUCUCCUCACCAGCUCUUGAACCCUUGACCUCUAGAAACUCAAUAAUCAAACGAGUACCAAAUGUCUACAAGGAGGACUAGUAUAGUUAUGUGUUAAUGGAUUAUUGAGGAUAAUAGAAUAUAUAGAAUGCUAAGCAAUUGAUCAUUAGUAAAGACGUAAGAAAUAGAUAGUGUUAGUAUUACUUGAAUAGGUAUGAUUCUAUGUGGUGUAAAUGAUAAGUAUGUCUGUGUAAGGAAAUAUUCUCAACUUUUGUAUAAGUUAUGGCUGCGAUUCCUGACUUGUGUGUUAUAAAGGAAUAGCGGAUGUUUAAAGCAGUAUGUGCUAUGGUAUGUCAAGUGAUAUGAAUAUGAGUCUAUGUUGGAUUAACGAAAUAAGUUGAUAUAAAGAUAGUAAUUAUUUAUCUGAACACUGGUUAAUACAGUAAACCGAAUUUUCAAAAUCUAAAAUUUUGAGUACAUGAUUAUUUGAAUAGAAAGUUUUGCGUUAUUUGAGAUGCAUGUACGAUAAGGCUUAGAAUGUAAGUUAAUAAGAAUAAUUUAUGAUAAUGCCAUCGAGAAGAAGAACCUGUCAAUAAAGCUAGAAGAUAACCAGACCCGCCAUAUAAUUUUGCGAAUGUGGACGCUCAAGCUAUGCAGAACGGAAUCCCAGCCGCGGGAAAUCGGCCAGAUAAUCGAUCGACAAACUUUAGAGACUUCAAGGCAAUCGUACUGCCAAGAUUUAGAAGAUCAACUGAUCCUGUUGACGCGUUUGUGAUAGUUAGGGUAACAUAGGGGCAAAAAGACAGCUUUUGCCACCUAUACGAUGAAAGGAGAUAGUUUUGAUAAUACCUGAAAUAAGCCAAGAGUGUGAUGGAAAGGAAAGUUUGUGUGUUGCAAAUGUGGACAGGAGGGAUAUAUCUCUCCUAACUCUCCCAAUCCAAAAGUGUAUAGUGGGUGUUUUAUUUGUGAGUUAAGGGAGCAUAAGGUGAAAGACUGUUUAAGAAAGAGAAGGGAGGCAAGGAAUGCGAAUACGAGGAGAGGCAGCAGGACAUUGACGACAACGAGACCAACUUCAACAAACAAACUGACGGAAUCAACCGCAAGAGUCAUCAACAUGACUGUUUAGGAUUCGGUAGCAGCCGGGGAUGCAACUCCAAGUAUUACUCGAACCAAUUUUAUUUUCUUAUAUAUGAUUUUCUUAUAUAUAUAGUAAAUUAUUUUAUAAAUUAUUUUGAAGGAGGAAUUUGAGUUCUUUUAGAAAUCAAAUUUCUGUUUAUGAAGAUAGAUAAGCUUUUUGCUGAAUAGUUAAAGAUCAGUUAGAUCAAUUAUGAUCGAGAUCUACUUGCAAUGAUUGUAUAGGUUAUGUACCCUUAUAUGUAUAGGUUUUAAAACGGUGAUUCCGGGGACGAAAUCUUUAUAAGGGAGGGUGAAUGUAAUAACCCGAUAUUUUCUAUAUAAUUAAAUCAGAAAUUUUGUGUAUGAAUUUAUUUAUUUAUUUAUUUAUUAAAGUUGGAAAUAUGUGCCAGGUAAUGUGUAUAUGUAUAUAUGUGAUAAAUAAAAUAUAUUUAUUGCAUGAAUAAUUACCAAUAGUUUUAUUUUAGAAUUAUUGCUCAUUAUAAAUUAUAUUAUAAUAAUAAUUAGUUUUAUAGUAGAAAUGUUUUUAUUAAUUCUAUUCUAUGAAAAUGUGUUUAUAUAUUAUUUAAAAAUUAUAUGAAAUGAUUAAAGACUUAUUAUAAUGAUUAUUCUGUUUUAUUAUAUGAAUUUUAGUUCAGAUUAUUUAAGUUAAUUAUUUUAACUUAAUUAUUAUUGUUAUGUAUGCAAGAUAAAUCAGAUAUGGAAUCCAAAUCCUAAUUUUGGAUUUUGAACAACGAAUGAGAAUAAUAAUAUAAUAUUAAUUAUAUUUUUAUUCUUCAGUGCUAUAAAUAUGUAUGUUAUGUUUGUAAGGUUAAUCUGGGGAGCAAUUUCCUUAUGACCUGAUAAAACCCUAAUUUGAAAGUCAAUUACGACUGUAAAAUCUGUUAAGUCAUUGUGAUAUGUGGUAUAUGAUUUGUAUUAUAAGUAUUAAUGUUAAUUAUAUAAAACCCUAAUUAGUAAUUUAAAACUCUAUUUUUCUUAUAUUAGAAACCCUAAACAGUAAUUAGCUAUCCGCUAAGUGGAAACCCUAAUUUAAAACUCAACUAUGAGUUUGAGACUAUUAUGUAACUGUGUUAUUAUGUUUAAGGUUAAGUAUUAUAGAAUUUUAUAUUAAUUAGAGAAACCCGAAUUAACAUUUAGAAAUCCUAAUUUCCAGAAACCCUAAUUUCUAAAUUAGUAAACCUAAUUUCUAAAUUAGUAACCCUAAUUUACUAAAAUAAAAUCCUAAUUGUUAAUUUAGCACGCUUAAUGAUAAUUAGUAAAAUCUAAACCUAAUUUUCAAGUCUAUGUAAUGAGGAAACCAAAUUAAUUACGAAACCUUAAUUUGUAUUUUUAGAAACUAAAAAUUUCAAUUUUUGUUUAAAUUAGAAAUCCUACAACACUUUGUGCUAAACCUUAUGGUCAAACCCUAAGGGUCAAACCCUAAGUGUUUGAUAAGUUACUAGUUUGCCCUUAAAUUGGUUAGCCAAAUGACAAAAAUACCCCUCUUGCAUUAUUGGACAUAACUUGUAAGACUAACCAAUUUUGAGUUGCUCAACAACUCUUACCAGCCCCAUUUGACUAAAAUGCCAGCAAUUAGCCAACUUGAUUUCAUGUUAUAUAUAGAGAGAUCAGGAAAGAGAAAUUUCAUUUAUUAGCCACAUUUGUACAAAAAACUCCUUACCAACUCUCUCUCUCCCAAAACCCACGAAAUGUUGUAGUAGAUCAGUCCCAUAUUAAAGCCCCACUAACACACUUAACCAAAUCAGCAGCCAGAAUCAAGAAUUGAUGUUUAAAGGUAUAAAAUCCUAAGUUAAAGUUUUGAUCUUGUAUGCUAUAUUGGAUUUAUGGUUUUUAUGUUUAAUCAUGUAGAAUAAGGUGUUAAUAGGUGAUCUGGGUUGGCACAUGUUAGAUCCAUAACAUCAAAGUGCUCGAAAUCUAAGUUUUUCAAAAUCUGGAAUUUUUUGUUUUUGUUGUCUGACAGCGAAUGUCAGGCCUUGUAGAUCUGUGCUUGUUUAUUGUUUUGAUGAUUUAAAGGUUUGAAGUGGUAGUUUGGUAUGAGGUCUUUCAUAUGAAAGUGGAAUCACUGUUAUUGGAUGUCUAGAUCGAAAGUUAUUGAUGGUCAAAAGUCGUUGACCAACCAUGACCGAGUGUAAAUCUGGGCAACCCAGAAAGCUUUUUCAGCGUCUGACAAUGUUUUGGAAGGCUUAGAUCUGUCAGUGUGUAAAUGAUUUGAUGAUGUUAUAAUAUACAGUUUAUAGCCUGUCAUAUGUACUUUAUAUUUGUGGCUUUAGAUCCUUUAAACAAACAAUUGAUCAAACUUAGUGGAUGGUCAAACUUGGCCCCUCGGUCACGAUUUCAUUUCUGGGAAUUUCCAGAAAAUCGGAAGAACAGCCCUCUGACAGGGUUUGACCAAGUUAUAUCUUGUAGAUCUGUUGAUGUUAAACUGAUUUGUUGUUAUAUUAUUGUUCCUGGACAUAAGGACUACAUCUUUGAGGCAUUAGAUCACUUGAAUCAUGAACGGAACCUAGAUUAAAUCGAGGAUGAAAGUGACUGGUCGACCACCUGGGUUUCUGGAAAACCCAGGAAUGCUCUGACAACAUAUUUGCAAGCCUAGAUCUCCUUGUGUGUUUGUUGUAUGACCUAGAUAUUGAUUGCUAGUUAUAGUGUUGUAUAAUGACUUCAAUAUUGAUGCUUAAGUUUGCCCAGAAACGAAUUAGACAGAGAAUUAUUAGUGGUCAAAGUUGACCCCUCAAACACAAAGCUAUAAGUGUUCUUGAGCUCAAGAACACCAACAGCGACGCUUACUGUCGCUAAAAGCCAAUAACGACGGUUUCUAAUACUUUUAAUUUCUGAUUUUUCGAAAAAUACUUAAAAAUAGAAAAUAAAUUAUAAAAAUUACAAAAAUGGUUUUAAAAAUUAUUUUCAAUUAUGAAAAAUAACUUUUAAUUAUUUGGGAUAUUUUUCAUUAAUAUUUAUAUAUUUUUUAAUAUUAAUAAUAUUUAAUUUAUUUAAUUAGUGUAUUAAAUAAACUAGAGAAAAAUGAUUUUAAUGUUAUAAAAAUCAAUUGAAAUAAGAAUAAAGUGUUUAAAAAUAUUUUUGAGUUAUAUAUGUAACUUUUAAUAUUUUUGUGAUGAAUUUCAUUAAUUAAUUAAUAUUGGUGAUAAUUAAGUAAUUUAAUAAAUGUAUUAAAUAAAUUAUGAAAAAUAGAAUUUGUGAUUUAAAAAUCAUAUAAAAGUGAUUUAAAGAUUAUAAAAAAAUAUUUAAAGUUAUAAAAUAUAACUUUUGAUAUUUUGUCAUGAAAAAUAUUAAUAAUUUAAUAUUAAUAAUAUUAGAUUUAUUUAAUGAUUAUAUUAAAUAAUUUAGUUUAAAAAUAAUUUUAUUAUUAUAAAAAUCAUUUUAAAUGAAAAUAAAGUGUUUAAAGAUAUUUUAAGUUAUAAAAUAUAACUUUUAAUAUUUAAAGGAUAAUUUCAUUAAUAAUUUAAUAUUAAUGAUAUUAAUUUAAGAUUUAUUGAUAUUAAAUUUAUUUAAUAAUUAUAUUAAAUAAAUAUUUUUAAAAUGGUUUUAUUAGUUUAAAAAUCAUUUAAAAGGAUAUAAUUGAAUUAAAAAUAUUUUAAGUUGGAAUUAAUGACGUUUAAUAUUUGGAUAAAUAGUAAAUUAAUAUUUUAAUAUUAAUGGUAAUUAUUUAAAAAUGAUUUUAAAUGUUUUAAAAAUCAUUUAAGGGUAGUAUUAGUACUUUAAAAAUAUUUUGAGUUAUUAUCAAUAACUUUAAUAUUUUGGUAAUGAUUAUAUUAAUAAUUUAAUAUUAAUUAAAUAUUAAUGAUAAUAUGAUUAUGUACUAUUUAAAUCAUUUAAUUAUGAUUCCAGUGUUUGAAAUUUCAUAAUAAAUUAUAAUAAAUGUUUAAAAAUUAUUAUAAGUCAUUUAAAAAUAAUAUGAUUGAUACUUGUAGAUAUUGAGAUACAAUAUAGAGUCUUAGACUCGAUAUUUACCCAAUAAAGCCGUCGGUAGACCGACAUAUUUUAAAAAUUGAUCUAGACUUAGAUAUUUGACUGUAUUAAUGUUUGUUUGUGAUUUAAUGAUUGUUGAAUAUGUGUGACAAUGUGAUUAGGUUAUGUCCUAACUGCAAUAAGAAGUGCUAUGUGUUAUAGUAUGUUAUUCUAAUCGAACAAAUGAUUUUAUUAAUGAUAGGUUUUGGUAUUAAAGAUAAAACUAAGUUGUGUAUUGUAAGUAGCAGACCAGACAAGUAUCCUAUCUUUGCAUUUUCAUUAUGCAAUGGACAUGAGUAAGAAGUUUAGAACUGUAUUACUACUGUAUCAGAUUAUUAACCCUAUUGUUAUAUAUGUUAUAUCCGAUUAUUGUUUAUCAACAUUGUGACGACCCCAAAAUAGUUAUACAACACCCAUUCUGAGUCGCCAUAAUACAUGGUACAGAAAGAAAACUACAACUUCACUAUUACAAUUGUCAUGCAAAAUACGACAACACAUACUGUGAGUUUAAAUACAAAUAUUGUCUUCUAGACAAUAUCCACAAUCAAAUAAGUCCUCAAUACAUUUAUUAAUACAUUAUUUUACAAAAAUAGUGAGGACUGCUAAAAUAACUAUCUUGAAUCAUCACUCCAUACCCCGGCUAGUCCCUGCUAUAUUCUCACCUCCUGAGAAGAAAAAUGGAACAACAAGAAAAAGGGUGAGUUCAACUAGCCCAGUAAAGAAUAUUAUGACUAAGAUAAUAUACAACAAAUUAUCAUUAGUCCUCAACAGGGAAAAAUCUGAUAGAAUAUAAUAGACAACAAGUUUUAGAUCAGCAAAUGCAGCGGAAACAACAAUCCAUUAGAAGAGUCACGUAGAGAAUGAGUUCUACUAUCUUCUAAGAUUUAAAAGUCCAUCAUCAAUAUUUUAUCCCUGUAACAACAAUCAAUAUACAUCUUUACACUACAGGCCAAAGAUAUUCAUUUAAAUCACCAGUCGGUCAUGUUCAUCUCAACACCUGUUCAUCUUUGCACUACGGGCCAAAGAUAUUCAUCAGUUUAUCAUUCAUCUUUGCACUACAGGCCAAAGAUAUUCAGUAAUAUCAUCAUUUAGGACUGAGGAUGAUGAAAAAUAUUUUUUUUUAAAGAAACGAAUCCAGUGAAACAAAAGGACAAGGAUUAAGAAUUCGUACUUUAGUUUGUCCAAAUUCAAAAAUACUCCAUAAUAAACAAUUAUGGGACAAAUUUUAAGAAUGAAGAUCAAAACAUGGAUAUAAUCAAAGCUAGUAUCAUAAUGGACAUUUUGGAUAAAAAGGAAAUUUUUUAUUUUUCGGUGAAUAAUGUCGUAUUCGUGAAUAGUGCUGUAUACGUGAAUAGUGCCGUAUACGUGAAUAGUAACCCCGACACAAAAAGUUCCAAAUUUGAUAAAAAGAUCAGAUCAAUAUUUCGACGUAAUGAUAUUGACGAAAAUAAUAUCAUUCAUGAAGAAAAUAAUAUUCCUUACCUCAAAGAAGCAGUACUUCGGAAUGAAAGGUCGGAAGUGAUGCUGAAUGAAACUUGUACUGAACAACAACUCUCAAAGUAUCUAAAUACUCACAAAAUACGCUCGAUAAUAUAGAGAGAAAGAGAGAAAGCUUAUGUUUCUUGUGUGAUUUUCAAUUCUAACUUAGCCAUCUAUUUAUAGAAAAAUGUUAACCCGCCGAAGCAGACUUGACCUGCUACCUGAUGGCUUUACCUGUUACUAUUGCCACCCACCACAUUUAAAAUUCAAUUUGAGCACAUUUCUCACCAACCACAAGUGGGGCCCAUUCAAUUCUAGAAUUUUCCACCAAAAUCAUUUAUAACCCUAAUUUCCGAAGCAGUCACCUCUUAAAAUUCAUAACAAAUCAUUCGUUCAUUUUUAACGGUUCAAAAUUUGUGGACAUAUACCCAACUUAUAUAUGUAUAACAUAACCAAAAAUCACAACAAUCCAACGGUCAGAGUAAAAAUUAUAACUCACGCAAUAUAUCGUAAAAAUACUGAUUUGAUUUUUAAUACCUCCAUUCCGACAAAAAUAUAGAUAAAACACCUCAACAUUAACUCCUUCAAUUAUAAUCACAUAAAAUAAACAAAUCCAUCAUUUAUAUAAAAUAAAUAUUUCCUUAUCAUAUAAAUCAAUAAUUAAUUAUUCACAAAUAAUAUUAUAGAAUCACAAUUAUGACAACCAAGCCGUUUCCAGGAAAGAGGGGGCUUUCCAAUAAGGAUUUCUCCUUACUGGCGCGCAAUUAGAUGACCUAACCUCUCCUUAACAGAACUUUCUAGACAUUGCCAAUAAUGCUAUCUAAUAAUAUUAUUAAAGCAAUAUGAAUUAUUGAUCUGAUAAUGGGAAAUACUGUGCAGUAACAAUAAUUGAAAUAAUAAUAAUAUAAAAUAUCAACGCAGCAAUUAUUGAAUCAAUAAAAUAAAAUAUUAAACAGUAACUACUGUAACAAUUAUUGAGUAGUGCCUUCUUACGUAAGAAUCAAUAAUUCAACUAUACUGUGUAAUACCGUGUGCUACUGUGCAACUACGCGUAUUACUGUAUUUUAACCACCAGGUAAUCCAACAGUGUUAACGGUAACAACUGCGCCGUUAUUUAUAAAAACACAUACUUGUCGUUUUCCUUCAUCCAACCAUUUUUCAUUAUGGGGCCCACAAAUGGCUGCGCCGUCGUACGAAUAUUCCCUGACAGCAAGAAUAUUCCACGACGAAACGAAUAUUCCCCGACAACAAUGAAUAUUUUAUAACCACUUGCUUAUUUUGCAAAAUUUGCUUAUCUCAUCCAUAACCAAAAUAUUAUAUCAAAUUAACACCUUAUUAUUCACAAUAAUAAUAAUUAGAGGAAAUUCAAUUUCAUUUAUAAAAAGUUGGGGUCUUACAAACAUGAUAUUAUAUUAUAUAAUUCAGAUAUAUAUUCUGUUCGUUAAUUUCUAAAAAUGAUUUAAUCACAUGUUGAUAUAUAUAUAUAUAUAUAUAUAUAUAUAUAUAUAUAUAUAUAUAUACCUAUUGAACCCCAGUAUGUAUACAUUAAGUAAAAGUCGUCUAAGCUAUUCAACUAGCUAGACACAGAUUUAGAUAUAUCAUUGAAUAUGAUAAAACUUUUUUGUAUCCAAUCAAAUUGUUUUGGUUCGGAUUCCAGACUAAGUAUGAACAUCCAGAACAUGGGAAAACUUUUAUGCACCUAAGACGGACAGAGUGAAUGAUAAUAUCGUUCUUGCAUGCAGUAUUGAUCAAUACAGGGUCCUUGGGAUGUACACCCUCGUGCCCAUAAGUUAUGACGGUUUGCAAAUGAAGUUCUACUUUACCUUUUUGAAAAUAGAAAAUAAUGUUCAUAAUAUGUCACCCUAACCCUAUAUAUAGUCAAUACGUAGUUUCAAAAAUGUGAGAUAGAGUUGUUAUGUUAUUAUUAUCGGUUUAGUUUACUUCACAACUAUUGAAUCGUUGUAGAAGUAAUGUACAAAGAAAACAUUUAAUUCUUUCAGAUAAUUAUAUUUAUAAUUGUUAUUACUUGCUGGGCACUCAAAUGCUCAUCCUUGCUUAAUUUAAAUGUUUUCAGCUAAGCGUGAUCAAUCUGAAGGUUUAGACAAUAAUAAGUGAAAAGGAAAGCAAACAGAAUAUGUUUAACGGUAUCUUUUGUAAUAGUUAAACUGUAUUAAGAUAAUGAUAUGUAUUAUCUAUCAUGUAAAGAAUUAUAGUAAAUGUUGCGUACUUGGGAUUAGACUAUGAUAUUUGUAAAUUAAGUUUGAUUUUUAUAUUAUUGUUAUUAUUAUUAUUAUUAUUAUUCUGCUCAUAAAAAUGGUAUCGUGAAGCACCGAGUUCGGGUUUCAAGUACCUAAAUUUGGGGGCGUCACAAAUAUGGCUCAGUUAUUGGAGCGCGAUAAUGAGUCAACCCAACCAAGAGAGAGUAGCCGACAAAAUGAUAAUACCAGUGGUAGCAGUCAUCGAAGCGGUGUCAACAAACGUGGAGGGAAUCAACAUGCUAGAAAUGGUAACCACUUCGGUAGUAAUCAUGGCGAAGAUAAUAAAAAUGGAAAUUUCAAGAAGAGGAGAAUCAACAAUGAUGGAAAGACGUCAGCACCAGAACCCGUUGGUAAGGAAGGAGAACGACCAGCGAUCGUAUGCUACAAAUGCGGAGGGGAGGGAUACAUCAGUCCAAACUGUGCGCAGCCGUCCAAAAUGUAUUAUAAUUAUGGAAGAGAAGGUCACCUAGCUCGAUUUUGUCUUGCAAGGAAGCCAAGUCAAGCUGGGAUGGAGGCACCAAAGGUCAUCCCAGAAAAGUCAAAACCAGUAGUUCAAGGGAGAGCGUUUUUCGUGACCUCCCAGAAAGCAAGGAACCUGAACGAGGUUAUCAUGGGUAAGCUAAUCAUAAACUCUAGCGAAGUAUAUACCUUAUUUGAUAACGGUUCUACCCAUUCUUUUAUUUUACUAUUGGCACUCAACGUUUAAAUUUAACUCUGGAGAAAUUAGACUUUGACUUAUCUGUUAAAACUCCGUUGGGAGAAACCUUCAUUACAUCCACUGUUUAUAAGUCUUGUUUAGUUCAAAUCGGUACCCUCACAUUACCUGUCGAUCUUAUUUCUUUAAAAAUACUUGCAUUUGAUGUGAUUUUAGGGAUUGAUUGGUUAACUACUCAUCAUGCAAAAAUUGAUUGUUUUCGUAAGGUUGUUAGCUUUCAUAUUCCUAACCAACCUAUUAUGCGAAUUCAAGCAACCAAACCACUAAAGUCAAUCACUGUCAUAUCAAGCCAUAAAGCUAUUCAUUUAUUGAAAAAUAGAUGUCAAGCUUUCUUAGCCCAUGUCACAAAUUUAAACAAAAAUACGUCAUAUUUGAAUGAUAUUUCUAUUGUUAAUAAAUUUCCAGAUGUAUUCCCUGAAGAACUUCCUGGCCUACCCCCAGAGCGUAAAAUUGAGUUUGUAUUGACCUCGAACUCGGUAAAAGACCCAUUUCCAAAGCCCCAUAUCGAAUGGCUCCUAUUGAACUUCAGGAGUUAAAAACCCAACUGCAGGAGUUGUUAGACAUCUGUUUCAUUUUUCCUAGUACGUCUCCUUGGGGUUCUCCUGUUCUAUUCGCAAAGAAGAAAGAUGGGAGUAUGCGACUUUGUAUUGACUAUCGGGAGUUAAAUCAUGUCACUAUCAAAAAUAGGUACUCGUUGCCUCGCAUUGAUUACCUGUUUGACCAGUUGUAAGGAGCCAAAUUCUUUUCAAAGAUCGAUCUUCGUUCUGGAUAUCACCAGUUAAAGAUUAAAACUGAUGACAUCCGAAAGACUGCUUUCAGAACUCGGUACAGGCAUUAUAUAUGAAUUCCUAGUCAUGCAUGUCCGUUGGAUUGACUAAUGCUCCUGCUGCUUUCAUGGAUAUGAUGAACCGAGUAUUCAAGGAAUAUUUGGAUCAUUUUGUGGUCAUUUUUAUUGAUGACAUCCUCAUAUACUCCAAAAUCCGUGAAGAUCAUGAGCAACACUUGAGGUUUAUACUUCAAAAGUUUCGUGAAAACAAGCUUUAUGCCAAGUUGAAGAAAUGCGAGUUCUGGCUUAAGGAAGUGGCAUUCCUUGGGAACGUGAUAUCAAUUCACGGAAUAUCUGUUGACCCAUUGAAGAUUAAAGCAAUUCAGAGCUGGGAGCAACCUAAGUCAGUGACCGAAGUACGUAGCUUUCUGGGCUUAGCUGGUUAUUAUCGGAGAUUCAUGGAUGGAUUUUCUCGAAUUGCUACUCUAUUAACUCAGCUGACUCGAAAAGAUACAAAAUUCGGUUGGAGCGAGGAAUGUGAGAAAAGUUUUCAAGAACUCAAGAGAAGACUCAUUUCAGCACCUGUUCUGAUAAUACCAUCUGGCUCGUAGGGAUUUAUCAUCUACAAUGAUGCUUCAGGCAAAGGGUUAGGAUGUGUUCUCAUGCAACAUGGGAAAGUCAUAGCCUAUGCAUCAUGACAACUCAAAGAAUAUGAGAGGAAUUAUCCUACUCAUGAUCUAGAGUUGGCAGCUGUCGUUUUUGCGCUUAAGAUUCGGAGGCAUUACCUGUAUGGAGAGAAUGUGGAGAUCUAUACGGAUCAUAAAAGCCUCAAAUAUUUCUUCACUCAAAAGGAGCUCAACAUGCGACAACGACGUUGGCUUGAGCUAUUGAAAGACUACGAUCAUACCAUUUAAUACCAUCUUGGAAAAGCGAACGUAGUAGCUGACGCAUUGAGUAGAAGAUCAUAUGCGGGUACGAGUGCGAUAUUGUUAACGCAAAGACCCAUUUUGUAUGACUUACAAAGGAUGGAAAUAGAGUUAAAGACUCUAGGGACCCAAGUGAUGAUGGCAAAUAUACGAUUAGAACCGACUUUAAUCGAUAAAGUUAAAGCUGCUCAACUUACGGACCUGGAGCUGAUGCGUAGUAGGAAGAAAGUACAAGGUGCUAUCCUGGAAGCAAGAAUCGAUGAAGAAGGAAUACUAUGAGUCAACUCUAGACUUUGUGUUCCUAACGACCCUAAUUUAAAGUAUAAAAUCAUGAUGGAGGCGCACAACACACCGUUUGCAAUCCAUCCUGGGAGUACCAAAAUGUAUCGUGAUCUUCGACAUAUAUUUUGGUGAAGUAAUAUAAAGAGAGAGAUAACAGAGUUUAUCUCAAGAUGUUUAACUUGUCAACGUGUCAAGGCGGAGCAUCAAGUGACAAAAGGUCCAUUGCAACCACUUGAAAUUCUAGAAUGGAAGAGGGAGCACAUUACCAUAGAUUUUGUUAUUGGUCUUCCCAAGGUUUCUCAAGGCAUAGUUGCAAUUUGGGUCAUUGUUGAUAGAUUGACCAAGUCUGCUCAUUACUUACCUAUACGAGAAACCUAUACACUUGAACGUCUUGCUCGUAUAUACAUAAACGAGAUUGUAAGACUGCAUGGUAUACCAGUAUCCAUAGUUUCUGAUCGAGACCUAAGAUUACUUCACGAUUUUGGGUCAGUUUGCAGAAAGCUAUGGGCACGGAUUUGCGAUUCAGUUCUUUGAUGCCCCCAAAAUAGGUAUACAUCACCCAUUUUGAGUCGCCAGAUACAUGGUACAAAAUUCAAAUACAACUUAAUUAUACAACAGUCGUGUAAAUACGACAAAACAUAAUCUAAGAGUUUUAAUAAGAAUAUUGUCCAUCUAACAAUAUCCACAAUCAAUGGAGUCCUCAUUACAUUUAUAAUCACACUAUUUCACAGAAUAGUGAGGACUACUAAUACAAACAUCUGGACCGUCACUCUGUUCCCCGACUAGACCCAGCUACGUUCUCAUUUCCUGAAGAGAACCAUGAAAGAAAAGGGUGAGCUCAACUAGCCCAGUAAGAAAUAUUAUGACUAAGAUAAUGCAAAAUAAAUUAUCCUUAGCCUUCAACAGUAUAACAACUGAUAGAAUAUAAUAGACAACAAGUUUUAGAUCAAAAACUGCAGCGAAAUAAGCAAUCCAUUAGAAGAGUCAAGUAGAGCAUAAAAUCUACUAUCUUCUAUGAUUUAAAAAGUUUUUCAAAAUUUUUAUCGCUGAGACUCAGCUUAAUAUAUAUAUAUAUAUAAAAGCAAUAAACGCACCGGAUGUAGACUUACAGUGGACUGCCAAAGUAGACUUCUUGGACUGCAAAUGGAUGAACACUCGUCUCUCGCCGGACUAAAAGUAGCUAUAUACGAGCUAACUAGUGUUUAAAGAAAAGGAAACACUCAAAAGAUGUGUAUGCAGAGCUAAACGGACAGGGCUUCCUCGCCUUUUUCCCUCUCUUCCUUCUCUCAAAUGGCUGACCCCCCCUCUAUAUUUAUAGACGGAUGGCCGCAGGUCUACCUGCGGCUGGUCGUGGUGGGCCCGGGCAUCGCGGGUCUCGUCGUCUUGUAGUACGUGCACUUGCGCACGGUAAUGUCCAAUCGAACUUUCAGAACUUCAAUCCUAGCAUCCAAACGAAGCGUGUCUGUACUUCUUCGGACCGCUGGUGUCGAGAGUUACGUAAUGACAUGGAUUAGAGGUUGUACGAAGUCAGGAAGCGGGGUAUAUGCCCAUGGUCUUCAGGCUUCAAAUUCUAUCCAAAGUAUUGUCACAGGUAAUAGUCACUCGGGAUUGUCAUUCCUCGGUUAUUUGGGACAUUGUUGUAUGUAUGUAUGUCUGAAAGGUUGAGACGACGUGCCAUUUGUUGGACGAACAAGAUGAUGUUUGACUCUUUGCCGGAGUUAUCGCCUGGUUGAGCUGAAAGUAACCGUUGCUCAGGUUACAUCUGAGAUUGGACUACUUGUUGGUAUGCUGCUAUAUCAUCUUGUUACGAGAUGACGUUGGUGACUCCUCACCGGGUUUAUCGCCGGUUUAAGCGGAAAGCAGACGUUGAUCAGGGUUACAGCUAAGAUUGGACCGCCUAUUUGUAUGCCUCACUGUCAUCUGUGAUUGAAGCUGAUUGCAUGUGUUUGCAACAAGCAAUUCUGGAGUUAUCGCCGGAACUGCGAUGGCAUCACUUGGGGUUAUCACCAAGGAUGGGACUACUACUCCCAAUGUUGUCUCUGGGACUGGAACUGAACGUCGCGGUGUCAUCACCGAGACAGGACUGUCCUCUCCGGUGUUGUUGCCGGUCUUUUGAUCUGCACAUCUCGGGGUUAUCUCCGAGAUUGGAAAUGACGUGCCCGGUGUGUGUUCCGGGUUUGGAACCGAUGCUCCCGGUUUGUGUUCCGGUUUGGAGCGAAACUUCCGGUAGUAUCUGGACUUGUUGUGAGCUGUCUUUCAGGGUUAUCUCCAAAAGACGAAUCUACCCUCCUGCAAUGUUAGUAAUAGGAGUGCAGAAAAUUUCGAGUGUCUACAACACCUAGCAACCCAGAUCAUCACUAUAGACUAAAAACAACAUAUUCUAACACCCAAACAUAACAUUUAACAACAUAUCAAAGGUCAGAUUUUUAGGUUUAGUGUUAUACCUUCUUGCUCAAUUUCUUGAUUUUAUGUUACUGAUUUGUUAUGGGAUUUCGUGGGGCUUGAAAAUGGGACAAAAAUGCUAUAGAUUUUCGUUGGUUCUAGUGAGAGAAGCUCUUGGUUGAGUGUUGUGCAAUUUUUAGUGAACAAAUGCAUUUUCUCUAUCCUUAAAUCUAUUUAUAGACAAAUUAGAUACAUGAAUGGCUGAGCUAGAACUUGUUGUUGUCAAUUUAGUGUCACAUGGCUACUCUAGGGUUAGCCAACCACUCCAUCUAGACCUAUUUCUACAAGCAAGCUUCAAUAAUACAAUAGGGCACAAAAGUCUUUUGGCUAGCAAUUUUAAGGGCAUUUUUAUAACUUGUCAAACCCUUAGGGUUUAACCCUUAGGGUUUAGCACAUAACACAAAUGAUUUUUAGCAACUUAGGGUUUGAAUAAAAUAAAAUUAUUUUAGCUUCUAAAAUUUGAAAAUCAAGAUUUGUUAAUUAGAUUAAGUUAGUAAUUAUAUUAUACAUGAACAUUAGGGUUUAGUACCACUAAUCAUAAUUAACCUUGCCAAAAUAGCAAUUAGGGUUUAAGAUUUUAAUAAUUAGGAUUUCUAAAACUCAAUUAGGAUUUUCUAAUUAUCCAAUUAGGGUUCUGAACAUUAGGGUUUUAAUUUAAUAAUUAUGUUUACCAUAAUUAGCAAUUAAAGUCUAUUGUACGUGUUAUUAAUCACAGUAACAUAAUUUUUGACAGAUAAAAUUCUUCAGUUUAAGUUUUGAUUUAGGGUUUCUAAUAUCAGAAAUUCAAAUCUAAUUAGGGUUUGACAUUUAUAAUUAGGGUUCCCUAAUUGGCAUAUCAUUAUGUAACACAACAUAUAACACAGUUAUAUAACAGUCUCAAAUUUCCCAUUUAAAUUGAAAAACAGGGUCAAACCAAUUAAUGCUAGGGUUUGGUCAAUAUACACCAUAAUUGACCAACCAUCAACAGUACGUACAUACAGUACAUAUUUAUGGCACUGAGAAAUUAAAAUAUUAUAAUAUUAUAUAUUAUUCUCAUGCCUUGAUCAAAACCCAAAAUUAGAGUUUGGAUUCCGUAUCUGAUUUAUCUGCCAUAAAUAACCUUAUUAAUUAAGUUAAAAUAAUUAACUUAAUAAUCUGAACAAAAUUCAUAUAAUAAAAUAAUUAUUAUAAUUAUUCUAACAUCAUUUCAUAUAUUACUUAUAUUUUCAAGGAAAAUAAUUAAUAAAACAUUUCUAAUAUAAAAUUAACUGUUAUAAGAAUAUAAUUUAUAAUAAUUAAUAUUUCUAAAAUAAAUCAAUUUGUAAUAAUUAAUGUAAUAAAUUUUAUUUAUCACACAUAUAAUUAUACACAUAUUACCUUGGCACAUAUCACCCAUAUUUAUUUUAAUAAAUAAUAAAAAAAAAAUUUAUACGCAAAAUUUAUGAUUUAUUUAUAUAGAAAAUAUCGGGUUGUCACAUUCUUCACAUUCAUCAGAUUCGGGUGUGUAGCUUGAGCGGCUUUAACUUUAUCGAUUAAAGUCGAUUCUGCUCGUAUAUUCGUUAUCUUCACGUGGGUCCUUAGAGUCUUUAACUCUAUCUUCAUCAUUUGUAAGUUAUACGAAAUGGGUAUUUGUGUUAACAACAUCGCACUUGUAAACACAUACGAUCUUCUACUCAAGGCGUCAGCUACUACGUUCGCUUUUCUACGAUGAUAUUGAAUGGUAUAGUCGUAAUCUUCAAUAGCCCGAGCCAACGUCUUUGGCGCAUGUUACGUUCGUUUUAAGUGAAGAAAUAUUUGAGGGUUUUAAAAAUGGGUUUUGUACUGGGGUCAAUACAAAAUUUGAUUUCACGCUCUAGGGGUAGGCUAAGAAGUCUUCAGGAAUACGUCAGGAAACUUAUUAACGAUAGAAAUAUCAUUCAAAACUGUGACUCUCAUCCCAAGACUUGGAUAGCCCGUCAUAUUGAUACCUAUCAACUUGCCACCGUUAUUCACGGCGUCCCCUACGGAUAGUCUGGCUUCGGUGUAUUCCAAGACUUGGAAGUCAUCAGCGAAAGGCUUAGGUCUCUUUACUUAUGGCUUGAUAUGACAAUGAUUGGCUUUAGUGGUUUGGUUGCUUGAAUUCGCAUAACAGGUUGGUUAGGAAUAUGAAAGCUAACAACCUUACGAAAAGCAUGAUGAGUAGUUAACCAAUCGACUCCUAAAAUCACAUCAAAGGCAAGUAAUUUCAAAGAGAUAAGAUCGACAGGUAACGUGAAAGUGUCGAUUUGAAUUAAACAAGAUUUAUAAACAGUGGAUGUAAUUAACGAAGGUUUCUCCUAACAUAGUUUCAACCGAUAAGUCAAAGUCUAAUUUCUCCGGAGUUAAGUUCAAACAUUGAACACAACUAGGUGAAAUAAAAGAGUGAGUAGAACCGGUAUCUAACAAGGUAUAGACUUCGCAAGAGUUUAUGAUUAACUUACCCGUGAUAACUUUAUUCAGGUUUCUCGUCACGAAAAACGCUCUCUCUUAAACUACUGAUUUUGACUUGUCUGGGACAUCCCAGUUGGACUUAACUUUGCUGUAGAGUACAUUCCACCCUUAAUUGCUUCAUCACAUUCCUGAUCCAUGAUUCGAAUCAUUACUCUCUGAUCCAUAUCGAAUUGGGGUUAACCGCUCUGCACAGGGUAAUUUCGAAUUCGAUGUUGGAUUCUCCCAAUUGUUGUCCAAAAAGCAAAAUCCAUUUCAUCUAUUUUAGCCUUAUUGGAUCUGACGUCUUUUUCUACAAUAUCUACACGUCGUGCGACUUUUACCCAUGCAUCAUCUAUUCUCAUUCGUUCAGUUGUUUUUUCUUUCAUCAGAACUUUGAUCAUAGCAUUCUUAAAUUCCAGCUCUAAUAUCUUAUACUCUGCCAAAGAGUGCUUCUGUUCGAGCAUCGUACAUCGGGUAACACAAUUUUGAAUUGCUACAUCUCUUUGCUCCACGACCGCCUGUCGUUCUUCAGCCUGCUCUUCUAGCUCAUGAAUACAAUUUUGUAAUUCUAAAUUUCGAUCAUAAAAUUCUUCUAAUAAAUUCACCUCAGGUUCCUCUUCUUCCUCACUCUCAGCUGCUACCUCUGCAACUAGCUCGAGUGCAACUAUUAGUUCUUCACUCACCAUGUAGAUAUCUCUAAUUUCUUCUUCGUUUGACAUCACAUUAACCUGGUUAGUGAUUAAAGGUGUCUCAACGAUCUCAUUCACUGCAUUGUUAAUAUUUUUAGCCGCCAUUUUUAAAUACUGUCAUAAAACAAGGGUGAAUUAACAUAUCACAUAUUAUCAAUAUAUUAUGACCGACCAAUUAAAUACCAAAUAAACUUAGGUAGGUCAUACUAGCAAAGGAAUUCCCCGUCUCUCCCCUCCUAGUUCUUGUCUCACAUCUCAGCCAGGGAUCAUAUCCCUAAGCUUUGAUACCAACUGUGACGCCCCCAAAACAGGUAUUCAUCACCCAUCUUGAGUCGCCAAAUACAUAGUACAAAAUUUAAAUACAACUUAAUUAUACAACAGUCGUGUAAAAUACGACAAAACAUAAUUUAAGAGUUUUAAUAAGAAUAUUGUCAUCUAGACAAUAUCCACACUCAAUGGAGUCCUCAUUACAUUUACUGUCACACUAUUUAACAGAAUAGUGAGGACUACUAAUGCUAACAUCUGGACCGUCACUCUGUUCCCCGACUCGUCCCAGCUAUAUUCUCAUUUUCUGAAGAGAACAGUGAAAGAAAGGGUGAGCUCAACUAGCCCAGUAAGAAAUAUUAUGACUAAGAUAAUGCAAAAUAAAUUAUCAUUAGCCUUCAAUAGUAUAACAACUGAUAGAAUAUAAUAGACAACAAGUUUUAGAUCAAAAACUGCAGCGGAAUAAGCAAUCCAUUAGAAGAGUCAAGUAGAGCAUAAAAUCUACUAUCUUCUAUGAUUUAAAAAGUUUUUCAUCAUUUUUAUCGCUAAGACUCAACUUAAUAAAUAAAAUUGAAUCAUCCCUGCACCACAGCGAAGUUUAUUCAUGUAAUCAUCAAUGGUCAUGACUAUACCGAAUAAUCCCUAGUCAUAAUCAUACCAACAACUGUCCACCAAUGAAUUACAUGCCAAUGAUGACUUUUACCACAUCAUUCGUCACAUUACAGUCAUGAUUAUACCGAAUAAUCCCUGGUCAUAAUCAUACCAAGUCCAUCUAUGCACGUAAGUCAAAGAUGACUAUCAUCACAAUAUAAGCAUGAAGAUGAUAACAAUGACAUAAUAAUUCAAUAAAACAAGUUCAAGGAUAAAUUUUAAAGAUUUAUAAUUUAAUUUAUCCAGGAAUCAAUAACGUCUAAUUUGUCAACAUGAUACUGCUUUGUGGAGUAAAAUUCAAGAAUGCUCAGAAGAAUAUUUCUAUGAAAAGAUACUGGAUGAAGUGCAAAUAUCUAGGAUAUUCUACUAAUUUUAUGGAGUAUAGAAGCCAAAACUUUAACCAACUGAGUAUAAUAGAAUAUAUGAAGCUGUAAAUGGAUUUUCGCCCGCCAUGCGGUAAUCCAUGUAGACAGAUCAUUUCCACAUUUUAAUAAGGAAUGAAUACGAAGGAUCAUUCACCAUGCAUGCGAUAAUCCACAUAGACAUGUUAUUCCAACAGAAUAACAAAGUAUGGAAUAACAGAAGAAUUCACCAUGCAUGCGAUAGACCACACAGACAGGUUAUUCCAACAGAAUAAUAAAGAAUGAAAUACUAAAAGAAUUCACCAGGUGUGCGUAGUCCGCACAGACAGGUUAUUCCAGCAGAAUAAUAAAGAAUAGAAUAACAGAAGAAUUUACCAGGCGUGCUUAAUCCGCACAGACAAGUUAUUCCAACAGAAUAAUAAAGAAUGGAAUAACAGAAGAAUUCUCCAGGCGUGCGUAAUCUGCACAGACAGGUUAUUCAACCAGAAUAAUAAAGAAUGGAAUAAUAGAAGAAUUUUGCCACGCAUACGGUAAUCCGUGUAUACAGGUUAUUCCAACAGAAUAAUAAAGAAUAGAAUAACAGAAGAAUUUCACCACACAUACGGUAAUCCGCGUAUACAUGUUAUUCCAACAGAAUAAUAAAGAAUGGAAUAACAACCCUGACAAGUAUUGAAAGAAAUAACUCUCUUAAUAAAUACGAAAGAAAUAAUACCCCUUACCUUAGAAGAAAACUAGAAUAGUGAGGUAGCAGACUUCUCUUCUUCUUUCUCUCUAUAAUUUCUCUCUAUAAUAAUUUCUCUAUAGCUUUAGUGAAUUGGUGAACAAUAAUGAAGGAAUGAGCUUCUAUUUAUAGAAAAAUAUAGUUUCAACAAUUGCACAUUUUGGGGCUCAAAAAAUUACAGUAUAAUAUCUUCUUCUUUUUCUUCAUUUUUAAUUUAGUCCUGCAAGUAUUAUCAAACUUGCACCACCUCCUCUUGGAAGUCCUUGAAUCAAUCAGCUCGAAACAAUCCUUCUUGGACUCAAAUUCUAGUUAAAAUUACCUUUUCUACGCGUACCCAAGCCCCAGCUUGGGUAUUGCCUUGUAAAUAGUAAGCCCCGGCUUGCUAUGCUUCUGAUUUUGAACUCAGGACCCCAAGCCCCGGCUUGGGUAUAAAGCUUAAAAGAGCAAGCCCCGACUUGGGUGCAAGCUGCUAAUAGUUUUUUCUGCUGCAGUGUCCUCAGGUAAAAUGGCCAUAACUUUUGAUCCGGGAGGAGUUACGGGGCCUGCCACCUAUCAAAUCAAAGAUAUCGACGAGAUCUACAACUUUCAUUCUUUGAGAAUUGAGUAAUAACGAACGAAUGAAGGUAGAAAUUGGACUAGAAAUGACUGUUAUGCAAAUGGCCACCCAAAAUAGCGAAGUUAUUCAACAGUCUCCUGUGCUCCAUUGAUAUUCUCAACAUUCUCGGUUGUCAUUUUCAAAUACUGCCACAAAACAAGGGUUAAAUAACAUCACAUAUUAUCUCUAUACUCUGACCGACCAAUUAAAUACCAAAUAAACUUAGGUAGGUCAUACUAGUUCCCCGUCUCUCCCCACCUAGUUCUUAUCUUACAUUUUAGUCAUGGAUCAUAUCCCUAAGCUUUGAUACCAACUGUGACGCCCCCAAAAUAAGUAUACAUCACCUAUUCUGAGUCGCCAAAUACAUGAUAUAAAAUACAAAUACAAUCUUAAAUAUACAACAUAAGUUGUGAGUUUUAAUACAAACAUUGUCUUCUAGACAGUAUUAAAACUCAAAAUAAGUCAUCAAUACAUUUAUUAACACACUAUUUCACAGAAUAGUGAGGACUACUAAUGCUAUCCUCUGGACCAUUACUCCAUUCCCCGACUCGUCCCAGCUAUAUUCUCAUUUCCUGAAGAGAACAAUGAAAGAAAGGGUGAGCUCAACUAGCCCAAUAAGAAAUAUUAUGACUAAGAUAAUGCAGAAUAAAUUAUCAUUAGUCUUCAACAAUGUUAAACUGAUAAAAUACAAUAACUGCAGCGAAAUAAGUAAUCCAUUAAAAGAGUCAAGUAGAGAAUAAAAUCUACUAUCUUUUAUGAUUUAAAAGGAUUUUCAUCACUUUUAUCGCUGAGACUCAGUUUAAUAAAUAAUCCACAUCAUCGAAUCACCCCUGCACUACGGCCAAGGAUAUUCUUUAGUAUUACAACCAUAAAUAUCCAUGCACUACGGGCCAAGGACAUUCGUGUAUUCAUUAAUGGUCAUGAUCAUGCCAAAAACUGUCCAACAAUACACUACGGUCAAUGAGGACUUUUACCACAUCAUUUGUAACAUUACGGUCGUAAUUAUACUGAAUAAUCCCUGGUUAUAAUCAUACCAAGUCCAUCUAUACACUACAGGCCACAGAUGACUUUCAACAGAAUAUAAACAUGAGGACGAUGACAAUGAUAUAUGAAUUCAAUAAAACAAGUUCAAGAAUUUAUUUGUCCAGGAACCAAUAACGUCCAAAUUGUCAACAAGAUACUGUUUUGUGGGAUAAAAUUCAAGAAUGCUCAGAAGAAUAUUUUCAUAAAAAGAUAUUGGAUGAAGCGCAAAUAUCAAGGAUAUUCCACUAAUUUCAUGGAGUAUAGAAGUCAAAACUUUAACCAACUGAGUAUAAUAAAGAAUGAAAUAACAAAAGAAAUCACCAUGCACGUGGUACUUCGCAUAGACUGGUUAUUCCAACAGAAUAAUAAAUAACGGAACCAGGUUAGGCAAAAUUCGCACCGAUAGGAUGUUCCAACUGAAUAAUAAAGAAUGGAAUAACAACAGAAAUCACCAUGCAUACGGUACUUCGCAUAGACAGGUUAUUCCAACAGAAUACUAAAUAACAGAACCAGGUCCGGCGUAAAACGCACAGACAGGAUAUUCCAACACAAUAAUAAAGGCGGAACCAGGUCCGGCGUAAAAGUCACAGACAUGAUAUUCCAACAGAAUAAUAAAUACGGAACCAGGUCCGGCGUAAAACGCACAGACAGGAUAUUCCAACAGAAUAAUAAAGAAGAAAAUAACAGAAGAAUUUCAUCAAAUAUAGGGUAGCCCGCGUAUACAGGUUAUUCCAACAGAAUAAUAAAGAAUGGAAUAACAGAAGUUCUCUUCAUGAAUACAAAAGAAAUAAUACCCCUUACAGUUACAACAAAUAAUAUCCAUUACCGUAAAAGAAACUGGAUAUAGGAAAAUAAAGUUAGCAGACUUCUCUUCUUCUUUCUCUCUAUAAUUUUCUCUCUUUAAAGUUUCAGUGAAUUCGUAAGAAAUAAUGAAGGAAUGAACUUCUAUUUAUAGAAGAAUGGACUGCAUAGUAACUAAUUCAUGAACGGUCCAGAUUGAUUUACUUUUAAUCGAACGAUCCAUAAUUAAAGCAAAGUUUUUUAAAUAAAAUAUAAUAUAUUAUAUAUAUAACAUGUGCAAGAAAAGAAAAAUCACGGGUGGAAGACCCGUGAAUUCAUCUUACUCCCUCUGUCCAUUUUUUCAAACUUACAUAUAUAUAAUAUAAUAUAAUAUAAUAUACAUAAUAAUACUCCUCCCGUCCAUUUCAUCCAUACCCCCCCACCCAAGACUUUUCAUCACAUAUAUAAUAUAAAACAUAUAUAUAUAUAUAUAUAUAUAUAUAUAUAUAAUACUCCCACUAACUUUUCCUUCAACCAACCCGUGACAAACAUAACAUUUCACCCAAGACUUUCCUCCACAAAUGGGCCCCACCCGUGGCCCUCCUAAAAUAACUUCUAUCGAUUAUUUUGAAAACUGGAUAAAUAGGGAUCCAUAAAAUACGUCAAAAUUCACAACAAUUACUAUAACAAUAAUUGAACAAAACUGAGUAGUUCAACAGUAUUAACGGUAAAACUUCCGCCGUUACUUUCAAUAAAAUAUUUUUGUCGUUUUCUCAAUCCGACAAUAAUUCUGUUGUGGGGUCCACCAAUGAUUGUACCGUCGUACGGAUAUUCCCUGACAAAAAGAAUAUUUCCCGACCAAUCGAAUAUAAUAUGACAACUUGCAUACUUUGCAAAAUUUAUAAAUAUUACCCACAAUUAUAAUAUUAUAUCAAAUUAUUCCAUAAUAUUCAAAAAUGAUAUUUAUUGAAAAUUCAUUUUUAUUCAUAAAAGUUGGGGUCUUACAGUAGUUAAAUUCUUAUUUUUGACAUUUUUCAAAUAUUUCAUCCAUGCUUUUACAAUAGACAUCUUUCACUUUGAUGGCGUUUGACAUGCUUACAACAAGUAAUAGAAAUCAUUUUACAGUCAUUAUUUGCAUUAAUCAAGCAUGUUAGUCACAUAGUCAAGUCGUAGUUUCAAUGGUAAUGAAUAGAUUUCUUAUAUGUAAUACAUUUUUCAAAUAUCUCAUCCAUGCUUUUAUCAUCACCAUUUUUCUCUUUGAUGGGGUGUAGUAUGAUAAUAACAUGCAACCAUACAUAUGUAUAGUUACACCAUAUUAAGAACUUAGUUACAUGAAGUUUUCAUGCUUUGCUUAGAGACUUCUAGCAUACAAGGUGCUUUUGUAACUUAUUUUAUGCCUUUGAAAAUAUUCACAACUUGGUUGAGUAAUUUAUAGUUCUUAUAACACUUUUUAGCUUUAUUCUUGUAUACAAAAGUGUAUCAUUCUUGAUUUUCCUCUCUUUCCCAAAAUAGUCCUAACAUGAUCUAUUUGGGGCAAUCAAGCUAGCUUCUCUUGACCAUUUGGGCUUAGUCAGGCUUGGGGUAGCCUAGAUUGGCCUUGCAGUCCCAAUUGGCCUCUAUCUAUGGCAUGAUUUUAUUAAUACCCUCUUCUAUUAAGGUUUACUCUCACCUAUAUCACCAUUUGAUUCUGUUAUUUAUAGGUGAGGAUUUCUUUGAACUGCUACAUGUUUGCUACUUACUUGAUUUUGUUUUCUUUCCGUUUGUAGCUAACUACUCACUAGUAGCAGCUCUCUACUUUAGAUACUAAAUUUACUAGCUUUUAAUCUCCCACUAAACUUUUGGGUCAGCAGCUAGGGGACACAACUCCCUAAUAAUAGAGCAUAUUGGUUAAUUAUCUUAAGCAAUAUAGUUGUAUUGUCUGAAGGUCUAAAGGACAAGUUCAUUACCCAGCUCAGCUACUGUUGCUAUUAGUUGUUAUUUUUCAGUAAUAGAUUGACAGUCUUCAAACUUACCAUGUUUCUUCUUUAAUAACUUUUGUCUAGAAAAUUUCUAUUGCACUAUGUGCACCUUUGAAUACUUGCUUAAAUAAGUAACAAUUACACUCUAUUUAAUUCUGCAGUUUGCAUUUCAAAUCCAAACUACGUUGCCUAUAGCAGUUUAUUGAGGAUGUUUAUUAUUGCCUUAUAGCAACAACCCCCCCUAUUUUGUAAAAUUUCCCAAAUCACAAUUUUAGAUUAACCUAGACUGCCCAAAACCAUUUUAGUAAUGGCUCAUAGCUACAGUUUUAAGCCAACUGUUGCUGCUCCUAGGUAGCAGCUACAUUUGAUUUUGUUUCAUGCCUUGAACUCUCCCUAAUUUUGGUUUACUUGCACUUUAUUUGAAAGUUAUAUAACUAACAUUUUCAACUAAUAGGGAAACUUUAAAUCAAUAGUGAAAUUAUAAUCUAUAUGAUCCAACAUGUUAGCUAAACUGACCCUAGCGAGUCCAGAACAAUGGUCUACAGUCUUCUUUUGUUUUUCUAUGCCAGCAACCAAGCUUGGCUUGGCCCUGUAAGGCUGAUCACCUAAGCUUGGUGUGGCCCUGCUUGGCCUCACGGUCCCUAAGUCAAAUCCAAAGUUGUUAUAGCAGCUGCUAUCUUGGCAACUGCUGCCAUCAAGGAAUAACAGCCCUGCCACUCUUCUUUAAUUCUUAUACUUGCAAACCCCAGAGGAAUGUUUAUACACUAACUUCAACCAUACAUCCUAGUUAGCUCUUAUAAAGUUAUAUUAAUUUGUUAAACAGACUGCCCAAAACUGCUUUAGCAGUCAUUCACUUGUCGACUGUCGCUGCUUGUUUCUAUAACCAGUAGGCAGCCGUCCCAAGUCUUAUGCCACUAAAAGCUUUUACCUCUUAGAUUGAUAUGAAAUCUUGGCAUGUUAUAGGUGAUUCAAAUUCUGAUUAUUUUUAGCUACCAACUAGACUAGGAGAAAAGCUUGCUAGUGCCACUAAAGGUUAAUAUUUCUGCUGCUGCGACAUGCUUUUUGCUGCUGCUUGCAGCUAAUUGCUGCUGCCAAUGGGCAGCUGCGCCCCUUACUUCAGGCCAUUUUUGGCUUCACAUCAAUUAGCCUAUUCACAACCCACUUUCAUUGAUCAAUAAAUGGUACACCUGCCUUCUAAGCUAACUUAGCAACUGUGGCCCAAAUGUACUAUAUGUAAAUCAAAAUGGUGUGCUAACCUUCCUGCUCGGCUCUGCAGAGCAGUGCAGCACAACGCUGGGCGUUUACUGCCAAUGCCUGCAGUAGCCUCAGCUAGCUUUGCCCAAGCUCAAACAUUUUUUUUUCUUAAAAUUUGUUUUUCUUUCCAUUAAUAUGUCAAAACAUAUUUCCUAAUCUUAUAUAAGACGUCCAUAUAUAACCCCAACUUUAAUUCCCUCUAGAAUUCUCUUUUUAGCCAAAACAGUCCACUUGGGACUUUUAACAAAUAUAUGGUGUGCACAGUUUUAAUUUACUCUUUCCAUAGCCAUUUACUUGUGUUAUAAUCUCAUGUUAGCCUCCUUAUUACUCCACAGCCACCUAUCUCCUUGUGCCUAAAUUACAUACAUCUAGCAUGCUAGUGAAUAACCUUUACAACAAUAAAAAAGUAAAAUAAAUGCUAUGUGACUUUACCAGGCCAUUCGGCCAUAACAGUCCAUCACAACUUGCACGAAAUAGUGUUAAACAAGAUAGUUUAUUACUUGAUAACUUUUCCUUAAAAGUUUGAUAUCACAACUUUUACAGAAGAUUACAAUUACCCAUGACAAGUAUAAUUUACUAACACAUCUACAUUACAACAUUAAUAAUACUAACAAUAUAGCAGCCCCUUCUUUUUUCUUUUCAGGCCAUUCGGCCACUGUAGAUUACUAGCAGCAAGAAACUAAAGUGGAAAAGGAUUGGAAAUCUUACCUUAUUGAUUCGAAGGAAACAAAGAAGUUAUACUGCCCAGCUUCUCCACCUACUCUUAGCCGAACUCUUCCACCCUCUCUCUAUAUGACCGAAUUGCUAUAGCUAUUUUGUCUCUACUAAGUGAUGAAGCUAAACUAGUUAAUAAGCUUGGCCCCUUUUUUAUGGCUGAGCUUGGUUCCUUCUACUGUUAACUGCAUCACCUCCUAGUUGGCCCCUACACAGUCAUCAUUCCUAACCUAGCUUCACAGCCACCCUAGCAGACUCUACUUACCUGCUAAGCCUUAUCUUCUGCAAGCUUAUCUAACAUAUUCUUUGUCUGUUAUACAAACUAACCUACCUGUUAACUAGAACCAACUUAGAAACCAUAUGCUUACAGCCUGACUAUGUACUCACGUUAUGCCACUGCUUUUCUUAUUUAGUCUGAAACAGUUAGCUUGUUAUACACCACUGGGUUUACAGGAUUGGUUUAGGUAGGAGUUUGAUAAAUACUUAAUUUGGGCUUAAACCAAUCCUCAAUGGUGGCUGCCGAAAUUGGGCUAGAAAAUGAGUUAGAAUUGGCUUUAUAUUAGACCCAAUACCAUAACCCUUAUUCCUACAUUAAUUAAAGGAGACUUGCAAACAUACAAUUGCAAAAAUUUAUUAUGGCCUAAUAUUUUAAUAUGGACUCUUGUUAAAUUAACACAUGGACUUUUAUAUAUUAUUUUCUCUAGCAACAAUAGUUAACACAUAUAUCAUUAAAAUGUCUAUUCCAUGUAAUCUUAAAUAAUUCAUGGUGGUACAAUAUUUCUUUAUCCUUCAUAAUUUAAGAUGUUUAAUAACCUAUUAAAUAAAUAAUAGUUUUGUCACAAUGAGAAAUAACAUAAUUAAAAUAAAAUAAAAAAUAUACUCACAAAUUGACAUUAUAAUAAUUAAAUAUUACAUAGGAUUUUUUGAGUCAUUACAUACGCGAUAACUCUGCCGUUCUGCAAAAGCACACAGCCUUGUCCUUUAUGCGAUGCAUCAUUGUAUACCACAAAAUUCCCUGUAUCAUCAGGCAAUGACAACACAGGUGUUGAACUCAACCUUUUCAUUAAUUCUUGAAAACUUUCCUCCCACUUCUCUGUCCAAACAAACUUAACCGUUUUCUAGUUAAAUUCGUCAACGGAGUUGCGAUCUUGAAAAAGUCUUGAAUGAAACGCCUAUAGUAACCCGCCAAUCCUAAGAAACUCCUUACUUCUGACGGUAUCUUCGGCUGAUCCCAGUUUAUUACAGCUUCAACCUUUGAUGGAUCUACCGAAAUUUCGUCCUUAUCAAUAACGUGUCCGAGAAACUGUACACGUUCCAACCAAAACUCACAUUUUGAAAAUUUUGCGUACAACUUUUCUUUUUUCAACGUCUCUAACGUCAAUCUCAAGUGUUCAACAUGUUCCUCUUUGGUCUUGGAAUAUACCAAUAUAUCAUCGAAUCAAAUCCAUGAUAUAUUGGUAUGAACAGGGUGUUUAUAUCAUUUGUCUAAGAAUGGUUUAAACACCUUGUUCAUCAAAUCCAUGAACGCUGCAGGUGCAUUGGUUAAACCAAAAGACAUAACCAGAAACUCAUAAUGACCAUACCGAGUUCUGAACGCUAUUUUUGGUACAUCCUCUGGCCUCACCUUUAACUGAUGAUAACCACUCCUCAAGUCUAUCUUUGAGAAAUAGCUUGUUCCCUUCAGUUGAUCGAACAUGUCAUCGAUUCUAGGUAAUGGAUACUUAUCUUUAAUCGUGAUCUUAUUCAAUUCUCGAUAGCAAUGCAGAGCCGUAUCGAUCCAUCUUUCUUCUUAACAAACAACAUCGGCGCUCCCCAUGGCGACACACUCAGUUGAAUAUACUUUUUGUCGAGUAAUUCUUGCAAUUAUACCAUCAACUCCUUCAUCUCUACUGGGGCCAUUCUAUAUGGUGCAUUAGAUAUCGGGGUCGUUCCUGGUAAUAAGUCAAUUACGAACUCGAUUUGUAGAUCCGGCGGAAGACUCGGCAAAUCGUCUGGAAAUACGUCUGCAAAAUCUCUUAUGAUUGGUAUCUCUUCUAACUUCGCACUCUUCUUUUGUGUAUCGACUAUGUAGGCUAAGUAUCCUACACAUUCUUGUCUCAACAACUUCUUGGCUUGCAUCACCGUUAGACAACUUGCUUGUCGAGGUGACUUGCUGCCGUAGAACACAACCUUUGAUGGAGUCAUAAGGUUAACACAUUUCCUUUCGCAAUCAAUUACUGCUCCGUAAUUGAAUAACCAAUCCAUUCCCAGUAUAACAUCAAACUCACAAAGUCUAAUUGGUAUCAAAUCUACCAUCAUCUCGUGACCUUUUAUAACCACCCUACAAUUCCUAUAUAUAAAUCUAACAGGAAUCACUUCCUUAUUCGCAAUCUCUAUGCUUAAGGGAAAUUCUAAUUCUUCCUGAGGCAAAUCUAAAUUUUGAGCAAAUUCAUUGGAUAUAAAUGAAUAAGUAGCACCCGAAUCAAAUAGUACAUAAGCAUUAAUACCAUUAAUCUAAAUGAUACCUGAGACCACAUCCUUAGACUAUAUAACAUCCUGCACGGUCAUAUUAAAAGUCCUCGCAGUAGGUCGACUUUGUGACGCCCCCAAAAUUAGGUAUACAUCACCCAUCUUGGGUCGCCACUUACAUGGUACAAAAUACAAAUACAACUUAAUUAUACAACAGUCGUGUAAGCUACGACAAAAUAUAAACAAUGAGUUUUAACUCGAAUAUUGUCAUCUAGACAUUAUUCAAACACAAAUAAGUCCUCAAUACAUUUAUUGUCACACUAUUUAACAAAAUAGUGAGGACUACUAAUGCUAUCAUCUGGACUGUCACUCCGUUCCCCGACUCGUCCCCGUUACGUUCUCAAUUCCUGAAGAGAAUAGUGAAAGAAAGGGUGAGCUCAACUAGCCCAACAAGAAAUAUUAUGACUAAGAUAAUGCAGAAUAAAUUAUCAUUAGUCUCCAACAAUGUUAAACUGAUAAAAUACAAUAGACAUCAAGUUUAACUGCAGCGGAACAAGCAAUCCAUUAAAAGAGUCAAGUAGAGAAUAAAACCUACUAUNNNNNNNNNNNNNNNNNNNNNNNNNNNNNNNNNNNNNNNNNNNNNNNNNNNNNNNNNNNNNNNNNNNNNNNNNNNNNNNNNNNNNNNNNNNNNNNNNNNNNNNNNNNNNNNNNNNNNNNNNNNNNNNNNNNNNNNNNNNNNNNNNNNNNNNNNNNNNNNNNNNNNNNNNNNNNNNNNNNNNNNNNNNNNNNNNNNNNNNNNNNNNNNNNNNNNNNNNNNNNNNNNNNNNNNNNNNNNNNNNNNNNNNNNNNNNNNNNNNNNNNNNNNNAAUAAUUAAAACGGAACCAGGUCCGGCGUAUAGCACAGACAGGAUAUUCCAACAGAAUAACUGAAUAAUUAAAACGGAACCAGGUCCGGCGUAGCACAGACAGGAUAUUCUAACAGAAUAACCGAAUAAUUAAAACGGAACCAGGUCCGGCGUAUAGCACAGACAGGAUAUUCCAACAAAAUAACUGAAUAAUUAAAACGGAACCAGGUCCGACGUAUAGCACAGACAGGAUAUUCCAACAGAAUAAUAAAGACAGAAUAAUAGAAGAAUGUCACCAAGUAUAGGGUUGCCCGCGUAUACAGGUUAUUCCAACAGAAUAAUAAAGAAAUGGAAUAACAGAAGUUCUCUUCUUGAAUACAAAAGAAUAAUAUUCCUUACCAGAAAAGAACUUAAUAUAAGAGUAGUUUCAGUAGCAGAAUACUUUUCUUCUUUCUCUCUUACAAUUUAUCUCUCUAGAGUUUCAAUGAAUUUGUAAGAAAAUAAUGAAGGAAUGAGCUUCUAUUUAUAGAAAAAUGGAAUGCAUAGUAACUAAUUCAUGAACGGUCCAGAUUGAUUUACUUUUAAUCGGACGGUCCAUAAAAUAUAUUAUAUAUAUAUAAUAUAUAUAUAUAUAUAUAAUAACAAUAAUACUCCCUCCGUAUAAACCAAAAAAAUAAUUUGACAACUUUGAAAAAAACUCCCAACCUUUCAAUUUUCAAUACCGUGGGCCCCACAUGUUCCCCUCCCCCCAACAUGUCAAUAUCACAAGGGUCUCAUUAUAUGUAAAUAACUUUCUAUCAAUAAUAUUGAAAAAUAGGUAAAUGGGGGUCUAAAUAAUACGCCAAAUUUACAACAACUACCUCAUAAAAAUCCCUUCAAUAUUUUUAACAAUAUUUAUCAUCUUUAUUACAAUUCACAAUAUUAAUCGACCAGGUCGUUCCCAGGAUAGAGGGGGCUUUCCAAUAAGGAUUUCUCUCUAUUGGCGCGCAAUUAGAUUAUCUAACCUCUCCUUGACAGAACUUCUAGACAUCGUUAAUAUUGCAAAUAAUAACAUUAAUAACUUUGUCGUCUCAAUUAUUGAUUUAAUAAUAUAAAGAAUAUCAACAAUAAUUGAAUCAAAUAACGUGAGAUACUAUGCAACAAUUACUAUAACAAUAAUUGAAUAAAACUGAAUGACUUCUCACGUAAGCAUAAAUAAUCAAUACCGUGUGCUACUAUGCAACCACGCGUAUUACUGUACUUUUACUACUGAGUAGUUCAACAGUAUCAACGGUAAAACUUCCGUCGUUAUUUUCAUAAAAAUAUUUUUGUCGUUUUCUCAAUCCGACAAUAAUUCUGUUGUGGGGUCCACUAAUGAUUGCGCCGUUGUACGAAUAUUUCCUGCUAAAACGAAUAUUCCCCAACCAAUCGAAUAUAAUAUAGCAACUUGCAUACUUUGCAAAACUUAUAAAUACUACCUUCAACUAUAACAUUAUAUUAAAUUUAUUGCAUAAUAUUCAAAAAUGAUAAUUAUAGAAAAUUUAUCUUUAUUCAAAAAGUUGGGGUCUUACAACCCCCCCUUCUUAAGAAAUUUCGCCCUCGAAAUUAGGGUACGUACCUGGUAUAUCGAAGAGGUAAGGAUACCUUGAUUUCAUUUUAGAUUCUAACUCCCAGGUCAUUUCCUCAACAUCGUGGUUUCUCCACAAAACUUUGACUUGAGGUAUAACCUUGGAGCGUAAAAUAUGUUCCUUGUUAUCCAAGAUUUGAACAGGAACCUCUUUAUACGUUAAAUCUUCCGCUAUUUCGUCUGGUUCUAGCUCAAUAAUGUGGUUCGGGUCUUCCACAUAUUUACGUAACAUGGAUAUGUGAAAAAUGUUAUGAACACCAGACAUACUAGGCGGUAAAGCGAGUCUAUAGGCCACAGUUCCUACUCGAUUGAGGAUUAAAAAUGGGCCAAUGAAUCGAGGAUUGAGCUUUCUUAUCUUUCCAAAUCUCGUAACACCUUUCCAUGGAGCAACAUGUAACAACACAUGAUCUCCAAUAUCGAAUUCCACGUCCUUUCGAUGAAGAUCAGCAUAACUCUUUUGUCGAUCUUGUGAGGUUUUUAUACGUUGUCGAAUCGUUUGAAUCUUUUCCGUAGUCAUACGUACCAACUCCGGUCCCAACAACGUUGCUUCACCCACCUCAUCCCAGCAUACUGGAGAACAACACUUUCUCCCAUACAACGCCUCAAAUGGAGCCAUGCCAAUACUUGCUUGAUAACUAUUGUUAUAGGAAAACUCCACCAAUGAUAAGAACUUAUCCCAACUUCCAUUGAAGUUAAGGACACAGAGUCUUAAUAAAUCUUCUAGAGUUUGAAUAGUCCUCUCUGAUUGUCCGUCCGUCUGAGGAUGAUAUGCUGAACUAAAUCGUAAAUCUGUGCCCAUAGCUUUUUGCAAACUAACCCAAAAUCAUGAAGUGAAUCUUGGGUCUCGAUCAGAAACUAUGGAUACUGGCAUACCAUGCAGUCUUACAAUCUCGUUUAUGUACAUACGAGCAAGACGUUCAAGUGUAUAAGUUUCUCGUAUAGGUAAGAAAUGAGCAGACUUGGUCAAUCUAUCAACAAUGACCCAAAUUGCAUCUAUGCCUUGAGAAACCUUGGGAAGACCAGUAACGAAAUCCAUGGUAAUGUGCUCCCACUUCCAUUCUGGAAUUUCAAGUGGUUGCAAUGGACCUUUUGGUACUUGAUGCUCCGCCUUGACUCGUUGACAAGUUAGACACCUUGAGAUAAACACCGCUAUCUCUCUCUUCAUAUUGCUCCACCAAAAUGUAUGUCGAAGAUCAUGAUACAUUUUGGUACUCCCAGGAUGGAUUGCAAACGGUGUGUUGUGCGCCUCCAUCAUGAUUUUAUACUUUAAAUCAGGGUCGUUAGGAACACAAAGUCUGGAGUUGACUCGAAGUAUUCCUUCUUCAUCGAUUCUUGCUUCCGACAUAACACCUUCUUGCACUUUCUUCCUCAUACGCAUCAGCUCCAGGUUUGUAGUUUGAGCAGCUUUAACUUUAUCAAUUAAAGUCGAUUAUACUCGUAUGUUCGCCAUCAUCACAUGGGUCCCUGGAGUCUUUAACUCCAUCUCCAUCCUUUGCAAGUCAUACAAAAUGGGCCUUUGUGUUGACAAUAUUGCACUCGUACCCACAUAUGAUCUUCUACUCAAUGCGUCAGCUACCACGUUCGUUUUUCUAGGAUGGUAUUGGAUGGUAUGAUCAUAAUCUUUCAACAGUUCAAGCCAACGUCGUUGUCGCAUGUUGAGUUCCUUUUGAGUGAAGAAAUAUUUAAGGCUUUUAUGAUCCGUAAAGAUCUCCACUUUCUCCCCAUACAAGUAAUGCCUCCAAAUCUUUAGUGCGAAGANNNNNNNNNNNNNNNNNNNNNNNNNNNNNNNNNNNNNNNNNNNNNNNNNNNNNNNNNNNNNNNNNNNNNNNNNNNNNNNNNNNNNNNNNNNNNNNNNNNNNNNNNNNNNNNNNNNNNNNNNNNNNNNNNNNNNNNNNNNNNNNNNNNNNNNNNNNNNNNNNNNNNNNNNNNNNNNNNNNNNNNNNNNNNNNNNNNNNNNNNNNNNNNNNNNNNNNNNNNNNNNNNNNNNNNNNNNNNNNNNNNNNNNNNNNNNNNNNNNNNNNNNNNNNNNNNNNNNNNNNNNNNNNNNNNNNNNNNNNNNNNNNNNNNNNNNNNNNNNNNNNNNNNNNNNNNNNNNNNNNNNNNNNNNNNNNNNNNNNNNNNNNNNNNNNNNNNNNNNNNNNNNNNNNNNNNNNNNNNNNNNNNNNNNNNNNNNNNNNNNNNNNNNNNNNNNNNNNNNNNNNNNNNNNNNNNNNNNNNNNNNNNNNNNNNNNNNNNNNNNNNNNNNNNNNNNNNNNNNNNNNNNNNNNNNNNNNNNNNNNNNNNNNNNNNNNNNNNNNNNNNNNNNNNNNNNNNNNNNNNNNNNNNNNNNNNNNNNNNNNNNNNNNNNNNNNNNNNNNNNNNNNNNNNNNNNNNNNNNNNNNNNNNNNNNNNNNNNNNNNNNNNNNNNNNNNNNNNNNNNNNNNNNNNNNNNNNNNNNNNNNNNNNNNNNNNNNNNNNNNNNNNUCAAAAUCCAAUUUCUCCGGAGUCAAAUUUAAACGUUGAGCGCAAGUAGGAGAAAUGAAAGAGUGGGUAGAACCAGUAUCAAAUAAAGUAUAAACUUCGCUAGAGUUUAUGAUAAGCUUACCCGUGAUGACCUCGUUCGGGUUCUUUACUUUUUGGGAGGUUACAACAAAUGCUCUUCCUUGCACUACCGACUUUGACUUUUCUGGGAUGGCCUUUGGUGACUCUAUCCUAACUGAACUUGUCUUCGGUGCACGACAAAAUCGAGCCAGGUGACCUUCUCUUCCACAGUUGUAACAUGCUUUGGAUGGCAUCGCACAGUUGGGACUGAUGUGUCCCUCUCCUCCACACUUGAAACAUAUGAUAGGUGGUCGUUCCCCUUCCUUAACGACAGGUGCUGAUGUUGACGUCUUUCCAUCAUUGUUGAAUCUCCUCUUUUUGAAAUGUCCAUUUUUAUUGUUUUGGCCAUGAUUACCACCGAAGUGGUUACCAUUUCUGGCCUUUUGAUUUCCUCCACGCUUGUUGUCACCGCUUUGAUGACUGUUCUCACUGGUAUUAUCAUUUUAUUGGCUGCUCUCUUUUGGUUGGCUUAACUCGUUAUCACGCUCCAAUAACUGAGCCCUAUUAACAACAUCCGAAUACAAACACAGUUUAUGAGAGAUAAGAUAUUGACGUAUCUCAGGUUUCAAACCUCUUAAAAACAUUCGCGUCAUUCUCUCCUCAUUAUCAACCAAAUGGGACGCAAACUGGGACAACUCGGCAAACUUGGCUUUGUACUGCGAUACUGUCAUGUUGUUUUGUUCCAGCCUGAUGAACUCUACCUCUUUCAUGUGACGAAUACUUUUGGGAAAGUACUUGUCGUUGAACAAUUCUUUGAACUUCUCCCAAGUCAUCUUCAGUGCGGCAGGUUGAGUACGCUUUACAGAUUCCCACCAGUAAUCUGCCUCUCCUCGCAACAUGAAGGUGGCAAAGGAAAUCUUUUGUUCCUCGGAGCAUCCCAAGACAUCAAAUAUCUUGGUAAUCUACUUUAUCCAUGUCUCCGCCUUAAGUGGUUUUGGUUCUCCAAUAAACUUCGGUGGUCCCAGCUCCUUGAACUGUUUGGCGGUGACCAUCCGAGAGUUGCUAGUGUUUUCACCUGCAUUUUGGACAGGAGCCGCUCCUGCCUGAUGUUGUAUGAAUUGCAUGAAUCCUCGAAACAUUUUGUUGUUCAAUAUUUGGUCAGUGUUGUUGUUUGCAUGAGGAUUUUUGCCUUCCUGAUGCACAUUGUCCUGAUUGUUGAUCUGUGGAGACUCAACGGUCUCCUGUGCUCCAUUGAUGUUCUCAACGUUCUCGGAUGCCAUUUUCAAAUACUGCCACAAAACAAGAGUUAAUUAACACAUCACAUAUUAUCCCUAUACUCUAACCAACCAAUUAAAUAACAAAUAAACUUAGGUAGGUCAUACUAGCGAAGGAAUUCCCCGUCUCUCCCCUCCUAGUUCUUAUCUCACAUCUUAGCCAGGGAUCAUAUCCCUAACCUCUGAUACCAACUGUGACGCCCCCAAUAUUAGGUAUACAUCACCCAUCUUGGGUAGCCACUUAUAUGGUACAAAAUACAAAUACAACUUAAUUAUACAACAGUCGUGUAAGAUACGACAAAAUAUAAACAAUGAGUUUUAACUCGAAUAUUGUCAUCUAGACAGUAUUCAAACACAAAUAAGUCCUCAAUACAUUUAUUGUCACACUAUCUAACAGAAUAGUGAGGACUACUAAUGCUAUCAUCUGGACUGUCACUCCAUUCCCCGACUCAUCCCCGCUACGUUCUCAAUUCCUGAAGAGAACAGUGAAAGAAAGGGUGAGCUCGACUAGCCCAGUAAGAAAUAUUAUGACUGAGAUAAUGCAGAAUAAAUUAUCAUUAGUCUCCAACAAUGUUAAACUGAUAAAAUACAAUAGACAUCAAGUUUAACUGCAGCGGAACAAGCAAUCCAUUAAAAGAGUCAAGUAGAGAAUAAAAUCUACUAUCUUUUAUGAUUUAAAAGGUUUUUCAUCACUUUUAUCGCUGGGACUCAGCUUAAUAAAUAAUCCACAUCAUCGAAUCACCCCUGCACUACGGCCAAGGAUAUUCUUUAGUAUCACGACCACAAUUAUCCAUGCACUACGGGCCAAGAAUAUUUGUGUAUUCAUUAAUGGUCAUGAUCAUGCCAACAACUGUCCAUCAAUGCACUACGGGCCAAUGAGGACUUUUUCCACAUCAUUUGUAACAUUACGGUCAUGAUUACACCGAAUAAUCCCUGGUCAUAAUCAUACCAAGUCCAUCUAUGCACUACAGGCCACAGAUGACUUUCAACAAAAUAAUAACAUGAGGAUGAUGACAAUGAUAUAAGAAUUCAAUAAAAUAACUUUCAAGAAUUAAUUUGUCCAGGAAUCAAUAACGUCCAAAUUGUCAAUAAGAUAUUGUUUUGUGGUGUAAAUUAUUCAAGAAUGCUCAGAAGAAUAUUUUCAUGAAAAGAUAUUGGAUGAAGUGCAAAUAUCAAGGAUAUUCCAUUAAUUUCAUGGAGUAUAAAAGUCAAAAUUUUAACCAACUGAGUAUAAUAACGAAUGGAAUAACAAAAGAAAUCACCACGCAUGCGGUACUUCGCAUAGACAGGUUAUUCCAACAGAAUAAUAAUAACGGAACUAGGUCAGGUGAGAUUCACACCGACAGGAUGUUCCAACAGAAUAAUAAAUAAUUAAAACGGAACCAGGUUCGGCGUUUAGCACAGACAGGAUAUUCCAACAGAAUAACUGAAUAAUUAAAACGGAACCAGGUCUAGCGUAUAGCACAGACAGGAUAUUCCAAAAAAAUAACUAAAUAAUUAAAACGGAACCAGGUCCGGCGUAUAGCACAAACAGGAUAUUCAAACAAAAUAAUAAAGACAGAAAAAUUGAAGAAUGUCACCAAGUAUAGGGUUGCCCGCGUAUACAGGUUAUUCCAACAGAAUAAUAAAGAAAUGGAAUAACAGAAGUUCUCUUUUUGAAUACAAAAGAAUAAUAUUCCUUACCGUAAAAGAACUUAAUAUAAGAGUAGUUUCAGUAGUAGAAUAAUUUUCUUCUUUCUCUCUUACAGUUUAUCUCUCUAGAGUUUCAAUGAAUUCGUAAGAAAAUAAUGAAGGAAUGAGCUUCUAUUUAUAGAAAAAUGGAAUGCAUAGUAACUAACUGAUGAACGGUCCAGAUUGAUUUACUUUUAAUCGGACGGUCCAUAUUUAAAGUAAAAUCUUUUAAAUAAAAUAUAUUAUAUAUAUAUAUAUAUAUAUAAACAAUAAUACUCCCUCCGUAUAAACCAAAAAAAUAAUUUGACAACUUUGAAAAAAACUCCCAACCUUUCAAUUUUCAAUACCGUGGGCCCCACAUGUUCCCCUCCCCCAACAUGUCAAUAUCACAAGGGUCCCAUUAUAUUUAAAUAACUUUCUAUCAAUAAUGUUGAAAAAUAGGUAAAUGGGGGUCUAAAUAAUACGCCAAAUUUACAACAACUACCUCAUAAAAAUCUCUUCAAUAUUUUUAACAACAUUUAUCAUCUUUAUUAAAAUUCACAAUAUUAAUCGACCAGGUCGUUCCCAGGAUAGAGGGGAUUUUCCAAUAAGGAUUUCUCCCUAUUGGCGCGCAAUUAGAUUAUCUAACCUCUCCUUGACAGAACUUCUAGACAUCAUUAAUAUUGCAAAUAAUAACAUUAAUAACAUUGUCGUCUCAAUUAUUGAUUUAAUAAUAUAAAGAAUAUCAACAAUAAUUGAAUCAAAUAACGUGAGAUACUAUGCAACAAUUACUAUAACAAUAAUUGAAUAAAACUGAAUGACUUCUCAUGUAAGCAUCAAUAAUCAAUAUCGUGUGCUACUAUGCAACCACGCGUAUUACUGUACUUUUACUACCGAGUAGUUCAACAGUAUCAACCGUAAAACUUCCGCCGUUAUUUUCAUAAAAAUAUUUUUGUCGUUUUCUCAAUCCAACAAUAAUUCUGUUGUGGGUUCCACCAAUGAUUGCGUCGUUGUACGAAUAUUCCCCGCUAAAACGAAUAUUCUCCGACCAAUCGAAUAUAAUAUAGCAACUUGCAUACUUUACAAAACUUAUAAAUACUACCCACAACUAUAACAUUAUAUUAAAUUUAUUCCAUAAUAUUCAAAAAUGAUAAUUAUAGAAAAUUCAUCUUUAUUCAAAAAGUUGGGGUCUUACAGACUUGACUGUGCUGAUCCAGAGAUAGUUAAUGUACCACCAACGUUGUUGUUUCCUUUUCCACCACUUGCACUUCCUGCUGGCUUCUUAGGGCAAUCACGAGCCAUGUGAUCCUACGAACCGCAGGUAAAACAUGCUCCUUUAUUUGGACUAAAACAGUUCAGUGUAAUGUGUCCCUCCUGACCACAGUUGAAACACACCCGCUUUCCCUUCAAACAUACUCCAUUAUGAUUGUUUCCAUAAGUCGCAUAAGCUUCAAACUUUUUCUUCUGCUGAUUUCCUUGUUGUCCUCCCGCAGUCGAAUUUUCACUCCACUUCCUCUUCUGAUUGUUAUUUCCAACGUUACUUCCACCAGCCUUAUUUUCAUUCUCAGUCUUCCUCUUCUUAUAUUCUUGGUUGUACUUGGUCAAGGCAUCGCUUUCACCUUCUGCGAUAAUUGCCUUUUCCAGUAUAACCGCAAAUGUAUUUAACUGAAAUAUUGAAACCUUGCUAUACAGCCAGGGUUUCAAUCCAUGUUCGAACCUUAUCGCCUUUCGUUCAUCAGUAUUGACUUAAUAAGUGGCAAACCUUGCCAAUUCAUUAAACUUCGCAGCAUAUUCUGGCACCGUCAUAGUUCCUUGUUUCAGUUCCAGAAAUUGCAUUUCCAACUUAUUCUGAGAACUCGCUGGAAAGUACAUUUCAAAAAAUAUCUCCUUAAAUCUAUCCCACGCUAUCACUCCUUGUCCCCCACGAACCUUAUUUGCCUGCCACCAGUAGCUAGCUUCAGACUUCAGCAUGAACGUUGUGAACGCAGUCUUCUGAUCCUCGUUGACUCUAGAAACGUUGAACACUUUCUCCAUUUCCAUGAUCUAGGUUUGGGCUUCUACUGGAUUCAUAGACCCUUGAAACUCUGGCGGUCCAACCGCUUUGAAUUCCUUAAAGGUCAUGACUUGAGCUUGCGGUUGAUUCGCAAGUGCACCUGUUAACAAGGUUACCAACUGCUGAACCGGGUUAGCAUUGGCCUCGUUAUUAUUUUUAGUAGACCCCUCAGGAGGUGGUUGUUGACGUGUUUUUCUUCUUCUAGGAGGCAUUUUCUGUUAAGAUAUACGCUCAUUAGUUCAUUACUCAACUUCUUGAUUAUUUGAAGUUUAACUUAAAUAUUCUAAGAUUAAAGUUAUAACACAUAACAUUUCAAAUAAACUCUGGUAUUUUAUUCAUUCAUAAUGUUUUAAAACAUAUUAAAGAUAGCAUAACCGCUAUUAACAUUCACUUUCCUGAACUAAGCAAGUUUUAGGAUUACAUAUUCAUACUACCCCUUUAUUUAUCUCAAAAUAAGGGAUUCACAGUUUAUAUACUCACUUACUUAACCACGUAUUAUUAUUCUCAUUCUUUCUAUCUAGACAUAUUAAGAUGUCGUAAGGCUUCUCUAUGUUCUUCCUCCAUAAUUCGAUACAUCGUUCUACGAUCCAUCAUGAACUACAACGAAUCUUCAAAUUGAGGUGGAUAAUAAAAGACUCGAUCCUGGGCCCUAUCAAUUGCAGAAUUAAAGGCAUAAUCCAUCCCAUUCAUCUUGGCCUUCUUCACUUGAACUUUAUCCUCGGCACGGUCUGCACGUUAAGUCACCUUUAUCCAAGCGUCCUCUGCUCUCGUACGUUUAGUUGAAUCCUCUUUCAAGUCAUCUUUUAACUUCUCCACAUCAGUCUUCAUCUUCUUGUUCACUGCCAACAAAUCUUCAUGCUGACCCUUGGUAUGAAAUAGGUCCCACUCCGUGUUUCCAAGUCUUGAGUCGAGUUCUUGAAUCUCCGCAUCCUUCUGCUCUAUCGUAGCGUGAUGCAUCUCAACCAACUCCUUCAGCUCCUGAACUUUGUCUUGUAAUUCUAUGUUACGAUCGUACAGAGCAUCAUACAUCUCAGCUGAUAUGGAGCUUUGUGGAAACGCCACAGGAUCCUCUUCCUCAUCAUCCAACUCUAUCUCUUCAGAACUAUCCUCCUCGGGAUCGGUCACAGGUUCAUCCUCCUGGAUCAACUGUUCACGCAUAACAUGAAUAUCCCGGGGUUCCUCAUCUCUAGGUAUCUGAGGUAUUACUUCCCUAGCUGGAAUGGAUCCUCCUUCAUUAGACAUCCUAACAACAAAAUAUUUUAAGUUUACUUAACAUUUUUCGAUACUCGCGAGCACAUAAGUUAUUACACAUAGCACAUAAUGUCUUUUAUUAUUUAUCUUCAAUGGAUAGCUUAAUCCAUUCAUUAAAACUCGAUAAGAGUUAGACACCUCUAUAUUUUCUGUCUUCUUAAAGGUUACUUCCUAAGGUUUCCCCACCUAAGGUUCAUAACCUAAAGCUCUGAUACCAACAUGUGACACCCCCAAAUCUGGGUAUUCCUUUUCCACAGGAUUUGGUGCUCACUAUCCAAAACCAUUACAUCUAACUACCCAUAACAAAGGAUAAAGACAUAAUUUAAAUAACUUAACAAUAAUCUUCCCAUUAAAGGGUUACAUCGUCAUAAAACAAUCCCAAAUAAUUUAAUCUUAAAUUAUUACAUAAGUUUGCGGAAUACAUCAUAAAAUAAAACAAGUCUUAUAACAUAAACAUUUAAAUAAACUUUCAUAAAUCUUCAACACUUGGACAUCUUUCCCUUUUCUUUGCUAGUAGAUGGCUCAUCGACUUUCUCAACUUUAGCUGCAGUGUUAAAUGCAAGAGUGAGCAAACAAUUGCUCACUGAUAUAGAGAGUAGUAAUGAUAACAACAUAAGAUUAAACAACGAAUGCUGAACAAUAAUGAAAUUGUUCUAUGAAUAAAAAAUAGAAAACAAGUUCAAAUUUAAUAUCUGAGGGUCUUAAGACCACGAACUAUGUCCCCGAUAUUUAGGUAUUAUUACCCAACCUUAACAGUCAUUUAGACUAUACAAACCCUUCUUAACGUACUUAGGGGGAUCAGCCCUUUGUACCAUGUAUUGUGCACAAACAUCUAAACGUUACACGUACAAAAUCCCCUAUGUUAGGGUUGUUCGUCUCAGCUUGAAUUUAGAAUUUCUGCACUAAAGAGAGUUUAGCUCGGAACUAACUUAUCAAUGGUUCUAGAAUUUUAGAACACUACUCAAUUAUAGACUAAUUCAAUCAAUAAGAGUUUGCUUGCUACUUGAAGAUUUAAUAUAACAAAAAUAGAAUUGAACAAGGCUAUCAAAGUCAAAGAUCGAAUAUCAACAAUAUACAGUUGAGCACUACAACAAAAAAGCUUAUCAGCGACCGCCUAUCAGCGACCGCCUGUGGUCGCUGAUAUCUAUCUGCGACCGUCUACUCGAGUAAACAUGAUAUACAUGCAAAGUACUAUAUCCAAAAGAGUUAGAAUAAUCUCCUUUGAAUCAAUGUAUUAGAACAAUAUAUUCUUUUGAAUAACAAUAUCAAGAUUUAGGAAAGUGAAACUCGCUCAAUGUAACAAACUAGAUUACAAGAGAUUGUACGAUACACGAGAUAGAAUCAAUAGGCUUGCUGAACUUUAAUGUAAAAUUUAGAAUUAGAAAGCUUGUUUGACAUAAAAGAUAACAUAGCUAUGAAACUUGCAUUCAUUAAUAAAAGAAUGAAGUUAGAAAACUUGCUCAAUAAAAGUUUAGGAUAAGAAACUUGCCUUGUAUGUAAGCUACACAAGUGUAAUAAUGUUCGCCAAUUACCCUACACAUAUCAUUGGAAUCGCAAUAACAAUUAGUUGUAUUAUUAUUAGCUUUAAGGGUUUAAACCACCAUUUAGGUCAUAACCUUAACUUAACAUCUAACCAUGUUGGUUAACACCUUUAACAAAUCUAAAAUCCCUCUAUAAACUAACAUAAACUUUAUCAUUCAUUUCUUACUUUCAUAAACAUUAUUUUUUUAUUCAUUACAUAACUUAAUUAAAUAAUCACUUAAAAUCUUCAUACUUUAUAUUACAUCACGUUGAAAUAUGUUAUUGUAGUUCACGUUAACAUGUAUGCCAAACUAGAUUAAGUCCAUUAAUCAUAACCUAUAAAUAAGCAGAAGUCAUUGCCUAGGCUCAGGGCACGGCGCAGCUGCGCUGUCCCAAGCCUUGGCAUCGGCACAGCUGCGCCGUACACGGACAGGAACUGCAGCAGCAGCUCUGUUACACAGCACACACCAAAACUCAAUCAAAUUUCACAGAAAUCAUAAAACUCAACAUCUAAAACUUUGUGAUAACAUUAAUAAUGAUGUUAUUCAUCAUUCUCACUACCUAAACAUUAUAUAUAUUAAAUUUUAAAAGAUCAAAACCCCAAUUUUUCCAAUUUCAUCAUUUUUUUACGCUUUUAGCGAAUUCGAUUGCUACGAAUUCAUUUCUUAAUCAAUUGACACAAUUCAAACUACGUUGUUUUCGUUUCUUAACAUACUAACACAUUCUAACAUCAAAUUACAGAUUAUAGCAAGUAUUGAUCAUGAAAUUUCGUACUUUCUAAAGCCAUUUUUCAAAAAUAAACACUAUUAUUAUAACUUCUUCCUUACAAAGCCAAUUCUCACAUGUUUGGAAAUCAAAUAGCACUCACAUAUAAUGAUUAACAGAUUAUAAACCAUAUAUACAUGUAUUUGUAUUAAUCCAUCGUAAUUAUCAAUAGAAAUUUCAAACAUAAAAGUUAGAAUUAGAGUUAUACCUUACUCCUUUGAUUGUUUGCUAGCAAAAAGAUGGUGACUAGGUUUAGAAAUCCCUCUCCUUGACAAUCAUAAAGAAUUCAAACUCACUGUGUUUUCCUCUCUUGCUCUCUCUCCAAGCUCUCUGUUCUUCACUAAUAUCUAGCCUUAGGGAAAGGAAUAAUACGCGUAAAAAAAUAUACUAACUCCCACUUUCCCCACUAAUGUCAGGUCACAAACCCAAAAGUUUGUGUCAGUUAGAAAUAAGCCAAAGGCCACAGGGCCUUGUUUGGCUAACCACAAUUUCUCCUCUACUAGAUUAUUUUUAUAUUAUUUUUAUUAUAUAGUUUUUAUUUGUCACACUUGCCACCAAUUUAAAUAGCUUACAAUAAUAAUUAUAAUAAUUAUAAUUUUUAUUAUAAUUAUUCUGAUGAUUAAUAAAUAAUUAUAUAUAUAUAAUUUAAUUAAUAAAUUUGACUUAAACAUUACUUUAUUUAAUUUACCUAUUUUCUUUAAUAUAAAAAAAAAUUUAAUUUAAUUUAAUUAUUUCAUUAAAUUAAAUCUUUCAAAUAAAAAAUAGCAUUAUUCAAUUUAAUUAACAUUAAUCAAUUUAGUCACUAAAUUAAUGCACCACAAUUCAUCAAUUAUUUAUUUUUCUCAAUAAAUAAAUUAUUUAAAAUAUUUAUUUAAUUCAAUAAAUAUUUAAAUUAAAUUACAAAUUUCUCGAUCGUUACACUAUUCAUUCGGUUAGUAUUUACCCGGGGUACUAUUCAUGACAAAAAUUGAUUUCUUUUAUGUCCAAAUUAUUUUUGAUACAAUAUUAUUCUUGAAUUUUACUCCACAAUUGGUGAUCAUGUUGACAAUUUAGAUAUUCUUAAACUCUGGAUAAAUUUAAUUAUAAAUAUUUAAUAUUUAUCCUUUAUCUCGUUUGAUUGAUUCUUUAUAUCAUUGUCAUGAUCCUCAUGCUUAUAUUGUGAUAAAAGUCAUCUUUGGCCCGUAGUGCAUAGAUGGACUAUUGGUUAUUGGUUUUACAGUUGUUUUUCUUUGGCCCGUAGUGCAAAGAAGAACUGUUGAUUGAUAUCUUUGGUCGUAGUGCAAAGAUGAAUUGUUGAUUGAUAGCUUUGGCUCGUAGUGCAAAGUUGGACAGGUGUAUGACAUGAUCAUGACCACUGGUGAUACUAACGAAUAUCCUUGGCCGUAGUGUAUGGAUAAUUCAAUGAUGUGAUUGGCAGGAUCAUGACCAUUAGUUAACAGUUGAAUGUCUUCGGCCGUAGUGCACUGACAGACAAUUGAUUGGUAUGAUCAUUGUUAUUACACUUGAAUGUCUUAGCCUUUGGGGUAAGGAUAUUGAGUAAACGUUCUAUUAAGCCUUUGUGGCAAGGAGAAACUGUUGAUUCACAUUAUUAUAAACAUGAAUUGUGAAUUUAUCUAAAAUCUUUGGUGGUUCAGGUGAAGACAGGUGAUGAAAUUUCUCUUUGUCUUGGUAUAAUAAAGAACUGUUAAUGGGUAUUAUAGGGAUAAAAUUGAUGAUAAACUUUUAAAUCAUAGAAGAUAGUAGAUAUCAUGCUCUACUUGACUCUUCUAAUAGAUUGCUUAUUCCACUGCAGUUGUUGAUCUAAAACUUGUUGUCUAUUAUAUUCUAGCAGUUGUUAUACUGUUGAAGGCUAAUGAUAAUUUAUUCUGCAUUAUCUUAGUCAUAAUAUUUCUUACUGGGCUAGUUGAGCUCACCCUUUUCUUUCAUUAUUCUCUUCAGAAAAUGAGAAUAUAGCUGGGACGAGUCGGGGAAUGGAGUGAUGAUCCAAGAUAAGUGGCUUUAGUAGUCUUCACUAUUCUGUGAAAUAGUGUGAUAAUAAUUGUAAUGAGGACUCCAUUGAGUUUGGAUAUUGUCUAGAAGACAAUAUUUGUGUUAAAACUCUCAGCUUAUAUUUUCUCGUAUUCUACACGACAGUUGUAUAAUUAAGUAGUAUUUGUAUUCUGUACCAUGUAUCUGGCGACCCAAGAUGGGUGAUGUAUACAUAUUUUGGGGGCGUCACAUCAACAACCACCACAAAUAUAAAACCUUUGAAGCCAAGCCUGUGAGACCCCAAAUUUUAUGAAUAAAGAUUUAAAUUUCUCGAAAUAUUUUUUUUGAAUAUUACGGUGUGGAUUUGAUAUAAUGUUAUAGUUGUGGGUAAUAUUUAUAAAUUUUACAAAGUAAACAAGUUGUUACAUAAUAUUCGUUUGGUCGGGGAAUAUUCUUUUUGUUGGGGAAUAUCCGUACGAUGGUGCAAUCAUUGGUGGACCCCACAACGGAAGUAUUGUCGUAGUAAGAAAAUGACAAAAUUAUCUUUUUAUAAAAAUAAUGGCGAAAGUGUUACCGUUAAAACUAUUGAACUACUCCGUAGUAAAAGUACAGUAAUACGUGUGGUUGCAUAGUAGCACACGAUAUUGAUUAUUAAUACUUACGUAAGAAGUCACUCAGUUAUACUUAAUUAUUGUUAUAGUAAUUGCUGCAUCUAUCUCUCAUAUUAUUGAUUCAAUUAUUGUCACAGUAUCAUCUGCAUAAUAUGUUAUAUUAUUAAAUCAAUAAUUGAGACGACAAAGUUAUUUAUAUUAUUAUUUGCAAUAUUGAGAAUGUCUAGAAGUUCUAUCAAGGAGAGGUUAGAUAAUCUAAUUGCGCGCCAAUAGGGAGAAAUCCUUAUCGGAAAGCCCCCUCUUUCUUGGAAACUACCUGGUUGUUAAAUAUUGUGAGUUAUAAUAUUAAUGAUGUAUAAGUUUGUGUUGAUUAAAGAUGAAAUUGAUAGUUCCAUUGUGUUGGGAUUAUUAGUGUUAGUGGAAAUCGACAUUUAUUUCGAUAAUAAUUGAUGUUUGGAAGUUAUAUUGACCAAUCGGGUAAUUAACCGGAUAAAUGAGCAAUUAAUUGCUAUUAAUUCACAUGCUUAUAACUAUGUGUUCACAUGUGUGUACUAUUGAUUCACAUGAUUUACUAUUAGGGGAGUUGGUGCAAGAUUGAUAAUACUUGCAUGACUAAAUUAAAAAUAGAGGUAUAGAUGAAGGUACUAUACUGUAAUUAUUUUUUUCACAUGUUUAGAACUAUUGAGUCACAUGAUUUACUAUUGAUUCACAUGAUUUACUAUUAGGGGAGGUGGUGCAAGUUUGAUAAUACUUGCAGGACUAAAUUAAAAAUGAAGAAAAAGAGGAAGGUAUUAUACUGUAAUAUUUCGAGCCCCAAAACGUGCAAUUAUCGAAACUAUAUUUUCCUAUAAAUAGAAGCUCAUUCUUCCUUCAUUUCUCACCAAUUCACUAAAGCUUUAGAGCAAUUAUUAUAGAGAGAAAUUAUAGAGAGAAAGAAGAAGAGAAGUCUGCUACCUCACUAUUUUAGUAUGCAGUUUCUUCUAAGGUAAGGGUAUUAUUUCUUUCGUAUUCAUGAAGAGAGUUAUUUCUUUCAAUACUCGUAAGGGUUGUUAUUCCAUUCUUUAUUAUUCUGUUGGAAUAACCUGUCUGUGCGGACUACACACGCCUGGUGAAUUCUUUUGUUAUUACAUUCUUUAUUAUUCUGUUGGAAUAACCUGUCUGUGCGGACUACGCACGCAUGGUGAAUUUUUUUUUAUUCUAUUCUUUAUUAUUCUGUUGGAAUAACCUGUCUACGCAGACUACCGCAUGCAUGGUGAAUGACCCUUCGUAUUCAUUCUUUAUUAAAUUAUGUAAAUGAUCUGUCUACGUAGAUUACCGCAUGACGGGUAAAAAUCCAUUUGCAGUUUCAUAUAUUCUAUUAUACUCAUAUGCGAUAUCAUUUCUUUUGUACUCGUCAUAUAAUAUCAUUUUCUUUGGAAUUUUUCUUUUACGAGUUACUAUUGACAGAUUACUAUUCACCUGAUUAUUAUUCACUCUAGUAUUAUUCACUCAGGUAUUCGGGGCACUUUUCGUGUCAGAGUAUUAUUCACGGGUUACUAUUCACCCGAUUACUAUUCACUCUAGUAUUAUUCACUCGGAUAUUUGGGACACUUUUCGUGUCGAGGUACUAUUCACGGAGUACUAUUCCUGAAGUACUAUUCAUGAAAUACUAUUCACCCAAAAAAUAUAUUUCUUUUCAGUCCAAAUUAUUUUUGGGUACAAUAUUAUUCUUGAAUUUUACUCCACAAAACAAUAUCAUGUUGACAAAUUGGACGUUAUUGAUUCUUGGAUAAAUUAAAUUAUAAAUCUUUAAAAUUUAUCCUUGAACUUUUUUUAUUGAAUUAUUAUGUCAUUGUCAUCAUCCUCAUGCUUAUAUUGUGAUGAAAGUCAUCUUUGGCUUACGUGCAUAGAUGGACUUGGUAUGAUUAUGACCAGGGAUUAUUCGGUAUAAUCAUGACCGUAAUGUGACGAAUGAUAUGGUGAAAGUCCUCAUUGGCCUGUAGUUCAUUGAUGGACAGUUGUUGGUAUGAUUAUGACCAGGGAUUAUUUGGUAUAAUCAUGAACAUUGAUGAUUACAUGAGUAUCAUUGGCCGAGAUGCAGGGAUGAUUCGAUUUUAUUUAUUAAGUUGAGUCUCAGCGAUAAAGUUGAUGAAAAACUUUUUAAAUCAUAGAAGAUAGUAGAUUUUAUGCUCUACUUGACUCUUCUAAUGGCUUGCUUAUUCCGCUGCAGUUGUUGAUCUAAAACUUGUUGUCUAUUAUAUUCUGUCAGUUGUUAUACUAUUGAAGGCUAAGGAUAAUUUAUUCUGCAUUAUCUUAGUCAUAAUAUUUCUUACUGGGCUAGUUGAGCUCACCCUUUCUUUCACUGUUCUCCUCAAGAAAUGAGAAUAUAGCUGGGACGAUUCGGGGAACGGAUUGACGGUCCAGAUGGUUGUUUUAGUUGUCCUCACUAUUCUGUGAAAUAAUAUGAUAAUAAUUGUAAUGAGGACUCCAUUGGGAGUGGAUAUUGUCUAGAAGGCAAUAUUCUUGUUUAAACUCUCAGUUAUGUUUUGUCGUAUAUUACCCGACAGUUGUAUAAUUAAGUUUGUAUUUGAUUUAUGUACCAUAUAGUUGGCGACUCAAGAUGGGUGAUGUAUACCUGUUUUUGGGGUGUCAAAGUUGGUAUCAAAGCUUAGGGAUAUGAUCUCUGGCUGAGAUAUGAGACAAGAACUAGGAGGGGAGAGACUGGGAAUUCCUUCGCUAGUAUAUAUGACCUACCUAAGUUUAUUUGGUAUUUAAUUGGUCGAUCAGAGUAUAGGAAUAAUAUGUGAUAUGUCAAUUAACCCUUGUUUUGUGACAGUGUUUGAAAAUAGCAUCUAAAAAUGUUGAGAUCAGCAAUGAAGCACAUGAGACCGUUGAGUCACCAACGAUUAAUACCUAGGAUAAUGUGCAACAGGAAGAUAAUAAUCCUCAGGUAAAUAACAACACCGAUUAGAUGAUGAACGAUGGGAUGUUCAGAGGCUUUAUGCAAUUCAUGCAACAUCAGACGAGAGAGACUCUUGUUCAAAAUGCAGGUGGAAACACUGUCAACUCUCGGAUGGUCACCGCUAAGCAGUUUAAGGAGUUGGGACCACCAGAGUUUUUGAGAGAGCCAGAACCACUUAAGGCGGAGACGUGGAUAAACAGAUCACCAAGAUAUUUGAUGUCUUGGAAUGCUCAGAGGAGCAAAAGGUUCCCUUUGCCACCUUCAUGUUGCGAGGAGAGGCAGAUUACUAGUGGGAAUCAGUAAAACGUACUCAGCCUGCCGCACUGAAGAUGUCUUGGGAGAUGUUCCAAGAACUGUUCAACAACAAGUACUUUCCUGAAAGUAUUCGUCAUGUGAAAGAGGUAGAGUUCAUCAAGCUUGAGUAAAACAAUAUGACCGUGGCGCAGUACGAAGCUAAGUUUGCCGAGUUAUCUCAGUUUGCGUCCCACUUGGUUGAUAAUGAAGAGAGAAUGACGCGGAUGUUUCUAAGAGGUUUGAAACCCGAGAUACGUCAAUAUCUAAUUUCUCACAAACUGUGUUUGUAUUCAGAUGUUAUGAAUAGGGCUCAAUUAUUGGAGUGUGAUAAUGAGUCAGCACAACCAAAAGGCAACGACCAACAACACGAUAAUAAUCAUACCGGUGGCAACGGCCAUCGGAACAAUGAUAACCAUCGUGGGGGAAAUUAUUAUGCCAAGAAUGGUAACCACUUCGGUGGUAAUCAUGGCCAAGUUAAUAGAAGCGGAAAUUUCAAGAAGAGAAGGUUCAAUAAUGAUGGAAAGACGUCAUCACCAGCACCCGUUGUUAAGGAAGGAGAACGACCGCCGGUCGUAUGUUACAAAUGCGGAGGGGAGGGACACAUAAGUCCAAACUAUUCACAGCCUUCCAAGGUAUGUUUUAGUUGUGGAAAAGAUGGUCACAUAGCUCGAUUUUUUUCUUGUAGCGAAAUCAAGUCCAGUUGGGACAGUGGCACCAAAGGCGGAUACGGACAAAACAAAGUCGGUGGUUUCAGGAAGAGCGGUUUUUAUGACUUCUCAAAAAGUGAGUAACCCGAACGAAGUUAACACGGGUUAGUUAAUUAUAAAUUCUUGCGAAGUCUAUACCUUAUUAGAUAUCGAUUCUACCCAUUCUUUUAUUUCUCUUGCUUGCGCUCAGCGUUUAAAUUUGACUCCAGAGAAAUUAGACUUUGACUUAUUGGUUGAAACUCUGUUAGGAGAAACCUUCGUUACACCCACUGUUUAUAAAUCUUGUUUUAUUCAAAUCGACACUUUCACGUUACCUGUCGAUCUUAUCUCUUUGAAAAUACUUGCCUUUGAUGUGAUUUUAGGAAUCGAUUGGUUAACUACUCAUCAUGCCAAAAUUGAUUAUUUUUGUAAGGUUGUUAGCUUUCAUAUUCCUAACCAACUUGUUAUGCGAAUUCAAGCAACCAAACCACUAAAGUCAAUCACUGUCAUAUCAAGCCAUAAGUAAAGAGCCCCGAGCCUUUCGUUGGUGACUUCCUUGUGUGGAAUGCAUCGAAGCCGAACUUUCUGUAGGGGACGUCGUGAAUAACAGUGGCAAGUUGAUAGGUAUCAAUGUGACGUGUUAUCCAAGUCUUGGGAUGAGAGUCACAGUUUUGAAUGAUAUUUCUAUUGUUAAUAAAUUUCCUAGCGUAUUCUUGAAGACUUCUUAGCCUACCCCUAGAGCGUGAAAUCGAAUUUUUUAUUGACCCCAAUACAAAACUCAUUUAUAAAACCCUCAAAUAUUUUCUUUACCCAAAACGAACGUAUAAUGUGCCAAUGACGUUGGCUCGAGCUGUUGAAGGUUACGACUAUACCAUUAAAUUCCAUCGUGGGAAAAGCGAACGUGGUAGCUGACACAUUAAGUAGAAGAUCGUAUGCGUUUACGAAGUGUGACGUUGUUAACACAAAAACCCAUUUCGUAUAACUUAUAAAUAAUGAAGAUGGAGUUAAUGACUCUAGAGACCCACGUGAAGAUAACGAAUAUACGAGUAAAAUCGACUUUAAUCGAUAAAGUUAAAGCCGCUCAAACUACACACUCGGAGCUAGUGAAUACGAAGAAGAAGGUUCAAGAAGGCGUUAUUCUAGAAGCAAGAGUCGAUGAAGAGAGAAAAUCUCAAUCCUCGAUUUAAUUGGGCCAUUUGAAAUCCUCGAUGGAGUAGGAACUGUGGCCUAUAGACUUGUUUUACCGCCAAGUAUGUCGCGUGUUCAUAACAUUUUUCAUGUAUCGAUGUUACGUAAAUAUGUGGACGACCCGAACCACAUUAUUAAAUUGGAACUAGACGAGAUAGCAGAAGAUUUAACAUAUGAGGAUAUACGUGUUAAAAUCUUGGAUAAGAAGGAUCGUAUUCGACACUCAAAUUUUAUACCUCAAGAGUUAGAAUCUGAAAUAAAGUCAAGGUAUCCUUAUCUCUUCGGCAUACCAGGUACGUACUUAAAUUUUGAGGGCGAAAUUUCAUAAGAAGGGAAGAUUGUGAGAUCCCAAAUUUUAUGAAUAAAGAUUUAAAUUUCUUGAAAUAUAUUUUUUGAAUAUUACGGUGUGGAUUUGAUAUAAUGUUAUAGUUGUGGGUAAUAUUUAUAAAUUUUGCAAAGUAAGCAAGUUGUUAUAUAAUAUUCGUUUGGUCGGGGAAUAUUCUUUUUGUCGGGGAAUAUCCGAACGACGACACGAUUAUUGGUGGACCCCACAACGGAAGUAUUGUCGUAGUAAGAUAAUGACAAAAUUAUCUUUUUAUAAAAAUAACGGCGAAAGUGUUACCGUUAAAACUGUUGAACUACUCGGUAGUAAAAGUAUAGUAAUACGCGAGGUUGUAUAGUAGCACACGGUAUUGAUUAUUGAUGCUUACGUAAGAAGUUACUCAGUUAUACUCAAUUAUUGCUACAGUAAUUGUUGCAUCAUAUCUCUCAUAUUAUUGAUUCAAUUAUUGUCACAGUAUCAUCUGCAUAAUAUGUUAUAUUAUUAAAUCAAUAAUUGAGAUGACAAAGUUAUUCAUAUUAUUAUUUGCAAUAUUGACAAUGUCUAGAAGUUCUAUCAAUGAGAGGUUAGAUAAUCUAAUUGUGCGCCAAUAGGGAGAAAUCCUUAUCGGAAAGCCCCCUCUUUCCUGGGAACGACCUGGUUGUUAAAUAUUAUGAGUUAUAAUACUACUGAUGAAUAAGUUUGUGUUGAUUAAAGAUGAAAUUAAUAGUUCCAUUGUGUUGAGAUUAUUAGUGUUAGUGGAAAUUGACAUUUAUUUUGAUAAUAAUUGAUGUCUGGAAGUUAUAUUGACCAAUCGGGUAAUUAACCGGAUAAAUGAGUAAUUAAUUGCUAUUAACUCACAUGCUUAUAACUAUGUGUUCACAUGUGUGUACUAUUGAUUCACAUAAUUUACUAUUAGGGGAGUUGCUACAAGAUUGAUAAUACUUGCAUGACUAAAUUAAAAAUGGAGGUAUAGAUGAAGGUACUAUACUAUAAUUAAUUUUUUCACAUGUUUAGAACUUUUAAGUCACAUGAUUUACUAUUGAUUCACAUGAUUUACUAUUAGGGGAGGUGGUGCAAGUUUGAUAAUACUUGCAAUUAAAAAUGAAGAAAAAGAGGAAGGUAUUAUACUGUAAUAUUUUGAGCCCCAAAACGUAUAAUUAUUGAAACUAUAUUUUUCUAUAAAUAGAAGCUCAUUCUUCUUUCAUUAUCACCAAUUCACUAAGCUAUAGAGCAAUUAUUAUAGGGAGAAAUUAUAGAGAGAAAGAAGAAGAUAAGUCUACUACUUCACUAUUCCAGUAUCCAGUUUCUUCUAAGGUAAUGGGUAUUAUUUCUUUCGUAUUCAUGAAGAGAGUUAUUUCUUUCAAUACUCGUAAGGGUUGUUAUUCCAUUCUUUAUUAUUCUGUUGGAAUAACCUGUCUGUGCGGACUACACACGCCUGGUGAAUUCUUUUGUUAUUAUAUUCUUUAUUAUUCUGUUGGAAUAACUUGUCUGUGCGGACUACGCACGCCUGAUGAAUUCUUCUAUUAUUCCAUUCUUUACUAUUCUGUUGGAAUAACCUGUCUACGCGGACUACCACAUGAUUGGUGAAUUCUUCUGUUAUUCCAUUCUUUAUUAUUCUGUUGGAAUAACCUGUCUACGCGGACUACCGCAUGCAUGGUGAAUGACCCUUCGUAUUCAUUCUUUAUUAAAUUAUAGAAAUGAUCUGUCUACGUAGAUUACCGCAUGGCGGGUGAAAAUCUAUUUGCAGUUUCGUAUAUUCUAUUAUACUCGUAUGAGAUAUCAUUUCUUUUGUAUUUGUCAUGGAAUAUCAUUUUUUUUGGUAUUUUUCUUUUACGAGUUACUAUUCACGGGUUAGUAUUCACCUGGUUACUAUUCACUGUAGUAUUGUUCACUCGGGUAUUCGGGACACUUUUUGUGUCGGAGUACUAUUCAUGGGUUAUACUAUUCACGGGUUACUAUUCACCCGAUUACUAUUCACUCUAGUAUUAUUCACUCGGGUAUUUGGGACACUUUUUGUGUCGGGGUAUUAUUCACAGGGUACUAUUCUCGAAGUACUAUUCACGGAGUACUAUUCACCAAAAAAAUAUAUUUCUUUUCGAUCCAAAUCAUUUUUGGGUACAAUAUUAUUCUUGAAUUUUACUCCACAAAAUAGUAUCAUGUUGACAAAUUGGACGUUAUUGAUUCCUAGAUAAAUUAAAUUAUAAAUCUUUAAAAUUUAUCCUUGACUUGGUAUGAUUAUGACCAGGAAUUAUUCGGUAUAAUCAUGACCGUAAUGUGACGAAUGAUGUGGUGAAAGUCCUCAUUGGCCUGUAGUUAAUUGAUGGACAGUUGUUGGUAUGAUUAUGACCAGGGAUUAUUCGGUAUAAUCAUGACCAUUGAUGAUUACAUGAGUAUCCUUGGCCGUGAUGCAGGGAUGAUUCGAUUUUAUUUAUUAAGUUGAGUCUCAGCGAUAAAGUUGAUGAAAAACUUUUUAAAUCAUAGAAGAUAGUAGAUUUUAUGCUCUACUUGACUCUUCUAAUGGAUUGCUUAUUCCGCUGCAGUUGUUGAUCUAAAACUGUUGUCUAUUAUAUUCUAUCAGUUGUUAUACUGUUGAAGGCUAAGGAUAAUUUAUUCUGUAUUAUCUUAUUCAUAAUAUUUUUUGCUGGGCUAGUUGAGCUCACCCUUUCUUUCACUGUUCUCUUCAGGAAAUGAGAAUAUAGCUGGGACGAGUCGGGGAACGGAUUGACGGUCCAAAUGGUUGUUUUUGUAGUCCUCACUAUUCUGUGAAAUAAUGUGAUAAUAAUUGUAAUGAGGACUCCAUUGGGAGUGGAUAUUGUCUAGAAAGCAAUAUUCUUGUUUAAACUCUCAAUUAUGUUUUGUCGUAUAUUACCCGACAGUUGUAUAAUUAAGUUUGUAUUUGAUUUAUGUACCAUAUAUUUGGCGACUCAAGAUGGGUGAUGUAUACCUAUUUUGGGGCCGUCACAAAGCCCAUACACUCCCAUUUUAGAUCAUAGCUCCUAUGCCCAGACCCAUUAAGAGCAUACCCAGCCCCUACUAAUAUGCACAAUCUAAGCUCCCAUGAUCUAAAGCCCCUGACUUUGCAAAUAUAGAUCGAUAGAUAGAUUUUCGGGAAGGAUCACAUUUUGGUAGAUAGAUGGUUUAAUUUGUUUAACUAUUUAUUAUAAAAUUGAGUAUAAUUUAAUAUAAUUAAUUAUUUAGCUUACCUUCUCUCUCCUUGUCUGCAUUGACACAUAGAUUUAUUGAUUGCCACGUCCUUCUUCUGUUAAAUGGUUAACAGACAUAGACGACAAAAUUAAUUUUUGUAAAUAAAGUAUAGUUCAAUGAGUUGACCGUAAAAAAAUUUAGUUUAGUGAUGCAUUUGUAAACCGAUGUUGAGUAGAGUGGAGAAAAGUGUAUUUAAUCCGCUCCAAAAGUCACCACUUUACAAGUCUCGUCAACAAUCAGCACCAUGUAAACACUCACCCUCUUUGGUGAACUUGAAGAGUUUGAAAAUCAACUUAGGAGGUAUGAUGAUGAAAAUGAGGCACCAAUAAAGAAGACAUUGACACUUCAAGCUGAGAGUAACAAUGAAUGUGAUAACGAAGAUUUUGAUAAAGAAAUUGAAAUGCUCUCAAGAAACUUGAGAGACUAUUUCAAAAGAAAAUAAAAAAGGUAGCUCAACUCCAGUGGGUAAGUUCAAAACAGAACAAGAAGAAGAAAUUGUCCAACUCUAUUUCAUAGGACUAGAAGAUGAUGAUCAACUUGAGGUAACAAAUUUUCAUGAAGCUUUUGAAAUAUCUAUGCCUGAUUAUAUUGCUUUACAAAAUGAAAAUCAACAACUCAAAAAAAAAACUGUUUAUUUUAAGAAUUGCGUAAAUGCUAAUGAAUGAAGUUAAGUCAUUUAUUAAAGAGAGAAAAGAAAAUGAAUAUCUUAAAAAUGAAAAUGAAGUUUUAAAAGAAAAUUUAAAAAUGAGAGAUGAAUGCAUAAAUGCUUUUAAUGAUGGAAAAAUGAUGAAUGUGCAACAUGAUGAUAAUGUCACAAAUGCAAAAAUAACAUCUUUAAAAAAUGAUCUUGCUAAAUUUGUGCAAUGAGAAGAGAACCUAAAUGUUAUGUUAGGGGCACAAAGGUCUAGUCUUGAUAAAUAAGAAAUUGGGUAUAAUCCUAUUAAAAUGUGAAAAAUAGAACUAAUAAUAAUAUUAUAAUGAUUAAUAGAAAACCAAUGCAUAAACCACUUUAUUGUUCACCGUUUGUUACUUGUAAAAAAUAUGGUUUUAAAGGUCAUUUUAAAAUGUGGCUUUAUUAGAAUAAAGCAAAUUUGGGUAAAGAAAUGUGAUUUAUAUGCUACUAACCUAAUAGGACCCAAGAAGAUUUGGGUACCAAAAUGGUAGAGACUAUUUGUUCAUUUUGUAGAUGUCUCAAGGUCAAAAAGGAGACAGAUAAUACUUAUAAAUUAUUUGGCAAAAUUCGCAAGUACCUUAUUUUUUUAAAUAGAUUUUUAAUUAGAUAUAUUAUGAAAACUCUAUGGAUUUCGUAUCAUAUGGCUUCAUAACAUCAUUUAUUAUAAAGUUUUUAUUGUGCUAAAUGCUCCAUAUUUAAUACAAACGACAAUCUUGAUGAGGAAUAAGUGAAUAUUAUUUUUGAUGAACUUAACCAUGAUCUGUUAAAGGAAGAGAAUGAGGUUUCUGCUGGAAAUGACUAUCUGAAUUGUGGAACCCAAACAGUUCAAUCCGGAUAGUCUAAGCCGUCUCUAUCAGAAGGAAAGAUAGAUGAAAUCAGACAAUUUGACCCGUCUGUUUUAGAAGAAAACUCAAAUUUACAAACACCUAAAUCCAAACAGAUCGAGUCGUCUACUUUAGAAGACAAAACAUAUGAAUAUUCGGAUGCAGUAACUUAUAUUCCAGAGGAUGAAUCUCAAAAGCAAAUGACUACUGCCAGGCUUCCUAAAUCUUCUAGAACUAUGGGAAAUCAUCAUCCAAGUCUGAUCAUCAGAAAUUUCAACAUUAGGAUGUCCACAAGAAGAGGUUUUGAAGAAAUUUGUUUGCUACACUAAGGAGCUUAUCUAUUAAGCUUAUUGUUGGUAACAAAAUUGUGGAUAUAUAGGUAACAAAUCACAAAGGUAUGGUCAUUUUAUUUAAUUGCUAUAUGUGAUAUUGUUAUAAGCUUGCUCCCGUGUCUUUAUUUUAUGAAUUAUUUUUUGUUUGUCACAAAUGGGAUAGAGAUAUAACUAAAUUGAUGAUUUUUUUUUUUUUGAUAAUAACAAAGGGGAGAAAUGUUUAGAAAAAUUGAUGAUUAUGAUAUCUGAUGGUUAUAUUGAUUAUAAUAUGUUUAGAUUUUUUUGAUAUCAUAUUGAUGAUAAUGGUUGGAUAUUUUGAUUCAUUAUCUGUUAUAGCUUAUCAUUAUGCAUUAUUUAUCAUAACAGUUAUGUGAUCUUUAUAUCUCCUAUAGGCAUAAAUUUAUGGGGAGCAUGAUUGCAAGGAAUAAUAUAUUGUCAUCAUCAAAAAAGAGGGAAAUUGUUAGUUUUAUUAUUUGUGAUUUUAAUAAUGACAAUAUAUUUGUAAAUAUAAUUUAUUUAAUGUAUUGAAUUAAUUUUGUAAUGGUUUGUUGAAUAUGAUAUAUAGUAAGUUUGGUUCAUGAUAAUUUAAUUUGGUUAUAAUUCAAAUUGUUAUUACGUGCAGGAUUGAAUUGAAAUAUUUUCUUCCAGGUUGUUAUUUUGUUAAAACAGGUUGUUUCAAUUUUGAAUUGGAAUAUGUUAAGGAGUUUGUUUAGCAGUGUAAUCUAUCUAUUAAAUAUAUUAAAAUGCAGUACAUGAUAUCAUAGCUUGACAUAUGUCAUUCUCACAAUUCAACACGUGUCCUGUCUAAUUAAUAUUCCUUAAGACCCUUAACAAAAGUGCCCAGCUAACAUAACAAAUGAGGAUGAAAACAAACUUUAAUUCAUUCCCCUAAAUUUUAGAUUUAUAAUCCCCUAAAUCAUGCUACAAAUCUAAACUAUUUUGAUAAUAUCAACUGUUUUGAUAUUAUCCUUUGUAAUUUAAUUAUUAUUUAAUAAAAUUACUUUUUUAUGCUAUUAAUUAAUUUUUUAGAUUUAUAAUCUUCUAAAUAACUACAAAUCUAAACAGUUAAUAACAUAAUGUCAUUCUCUUAAUUUUUUAAAUUUACAAUCCUCUAAAUCACUACAAAUCUAAACUGUUUUGAUAAUAUCAACUGUUUUGAUAUUAUCCUUUGUAAUUUAAUUAUUAUUUAAUAAAAUCAUUACUUUAUCUCAACACCACCCCCUACAAUGUAUAUUCAUUUGUUUUUCUGUGUAAAAUUUGAUCAUCGCACAACAAUCUACCAUCUUCUUAUUAUAUUUUAAUUUAUUAAUUAUACAUACAUAUUUAUUGAAUAAUUCCGCCCGCAACGCACGAGUUUGUAUCUAGUGUGGUCUAAUUUGGAGUCUUUAAAUUAACUGGUUUAGAUAUUUGUGUAGAGUAUGGGCUCUAUCUACUCGUUAAUUUUAGCCUAUGUUGAUUACGUAUCUUUGAUUUUCUAAUUUUGAGAAUAUUUUAAGCUGUUAGCUAUAUCUAUAGUUCUGAAAUAUCAAAUUCUCGAAAUGAAAGACCAAGUCAUGCUAACCAUUUCAUAUAGUCGUUGGACUGAGUUCUAUAUAUUUUCUUCAUGUUUGUCUAUAGUGAGCAGGACUCUUGAAGCUUAUAGCAGCCAUAUUACACAGAUUAAUCAAGAGCUUUUCAAAGUUAUUUUCAGCUACUCAUUAUAUUGUUAAUUUAUUUCAGUUAAAAAUUAAGAGUCUAUUAUAAUCUAUAUUUAUUGUAUUAAAUUUUAGUUCAAGUCUUGUUUGGCUUGAUCGAUCCAAUAGUGGAUAGGUUUGUUCGAAGAAAACUUUUAAGGUUGCAGAGGUGCAAAUGUCUCAGUGGUGAGAAAGGUUGCAAUGAUGCAAAGGGGCAGAGGUGUUCAUCGCAGUGGAAAAUUUUAUUUGAACAGGGAGUUCUUUUUAUUAUACUUAAUGGAGUCUUAAAAGUUUAAUAAAAAGAGUCCAAUACCGGUUGGUUUUGAACGUGGAUUAAGCCGUUAGAGUUUAAGGGCAGAACCACGUAAAAAUUCUUGUCUGUGGUUUGUUAAUUCUUCUGGGUUGAUAAUUUAUUUCUCACGUUGCAUCUAAUCUCAUUCAUAUUACAUUUUAUUGUUGGUAGGAAAAGUAUACUAAUCUAGACACUAUCUUCUGUCUUUAUAACAAAAGUAAAAUUGACUCUAAAGCAGACACUUUUAUUUGUCUGUUUUAAGUUUAGCAGCAAGUUCAGCAGCAGGAAAAUAAAAUUAGUCAUUGUUAGUGUGCUUAUUUAUAGAAUUACAUCCACAUCUGUAAUUCUACUGAGAUUUAAUGAAUGUUUAUUUUGCCGAUUAAAAAACAAAGGAAAAAGAAUAAAAGUAAUAAGAUGUUCGAAACAUUUGAUUGUAUUAUUAUAUUUUUGUGAGCCAAGGUGAAAGCAAAGCCACCUAGUGGUAGUUGUUUUAUUUAUAAUAUGGUAAUAACAACCAUGAACUGAUAGUUGAUUUAUUUAUUAUAUGCUAAUAACAGCUAUCAGCUAGUGGUUGAUUUAUUUAUUAUAUUCUAAUAAACAGCCAUCAACUAGUAUAUAGUUUCUUGAUCAACUGUUCAUAGGAAGAUUACUGAUCGUUCAUUUAGGCGUUGGGGGGACUAAUUUGAACACCAUAGAUAACUAAACCCGUCUCCAUAGUCGUGUUUUCACUCCCGUCGAGAGCAAAUUUGAAAUCUCCAGAGUCAAAGCUAUUCAAGAAUUCCCCAGCUUUGAGUGAAAUCGGUGUGUUCCUCGGACAAUCCAUCAACCUAUAUCCAUUCACUUGCGUGGACCCAUCCGGAGGAGUAAGUGUAAGACUCACCGGACUUUCUAUGUUAAGGUUGUCUUUCAGCAGCACCACAAAAGACACCUCAUAAGUUCAUUUUUCAAGAGUUUCUGUCGGAUAUUUUCCAUCAACAUGUAGGACUAAGCUACCAAUUAAUUCAGCACUGGCAUCACUGAAAAAAAAUGAUAGUAGAAUUAAAGUCAGAAACUUUUGAUAUAAGGAGCUUAAAUUCAUUAAG